GCAUCAGAAACUAUGAUCUCUAAGUUGUCAUUGCAAACAUGGUUCUCUCUCAAUAAAGCUAAAUCUGGGAUGACAAGCUAGUCAUAUUUACAAAAAUAAAAUAGAUAGAGUUCAUACCAGCUUUUCCAGUCUCAGUCACUUCAUCACAUAUCAUCAUUAUUGCCUUUCACUUGCACGAUCGAACAAUGUGAACAAUAAUAAGAGUGCUCGUGCAUUGGACUAAAGUUGGAAUCUGCAGGCAAACACAAAGGAGAGGACAAAGUAAUAUGGCUCUUUGAAAGCUAAACAGGUAUGCAUGCAAGAGCCACUAAACAUUGUAACCAAUAUCUUCUACCUUGACCGAAAGAAAAAAGAAAACUAUUUACACGGGAAAACUCCCAACAAGCAAAAGAAGAAAGGAAAAUCUUUUUGGGUUUCCCCAAAAGGACACAAAACAAGAAAACAAGAAAAUGAAAAUAAACUAGCAUGAAUAAUACAGUGUCAAAGUGUAAACACCGACUAACAAAGUGAAAGCAUAAGCAUGAAUGUAAAGUUGGUGCAAACACGUACUCCCCCAACCUUAGGCUUUUGCCCUAGCUUGGUCUACUCCCAAGGCGGGAAAUAACCAGCUCCGGGAUACUCCGGAGCGGACUGUGGAUGCCACAGUUGUGUGAGCUCCUUUGGCUCCCACUGAAACUGGCUUCUGGUACUCGACUGGCGGCUCGGGCACGGGAACUUGUGGUUGGGCCAAGCCCCAAUACAUGUAGAUGUCCGAGGGCAUAAUAAUGUACCUACCUGCAUAAAGAUUGAACAAAGAAGGAGCUGGCAAAGUAAUAGUCUCUCGAGUACCCUGACUAAAUACCAGAUUAUAAAUCAUCCGUCUACUAGCAUCUCUAUCCAGAAAAUCAUGACGAACCAUGCUGUCAUAAUCCAGAUAUUUCUCAGGAAGAACCAUUUCUUCUUACUCGCGAAGUCUAAUAGGUAUCUCAAAGUGUCUAGCAAGACGAGUAGCAUAGACACCUCCAUAGACGACACCUUUGGAACGGUUUCUGUUCAACCGCUGAGCUACUAUAGCACCUAGGCUAUAAGUCUUAUUGUUAUAAAGGCCUUCGCGCAAAACCGCAAGGUCUGGAUAGCUAAGUGAUCCAGCCUCCCCACAGCCAAUCAAACAUUUUCCCACAAAUAAUGAGAAGUACCGAAGCACAUGAAUAUGUAUGCUAGCAAUUCUAGCGCGAGACACUCCUCUCUCCUCUCCAACAGCAAUAGUACUUAUGAAAUCCUACAAGUCCCGUGGACGAGGAUCAUGAAUAUCCCCAACAUAAGGUAAUUUGCAUACAUUGCAAAAAUCCUGUAGUGUCAUGCACUCGGGGAUAUCGUAUAACAUGAACUCACCCAUAGGAGGAUUCUUCCUCGGAUAAAAGUUGAAGCUUUGAACGAAAAUAUUGGAGAGGAGGAGGUAUUGUGGGCACUUAUCUUCAACGAAUGCGGUAAGACCUGCGUUCUCCACCAAGUAAUAGAAGUCUUCAUAAAGCUCAGCGGCGCGCAAAAAUUCAUCACUUGGCCACUCGCACGCUCGAACUUCUGUGACUCGAGGAACCACGUACUUGGGGUGGUUCUUCUCAUCCUCCUUGGGGUUACGGCUUGAAGAGCCUCUCAAGAACCUCCUCAUAUUUUCCCUUUUCUAACUCUGAAAAAUUCUGAAAUUGUUAGAGACUUCGAAAGAAAAGUGAGUAACGAUUAACCCAACUCAUAGCAACUACUCCUACUAGUGCCUAGAGACCGUAUCACACGCUAAAACUACUUGGGACCAGCUAAAAUCAACAUUUCAAGCUCAAGAACAGGGUCACCAAGGUAGCAAGAAUACGCGAAGGAUAAAGCACUAGAGUAGAAACUAAUUGGACCAAUAGAGGAGUCACUUACCAAGGAGUAAUUUCCCCAAAAUGGUUCGGAGAAUGGUGCUUUGAGCAAGGAGAUCGACAAUCACAGCCAAAUGAGCAAGAACACGGGUUUGAGCUGCGAAACGAAUUUUUCUGGAGGUAGAAGAAGAGGAUGGGAGCUGGAAUGAGUGGAGGGGGUCCCUGUGGGCCCCACAAGCUUGGUGGCCACGUCCUGGGGGGAGCCCACGGCGUCAGGUCUUGUGGCCCACUGGUGUGGCCCCUAGGCCAUCUCUCAGUCCGAUUAUUUUUCAAAAAAAUCCAGAAAAAAUCAUAUUUGAUUUUCAGGACCAUCGGAGAACUUUUAUUUUCGGGGUACUUUUCUCCGGGAUGCUAAAACAGGAAACACGAAAAACUAAACUAAAUAUAUCAUUUUUCUUCUAAGCAACAGAAAGUGAAAGCUUAAAACAGAGGUAUGUGACUCUUUGAUUCAUCCAUUUCAUGGUCAUCGAAAGAAAUUCCAUCAAUGGGGUUGAUCAAAUCCUCAUGGCAAAAAAAUUACAAAUCGCAAAAGGAAAUGGAGAAUUGUCGAAUAGCCACUAAGUCACCUCAACGGGGAUAUGAAUAUCCCCAACAAGCAAAUCAUACUUCAUCUUAACACGAGGAAUAGGUCAUUCAAAGCUCCCAAUAAGAAUCGAUGAAGUUUUUUCGAUAGCAUUGAUGCAAUGUAGUUGAUAUCGUUUCUUCGAAAAGUGCACUGUAUGCUCAUUACCGUUGACAUGGAAAGUGACAUUGCCUUUGUUGCAAUCUAUAACAGCCCCCACAAUUUUAAAAAGGGUCUUCCGAGGAUGACAACCAUGGCAUCGUCCUUGGGAAUAUCCAAGAUAUCAAAGUCUGUUAAGAUAGUGGUGUUAGCAACCACAAUAGGCACAUCCUCGCAAAUGCCGACAAGGAAAACAGUUGAUUUGACGACCAUUUGCAGAGAAAUUUCAAUGGGUGUCAACUUAUCCAGUUCAAGUCUACAAUAAAGAGAGAGAGGCAUAACACUAACACCAGCUCCAAGGUCACAUAAGGCGGUUCUUGCAUAGUUUCCUUUAAUGGAGCAAGGUAUAGUGGGUACUAUGGGAUCACCAAGUUCCUUAGGAGUUCCACCUUUGAAAGUGUAAUUGGCAAGCAUGGUGGAGAUCUCAAGAUCUGGUAUCUUCCAUUUAUUAGUCACGAUAUCUUUCAUGUACUUGGCAUAUGGAGACAUUUUGAGCAUAUCAAUUAACCGCAUCUGCAGAAAGACGGGUCUUAUCAUUUCAAUAAAGCGCUAAAAAUCCUCAUCAUCCUUUUUCUUGGAUGGCUUAGGAGGAAAGGGCAUGGGUCUCUGAACCCAUGGCCCCCUUUCUUUACCAUGCUUCCUAGCAGUGAAGUCAUUCUUAUCGUAUCUCUUAGGUUGUGGGUUAUCAGGAUUAACCAUAGGUUCAAUCUCCACAUCCUUAUCAUUCUAGGUUGAGCAUUAUUAUGAACAUCGUUGUCCAUAUUGUCAUCAGGUUCAUGUUCAUCACCAGAUUGUGUUUCUGCAUCAGACGCAGAAAUAUUAUUUGCUUCUUCAGGUGUGAUAGUAUUUGGUGAACUGACAUGUAGGUUUCUAUCAUCCUUCUUCUUCUUAUUAGGAUGACUGGGUGUAUCAGUAUUAAUUCCUUGAGAAUCUUGAUCAAUUCUCUCAGGGCCUUCAGGAUACAAAGGUUCCUGAGUCAUUUUGCCUCCUCUAGUAAUGACUUUGACAGAUUUUUCAUUUAAUUCAUUUAGCAAGUCAUUCUGAGCUUUAAGUACUUGUUCUACCUGAGUAUUAAUCAUAGAGGCAUGUUUACUCAGAAGCUUCAGAUCAUUGACAUUUCUAUCUACACAAGCACUUAAAUGACUAAGCAUACGAGUACUUUGUUUCAAUUGUCUGCUAACAUAAUCAUUGAAACUCUGUUGAUUGGCAACAAAGUUGUCAAAUUCAUCAAAGCAUAAGCUAGCAGGUUUGUCAAAAGGAAUAUCACUCUCAUUGAAUCUACGCAGAGAAUUCACCUAUACUACUUGUAUCGGGUUAUCGAGACCAUGGAUCUCUUUGAUGGGCGGUAGAUUUUUGACAUCUUCAGAUCUAAUGCCUUUCCCUUGCAUAGAUUUCUUGGCUUCUUGCAUAUCUUCGGGACUGAGGAAUAAAAUACCUCUUUUCUUUGGAGUUGGCUUAGGAUGUGGUUCGGGAAUAGUCCAAGCAUUAUCGUUGAUCAAUAUGUUAUUCAGUAGAAUCUCAUCUUGUUCUAUAGUUCGUUCCCUAAAAACACAACCGGCACAACUAUCUAGGUGGUCUCUAGAAGCAUUGGUAAGUCCGUUAUAGAAGAUAUCAAGUAUCUCGUUCUUCUUAAGAGGGUGAUCAGGCAAAGCAUUCUGUAGCUGGAUGAGCCUCCCCCAAGCUUGUGGGAGACUCUCUUCUUUGAGUUGAGCAAAGUUGUAUAUUUCCUGCAAGGCAGCUUGCUUCUUAUGGGCAGGGAAAUAUUUCUCACGGAAGUAAUAGACCAUAUCCUGGGGACUACUCACACAUCCAGGAGCAAGAGAAGUGAACCAGGCUUUAGCGUCAUCCUUUAAAGAGAAAGGAAACAUCUUAAGGAUAUAGUAGUAGCGGAUCUUCUCCUCACUAGUGAAAAGGGUGGCUAUAUCGUGUAGUUUGGUAAGAAGGGGUACGACCGACUCAGACUCAUAACCAUGGAAAGGAUCAGAUUCGACUAGAGAGAUUAUCUCAGGGUCGACAGAGAAUUCAUAAUCCUCAUCGGUGAUAAAGAUAGGUGAAGUGGCAAACUUCGGGUCGUAUUUCAUCCUAGCUUUCAGAGAAUUUUCCUUCCACUUGAGAAGUAAUUUCUCAGCGUCAUAGGCAUCCUUACACGCAAGAAAAUCCUCAGCUAUCUCUCCCUCCAUAACAUAACCCUGAGGUAUAUCAGGCAAUUCAUAUCUAGGAGAGCUAGAUCUCGCAGGAGCAAAAGCAGGUUCUAUCUCAAUAGUAUCGGCAGUUUCAGAAGCAUCACGAGCAUUGGCAGUAACUCUAGCAAUAUGAGCAUCAAGGAAUACCCCUAGUGGCAUAUCAGGCAAAGUAGUAUCUCUAGCAGUAUCAAGCAUAACAUCAUCAGGCAAAAUAGCAUCUCUAGCAUCAUCAGGCAAAGCAGUAUCAGUCAUAGUAUCUCUAGCAGUAUCAGGCCUAACAUCUCUAGCAGUAUCAGGCAUAGCAUCUCUAGCAGUAUCAGGCAUAACAUCUCUAGUAGUAUCAGGCAUAGUAUCAUCAAUCAUAGUAGCAUCAUAAGCAUCAUCAAGCACAGGCGAUAUAUCAAGAUUUCUAGCAGGACGUGGUGUCGCAAACUUACUCAUAACUGAAGGUGAAUCAAGUGCAGAGCUAGAUGGCAGUUCCUUACCUCCCCUCGUAGUUGAGGGCAAGACUUUAGUUCCUAGAUCUUUCAUAUUCUUCAUAGUGCUCAACAGAUAUAAAUCCGAAGUAACUCAGAGAAUAUAGCUAUCCUUCCCCGGCAACGGUGCCAGAAAAAUGCUGCCGACGUGCAACUAUUCCUGACUUGAUGCCUCCACGGCAACGGAGCCAGAAAAGAGCUUGUCCCACUUGCUCAACAAUUAGCAAUUGUCUUGCAAUGGCCCACCAGUGCGUGGGAUCGCGACAGUUUUCGAGGGUAGAGUAUUCAACCCAAAUUUGUUGGUUCGCACGACGAGAAGUGAAAGAAUAUUCUCAAGUAUUAGCAGCUGAAUGUUCAGAUUCAACCACACCUCAAAGAUUAGUGUCUGCAAGCAAAGUAGUGUGAUAGCAACGGUACCAGAUACAAUCUGGUGACAAGGCAGACUAUUCCUAACGGUUGUAACAAUGCCUCCAGAAAAGUAUUGUAGCAGGUAGUAGCAGAGUAACGAGUAACAGCAGUGGCAAGGAACAGCAGUAGUAACAGCAGUAGCAAGUAGCAGUAGUAGCAAGUAACAUCAGUAGCAACAAUAGUGGCAGCAGCAGCAGGACAAAGCAAGUAACAGUAGCAGCAAGUAACAGUAGCAACAACGGUAGUAACAGCAGCAGAGCAAAACAAGUACCAACAACAGCAAAAGUGGGACAAACUCGUAGGCAAUGGAUCAGUGAUUUGUUGGAUGACAUUCAUCAUGCAACAGUUAUAACACGGAGAGAUACGUGACUAGCUCCCAUUCGUCGAUGUGAUGUAGGCAUGCAUUCCGUGUGUAGUCAUACGUGCUUAGGGAAAAGAACUUGCAUGACAUCUAUUGUCCAUCCCUCCCGUGGCAGCGGGGUCCCAAUGGAUACUACAAGAUAUCAAGAUUCUCCUUUUAAUAAAGUACCGGACCAACGUAUUAGCACUUGGUGAACACAUGAACUCCUCAAACUAUGGUCAUCACCGGGAGUGGUUUCGGUUAUUGUCACUCCGGGGUUGCCGGAUCAUAACACAUAGUAGGUAACUACAACUUGCAAGAUCGGAUCUAAAACACACAUAUACUGGUGACAUCAUAAUAAUUUCAUAUCUAAAAUCAUGGCACUCGGGCCCUAGUGACAAGCAUUAAGCAUGGCAAAGUAAUAGCAACAUCAAUCUCAGAACAUAGUGGAUACUAGGGAUCAAUCCCCGUCAAAACUAACUCGAUUACAUGAUAGAUCUCAUCCUACUCAUCACCGCCCAGCGAGCCUACAAAUAGAUUUCUCACGAACGAUGAAGAGCUUCGUGGAAUUGGAGAGGGAAGAAGGUUGAUGAUGACGAUGGCCACGAUCUCCUUGAUCCGGAGCCCAAAACGGACUCCAGAUCUGCCCUCUAGAUGAAGAACAGGAUGUGGCGGCGCCUCCGUAUUGCAAACGCGAUGAAAUCUUCUAUCUUGAUUUUUUUCGGGACGAAAGGGAAUAUAUAGAGCUGAGUUUGGAGACGGCGGAGUCUCGUGGGCCCCACAAGCCCUGACGGCGCGGCCUGGGGGGUGGCCGCAGCCAGAGGGCUUGUGGCCCACUUGCUCACCCCCUCCGGUGGAUCUUUGCGCAGGUAUUUUUCAUAUUUUCCAGAAAUAUUCUCCGUAAAUUUUCAGGACGUUCCGAGAACUUUCAUUUCUGCACAAAAACAACACCAUGGCAAUUCUGGUGAAAACAUCGUCAAUCCGGGUUAGUUCCAUUCAAAUCAUGCAAAGUAGAGUCCAAAACAAGGGCAAAAGAGUUUGGAAAAGUAGAUACAAUGGAGACGUAUCAUUGCUCCAUUCCAAGUUACACACGAGGAUUUUAAGUAAUCCCAUGAUCAGGGGCACAAGGAGGCUAGCGACCAUUUGCAAGUUUUGUAAAAGCAGACAAGGCGAUUCAAGAGAAUAAGGGUGGAAGUGCUAAGGAAAAAACCUUCGCUCCCUUUGGAGAUUUAGGAGAGGUGAGAAAUAUAAAGGUUUUGUAAGUGUUUUUGAAUGGUGUGGAAAAUAUUUUUGUCCUGACUAACGUGCAUGCUAACUAAGGGCUUCCUACAGUCAGGAUGGCUCUUAUACUAGCUCUAUGCGGAACUCCAACUUAUAAGUCGUGAUUAUCAAAUAUAUGUGCUCGGUGAUCCUAGAGAUCAAUGCUCACUAAACACACAAAAAUUGAAUAACAAGAUUCUUACAUCCAUACAUACCGUUUGAUACAAAUAACGACUAUUGAGGUCAAGUGUGACAACCCGAGAUCGACGUUCCAAAAGAUUCCCCUCUUUUCCGUUUUCGUUCUAUCUUUAUUUUUUAUUUGUCGCAUCAUCAUCGCAUCAUGCCCAUCAUACACAUUGCAUCGGCAUCCCGUUGCCGUUAGUUUUCAAAGUUGAAUCCGUUAUUAGUUGCCGGUUCUCGUCGUUGCUCGUUCUAAGCCCGACCACACUCGCACGCGCCCGCGGCAUCGUCAAAAUAUUGUUUUUAAAAGUGUUUGUAAAACAUUAUCUGAUUGGUUUGGAACUUGACGUGCGGUCUUAUUUUAUUAUAGGUAGGCCUCCUGUCAAAUUUGGUCGCAAUCGGAGUCCGUCUGGUACCCGAACGGUCGACCAUAGCGGCACCAUAUUCGGUCUACCGUCGGACGUUUUACGGUGUUUUAAAAUUGCGUUGCCGCGCCGCACCGUUUCCCUCUCUUCCCCGGCUAGCCUACUCUACACGGUCUCUUAGCCGACCCCGCGUUCGAGUUCGUUCGAUUCCGAUCGCGUGGGUGAAAACGGGGCCGGAUUUGAAUAACCCUAGCCCGUUUAGUAUAUAAAUAGAGACCUAGCCUCCAAACCCUAGCCGUUGCCUCAGGAUCCGUGCCCCACCUACCCCUAGCCGCCGCACUCUCUCUCCUCUCUCCUCAGCGCCGCCGCUGGGCCCGCGAGCCCAUGCGAGGCCCACCGAGCCCAUCUGGCGAGCCACCGCCCGACCUCUACCCGAGCGCCUGCGCCUCCCGUCGUCCCAUUGCCUUCGCCGCGUCACCGCUGGGCGCCUUCGCCGUCAACUGCCGUAGGGAACCGCGUGCGCCUCCCCAUCUCCCCUAGGAAGCCGCCGCCGUCUGCCACAGCAAGCCGUGCCGGAGCGCCCUCCCGCCACCUACCCUUCGCUCCGCCGCCUCCCUGUUACGUCGCCGCCUCGGGCCGGAUCCGGCCAGAUCCGGACCCUCGGGGUCCAUCCCCUGCCGCGACCUGGUCGGCCCCUCGCCAGAACACCGCCUCCCGGCCCCCUCCAUGUCGUGGCUGGCGCCGCCAUGCCCGAGGCUCGGGAGCAAGCAGAGGAGGACGACGCACGACCGCUCCACCCUCAUGUCGCCCGAGUGGGCAGGCCUAGCGAGGCCUCCCUCAGCGCCGCCUCGGCCCGGCUCGCCCAGCCCCAGGCCCACCUGCCUCCUCGACCGGGCCCAGCCCGAGGUGAGAAUCCCCUUGGCCCCUCUAAUGUGCGCCCCAAGGGGGAUUUGGGAUUUAGAUUUAGGAUUUUUCCGGUGAUUUAUUUAAUACCAGAUACUUGGGAUAUUUCAAACGCCCGUAGUUUAAUAACCGUGCAUCGGAUCGGAGCGAUUUAUAUGUGGAACUUGUGCAGGUUUUCACGUAGAUUCAUAAUUUGCAACUUGCAUGCAUGUUUGAAAUAGUUUGACCCGCCGAAUGCCUAGUUUUGUGUGUUAUCCCAAUAGGGGAUUGUUCCUAUUUAUUUUUCGUGCGUGUCCGGAUUGCAAAAACCCCAUAGAUAAAAUGCUCAUAUUUUUAGGGACCUUUUGCCAUGUAUUUUAGAGUAGUUAUUUGCAUUUUUGCAUGUAGGAUUCCAUCGCUAGUUUGCUAUAUCAUGUUUAGGACAUAAUCUCACAUAUUUGUGUGGCGUUAUUUUUUUUUUGCAACCCCACAUGUUAUAUAUGUUUUCGGGGCAGAAAAAUCCAUAGAAUUUAACUGUGCAUUUAGAUUUAUCUUUUGAGCAAGUUAGUGCGCGUGAUAUUUUGCCAUGAUGCCCUUUUGUUUAUUUUGUGGGAUUUAAUCCGUGCAUGAUAUGAAGGAGUUGUCAACUAGAGAUAUGCCCUUGGAUGUGUGGACUAGCCCCUGGUAAUUUUGGUUGCAAUAGAAAUCCAUGUUUAGGUGUGGUUUGCUUGUUCUCAACUUGCUAGGAAAUAGUGUUGUUUUAGAGAUGCUGAAAUAUUUGUAAGUCUGAGAUUUGUAUUAAUUUUGUUGUUGUCUUGCCAUGAGUUUAUCUGGUGAUCUAUAGCACUUUUGAGGUUGGUGCCAUGGAGUUGGUUCUAGACUUUAAGAUUCUCUAGCAUGCUGUCAAUUUUCAUGCCAUUGGGAGUCCUAUAGCUUAUGGUUUUUCUGCUGUCAAUAUGCCUUCAGAUCGAAAACUGCACUUUCAUAAACUGUGUUUUCACUAAGUCUAAAACUGCGUGUGAGCAACCAUGUUGUGAGUUCUUUUCCCAGUGAUCCAUGCUUCCAUGAUAAAUGUUAUUAGAAGUAUGUUGUAGUGCUUCUUACCCUCUAUUGCCUCAUGCCUUGUUUGAGCCUUUUGGUUUUGUGUAGCUCGUAGUUGUGGGGUGUGGAAAAUGCUAUGUGGCUGAUUUUGACACAUUGUAGUGAUUUCUUGUUUAGCUCGUAGUUGUUGAACCGUUGCUCCGCUCUGAUCGUGCCCUAUAUAAAACUUGUUUAGAAUCUCAUGUAGUUUCUUAUUAUCUUGCUGGUUGUAUGUUUUUAAAUGUUGUGGCUGCCAUUUGCACACAUAUUGCAUUCAUGCCAUCAUAUCUUGCGGUGUUUGUAUCUUUUGAACCGUAGCUCCGUUGGAGAAGUUCUUUAUGUGUAAAUUGAUUUUAACGAUGCGUAGAAUCACGUGAACCUAUUUAUUUUGCUGUUCAACAAGUAUUUAAACAUGUUAGUUCAGAUCUGGACAGAAUUAUAAAUUAACAUAUGGGGUCAUCUCGGAGACGCUAUAUGACGUUUCCGACCCCAUUUAAAAUGCCUAGAUAGGUAGAAUAAUUACGCUUCACCUCUUGCCAUGUUUAAUCACAUUUAAUAUUGUCAGGUAAAUGAUCGGGAUAGAACUAAAUAAUUCGUAUGUGGAGUUUCGUCAAUAUGCAACUCGUUGCAUAUUGAACUUCACUUAAUGUGUAGUGUUUGAUUGUUGUGAAUUGUCAUGCCAUGUCUUGCAUAUGUCCAACCGCUCAUGCAUCAUAUGUAUUGUGCAUCAUGUGGUGAAUAUCAUGUGUUGAUUCUUGUUUUCUGUUUCCUUCGUCUCGAUAGAGUUCCGCAAGCGUGUCGAAAAGUGAGGACCCGUUCGACUAUGUCAGUUCGUCUGCUGCAUGGAGUCCUACUUCUUCCAAGCAGGAUCUCAGGCAACAGGACCAUUUCCCCAGAUACCAUUACUAUCAUUGCCUUGCUAGUUUUACUAUUUCUAUCGUUAUAUCACCCUAUUAAAUGCUAAUUAAUUUAAUGCACCUAUAUACUUUGUAAAAGGUGGAAGGCUCGGCCUUUCUAGCCUGGUGUUUUGUUCCACCUUUGCCCCCUUAGUUUCGGCUACCUGAUGUAUGUUCCAUAAUUGAGCACUCCUAACACGAUCGGGGUUGUUAUGGGGACCCCCUUGAUAAUUCGUCUUAGAUUAAAGCUGGUCUAGCAAUGCCCAACAUUGGUUCUAUAUUUGCCCAACAUAAUAAUUUUGUUAAUACUGAAAUGCAUAGGGAGUUAGCGCUACCCGAGGAGUAAUUCUACAUAAUACAGGGGGCCUAGCGCUGAUGGUGUUGGUCCAGAACAGAGCAGCUUAUUAACGCUACCCGGGGCAACUCGGUGUUUGGCGUGGUAACCAUUGCUCAUCCGGUGUGCCCUGAGAACGAGAUACGCAGCUCCUAUCAGGAUUGUCGGCACGUCGGGCGGCCUUGCUGGAUUAGUUUUACCUUUGACGAAUGUCUUGUGCAUCGGGAUUCCGGUGAUGCUUUGGGUAAUCUCAUAGUGGAGUUUUUCCACUAAGGAGUCCGACAAGAUCGCGAGCUUCGUGAUCGAGGAUUUCUAUGCGGAUUGUCGUAAUUUGAGAUGGAUUAGUUGGAGCACCCCUGCAGGGUUAAAUCUUUUGGAAAGUCGUGCCCGCGGUUAUGUGGCAACGUGGAAACUUUGUUUAACACUGAUUCUAAACAACUUGAAGUUAACUUAAUUAAAAUAUGUCAACCGAGUGCGUAACCAUGAUUGUCUCUUUCACGAGUUCCUUCUCCGAUCGAGGACACGGUGGGGUUAUGUUUGACGUAAGUAGGUGUUCAGGAUCUUUCAUUUGAUCAUCAGUAGUUUACGUCCGCUAUGCGUAGAUCUUCCCCCUCUUCAUUCUUUUACUCGUAAGUUAGCUACCUCACAUAUGCUUAGUCUCUUGCUGCAGCCUCACCACUUAACCAUACCUCACCCUUUAAGCUUUGCUAGUCUUGAUACCUUUGGAAAUGAGAUUGCUGAAUCCCCUGUGGCUCAUAGAUUACUAUAACACCAGUUGCAGGUACAGGUAAAGGUUACUUGAUGCGAGCGCGUUGAUUGUUCAUUUGGAGUUGCUUCUUCUUCCUCUUCUUCAUCGAUCUAGGAUGGGUUCCAGGUCGGCAGCCUAGGAUAGCAAGGAUGGACGUCGUUUUUCUUUUCUCGUUUGUUUUCGUCCGUAGUCGGACCCUCUCUUCAACGUGAUUUUUAUGAAAUGUACUGAUGAUACUCUGAUGUAGCUUGUGGCGAGUGUAAGCCAAUUCCAUAUGUCUCACCUUUUCAGUACAUGUACUUGUAAUGAUAUCCAUUCUUGCAAAACGACGAGAUGCGCUUCUAUCCCUGACGAGGCCCUCGUGCCAAAUUAAGGAUAGGGUCGCAUCUUGGGCAUUACAUCAAGUCUUACAUAGGUAGGGCCUCAAAGGACGACACACCAAACUCGAUUAGCAACGGGAAUCUUGGUUGAAAGCGUGAACCCAUGUCAUCAGCCUUAACCUACAUGCAUUCUAACUAGGAAGCGUCCUAGCUCACAGGAAGGUCAGCAAGGUACUCUUCACCAUCUCAUCUUCUCUCUUACCUUGUAAAUAAAAUAACAAGUGCCAAGACAAUGAGUGCUUUGAAUGUACUCGCAAGCAACCCAUGUUGUAGAACAAGACAAUAAUGGAACAUGAUAUAUCAAUAGUAUCCUAUUUUUGCGGAAAGCACGUUUUUCCAUAGUGCAACAACAUGAUCAAAUUCUCAUGCGACAUGCAUCACAAGGCAUUGUGGUAACCGAGUGAACAGGUUGCACAUAUCAAUAUCAACUGAGGGUUGGACAUCCCUUGUCCACCCAUCAUGCCAAGUCGCCUGACUUAGCUCGAGAAUCAUGUUUCCCAUGUCACCAUGUUUUCUUCAUACUCCACCACACACACACAGACACACACUUGUUUUAUGCGGAAAUGACUGGCCAUAGUUUAUGCAGCACCCCCCAACUGUCCUUUACCAUGGACACAGCUAUUCGAAUAAUUAUACACCCUAUAGAGGUUGCGUGCUGUACGCACGAGACUCAGGGAACUUCCAUGUCAUCCAUGACUCACGGUAUAUAUAACAUACCCGAGGUAAGCACCCAAACAAUGUGUAACGACUAGAUGCGGUCCUUUCCUAUUUAGGGGGUUAUGCCCCAAAAUGGAAAGAAGCGCAUCUAAGCGUUUCGCAAGCAAGAUAAUCAUAUCACAUACAUAAAUAAAGAUUGAAAAAUAGGGCAUCAUUUGCCAUCUCACAUAGAUAAUAUCCGAGUUACAUCCACACGGUUAUUCAGACAAGGUAGUCCCGCUACGGGGUACAUGAAACAAGGAAAGGCUAUGAUAUCCCGCAUGCUCGCCCAUGAUCACUACCACGGCCUCAGUCUUCGGGAUAGUUCACGUACAUGCGGUCGUUCUCCUCAUCGUACUGCCAUGCCAGCUGCGUGCCAUCUGGAUCACCUGCGUCGGGCGUACCUGUACCUAUUAGGGUGUUGUAGGAAAUGUGAGCCAUGGGGACUCAGCAAUCGAUGACCUUGGUACCGAAACUAGUCAAGUUAAUAGGUGAGGAAGGUUCAGUGUUUAGGUUGCAGCAUCCUAAGCAUUUAUGAUGGCUAACUUACGAAGAUUCAAGUUAUAGAUGUGGUGGUCUACAUGAGCGGUCGAAGACUAGGUGAUCAAUAAGUGAUCCUGAACACCUACUUACGUCAAACAUAACCCCACCGUGUUCCCGAUCAAAGAGAGGUCUUCGAAGGGGACAGUCACGGUUACGCACACAGUUGGCAGUUUUAUUACAGUUAGUUCAAGUUAUCUAUAACCGGAUGUUAAAAAAAUAUCCAUGUUGCCACAUAACCGCGGCCACGGCUUUCCGAAAGAUUAAACCCUGCAGGGGUUCUCCAACUAGUCCAUCACAAACGGUCACGGGCCGCAAAGUAAUCCCCUAUCAUGAAUCUCGUGAUCUCGUCGGAUUCCUUAGAGGAAAACCUCAACUCUGGGUGACCCAAAGUUUCACCAGGAUUCCUAUGUGCAAGAUAUAUCGCUAAGGUAAGACAAGACUAGCAGGACCUCCCAGUGUGUCGACGACCCUGAUAAGAGCCGCGUAUCUCAGUCUCAGGACAACACCGUCCAUGCAUAGUGGACAAUGACCAAAUGCCUCAAGUUGCCUUGAGGUGGUAUCACCGACUGCUAGGUGGGUGGACCAACACUCAUGAGGAGCACUGGCCCGGGUUGUUGAUUACAUCCUCGGGGUAGCAAUUCCCUAUGCAAAUUAUUAUUAGGUGAUUAGAAAAUUAAAACCAAUGUUGGGUCCUGCAGGACAAGUCUUAACACUACACGAUUUAUCAAGGGGUCCCCAUAACAACCCCGAACGUGUUAGGAGCGAUCAGUUAUGGAAUCAAACACCGGUAGCCGAAACUAAGGCAGCAAUAACGGAACAAAUCACCCGGCAAAAGGCUAGGCCUUCCGUCAUUUACCAUGUAUAUAGGUGCAUUAAUUAAAUAGCAGUUUAAUCAUAAUGAUAUCAAAAUACUCAUGUUAUCAGAUGAGACAGCUAGCACCUGCAACUAGCAAAGCUAUCAUUAGAAGUUGAGCAAGCCUACUUAGCCAAACAACAUUAGCUAGGAGGGGAAGGUGUUUGGGUUUCAUGGCAAUAUCAGGAGGCAAUUAUAUCAAGUGGUAGGCAGCGAGCAUAUAUCGAAGGGAACGUGACUCUAAUCAUAACAAGGUAUAUACGGUAUGAAGGUCACGGUCAUCUUGCAUGUGAUGUCUUUAGCUUGGAACUACUCUUGUUCGUCCUGCACAUACUCUCCAGAAUCUACAUAUUCGCUCUCUGAUCCCGGUGCUACCCAAUAUAAAAAUAACAUCCAAUGAAAACCAACACAACAUGAUGCAACAAACAAAUGAUGCAUGAGAUGAGAAUGAAGCAUGCAUCUCUAUUCUAGUCACCUGCAUAUGCAUGAGAAGAGAAGAUAAACUUCUGGACAGAACUUCACACUAAGCUAUCUUGACAUGCAUGAAGAUGUCAUGAAAAGGUGCAUCACGAGAAAACGAUGCAAAAGCAUAUAAAGAACGUUGAGAACGGAGCUACGGAUCAACCGGAAACUACGAAACAAGAUAUGGAGUCCUACGGUUCAAUUCCACCACAAGCACACUCCAAUGGCACUCUUCUAGUAUUCCCAGGUUACCACAAGUUCAAACAAACAAAUAUAGGUGGGGUGGUGCAAAGAAACUCACCACACCACCAACGAUAAUAACACAAGCUUCAAAACAACUAAAACAUGCAAUUUGUCCUAAACAGUAUCAUAGCAGUUUGUGAACAACAUGCAAAGUACCUACAGCCACCCAAAUGUGCCAAACAAGAUAUGUGGAAAAGCCAUUCAAAAUAUCUACAAGCUUGAGCAAGAAGAUAAUACAAAGGAUACACACACAAGAAGAUCUACAGGAACUAACUUGGACAAAAAUAACAGAUUUCAGGGACAGUGAAAAUCUCAGAUUUGCACUAGCUGCUUAUGCUCUGAAGCAUUUUGACAGCCUCCCAAAUGAUAUCUACAGGAAGUGAAAGUGCAUGAAAUUUAACAGAGAGCUAGACAAACCCAAAAGCUCGAACUCUCUAGUUUAUUGCCUGGGCUGAUUCCCAACACAUGAAUUUUGCAACCAGAUCAAUAGGGGAAGAAAAUAUCAGCAGAUUUCCAGACUUUGUGAAAAUCACAGGGUUUUCACAAAUCUGUAAUCUUCAGCCAAGUGUCAACUUUGGCAAUACACAAUUUGCACAUACAAACUUCUAAGCAUAAAACAAAACUACCAUGUUGUAGAGGGGUUCACCCUCUAUUGCCACAUCAAGGAAUCAUCCUCAUAGGCUCAAAACACGACAUGGCACCAAGCUCUAAACAUAGCAUCAACACAGAAAAAUGACAGUUUAUGAAGUUGCUCCAAAGUGAAAUCUGGUUCCACCAGUGGAUUCCUGGGAUGAUUCUACCCCAAAUCCUUAUAUAAAACAUGGGUACUUGCUUGGGACAAGUAGGCACAAAGCUAAGAUGAAAAUCACCCUAGAAUCACAUGAGUCAAAAUACUGCAAUAUCACAUGUGAUGCUCAUCAUCUCAUCACCUUCACUUGCACAUGCUCACACUCACAACACCAAUGGUGAACAUGAGGGGUAUCCCUCAUGCACUUGUGCCUAAGCACUACACCACACACACACACUCAUGCAUGCAUCACUAGAGCUCAUGCACACACACCUACACAUGCACUACUCCACUAGGUCAACUACUCACAUCUCAUCUACACACACACACAACUAGGUGUCCAAGAGGACACCCCAUUGAUACUAAGGCAAGAAAGACACCUUGCUCCUGUGUGUGUGUCACACACACACACAUGCACCACAAUACACAUACACACACAACAUACUCCUCCUCAUGCAUCACCACAUGUGCCACUCACCUACACAUACACACAAGGCUAAGAAUAAAGAAGAAACCUACUGCUUGUGUUCUUAGGAAAAAAUAAAUUGCUGCCCAAGCAAUGCAACAAGCUUACACUACUGCAAACAACAAAGAAGAAAAAAAUGGGUGGGCUUGGGAUCGAACCCAAGUCCUGCUAAACCACAGCACACCUACACUACCACUGCACUACUGCCCUUGGGCUCGACAGAGAGGGGAAGGGAAGCAGGAAAUGCCUCCCUGUCAAGCUACUGUGCCAAAAAACAAAGGGAAAAUGAAAGGGGCGCUCUGGGACUCGAACCCACGAUCAACUACUGUGCAAAAACACCUCCUACCUGUCUGCUAGUCGUUCGAAGCUUACUAGAGAAGGGGAGGUAACCCUCUUAGGUAAGCUUCUCUGCUAAUUCUACAAAACACGGCGGCCGGAACAAGGGACGGACGUCGGCGACGUUACAGCUCAAAUUGAGAAACAGGCUCUUGCUGGGAGGAAGAGGGGUUCACCAGGAACUCAUUCCUGGCCCUAGCUCACCGGGAGGAGCACCACACUAGCACCUCGACGACCGGCGACGACGAAAACACAGGAACAUGACAGCGGCGCUACUACGGCUCCAGGAGGGAUCUAUUCGUAGGGAAACGGGAAGGAGAAGGUGGUCGCUCACCCAGGUCAUGUCGGGGUAGUCUUCGUCGAUGAAGUAGCGGGAAGAAGAGGUGGGGCGGCAUGACGACCCACUUCGGCUUCACGGAGCCGCCAUAGAGAGCGCGCCAGAGAGGAGGAUCCCCUCUACUACCGCCGGGAACGGGAAGGAGAGAGGAGCUCCAUGCCCGAGCGCGCCUUGGCCGCCACGGAGAUGCUGCCGGCGACGAGGAGGGAGGACGGUGAUGAUCUCUCUGAUCGCAGGGGAAGAAGGAGAGCGGGCGGAGGCGAGGAGGGAACCCUAGGACAAGGCACGCACGCCGAGGGAUUAAGUAGGGGUCGAGGGGGUCCGCCUCGACGCCCGUGAAGCCACGGCAUCGACCCUCUCUCUCGUUCUCUCUCUCAUUCUCUGACGGAAAGCAGGACACGAGGAGGGAGACGGCGUCAACAGGAGAGGAACGGGGAAUGGGCUACCGCACGAGGGAAAAACCGGAAAGGGGGAAUUAAUUCCUAAGUUGCGCCCUGUGCGCUAGAUAGGUUACAGGCCAGCCCAAUAACUCGGGCGGGUGACACUGAGGUGGCUUCGAAGGUGCACCCGGGGUAAUACGCCUUCCCUAGGCAAAGGCGGUCUCCAGCCACCCUGUGUCCACUUAAACACGGGGGCGGCCGUUGGGUUGCCUUCAGUGGACCCGCGUGUAGGCCUUCUUCCUCCUCCAUCGUGGACCAGACACGGGGCAGGGGAGACAAGAUCGAGUAGUAGCGGCGCCAUCCCUGUGGCGAUAGCUGCCUCCAGCGAGCCUGCGCGCACCGAGGCGAUCGCUAGGCCGCGCUGCUCCCAUCCCGGAGCUUGGCGUGUGCGACGAGGGGGGGGUGUAGCAGCAUCGGUGCUGGGUCCGUGGAGGGUGUCAUCGACCACCAUCGGCCAUCAAUGCAUGAUACCCCCACAGAAGUAGGGACGAGACGGGGGGUUCCACGGAGGCGGUGCAAGGUCAAUAGGGUUGCUGGGGCAAUGGGGAGCCCUGCAUGGGGGAGAAUUUUUGAGGGGAGGCCGGCGGAGACUUUCGCCAUUCCCAAUGAUAUUGCGGAUGAGAGAGCGAGCGAGGAGCUCUAGGGGGCACCCAGGGGAGAGGGAAAUGAACUGGGGUUCAGCANNNNNNNNNNNNNNNNNNCAGCAGGGGUCCGGGGAUAGCUAAAUGGAGAGCGGACAACGAAGGGGAGCUCGGGUCCACCUCUGGUGCACUCUGGCGCGGCUAGCACACACGGACUGAGCGUCUUGGAUUCUUGCUAGCAUCAUGGAGGGAGUCAAAGGUGGAUAGAGGAGUCUUCUGGUGCGCUGAGACAUGCUCUCACAGCUGGACACGAGUUGCAAGACAUGAACAAGGUGCAGAGCACCAUUUCUGCAUGCUAGGGAGGUGGUCACCAUGUGCAUUCAUGCCAAAGUGGCAUUUUGGUUAGUCAAAGUUGUUUGGCAUGCAAGGCAUGCAUGCAUGAGUGUGAUUGAAGAGUUUGGCCUCAUAUGGGUUAAUGCAGGUGGGGCUUCCGCCGUGAUUAAGUUUGCAACAACAAACUUUAGGGUAGUACAAAGUAUUUUUACGAUGAGGAAUUUGAAUGAAAACCUUGUCUAGUAGUCUUAGGCAUGGAAGGACUACAAGACUACCAAGUUUCAGAUCAAUGAGAGGAUUGUAGCUAGCACUUGCAGUUCAAGGCCAGAUUUCUGCCAAAAAUCAAGUUUCAUAAGGGCUGCUCAUAUUUUCCAUAUGAGCAUGUCGACUCUCACAUGACAAACCAAUGUUUUAACCUCGCUGAUUCCGGGUCCACAAUGGAUUGAAUAGUCAAGAGUACAUGGAGUCACCUGAUCGAGCCGCAUCAAACAUACAUGCAGGUAUAACCAUUUUGUGGCGUCUUUGUCAGAUCAAGAGGGUGAGAAAGCUAAACUUGAUGAGUUGGAAUCCCCCAAGUGACCUAUAAUCUUUGGAAAGCUUGGCAUAGGAUUGCAGAAUACAAUGCUAUUACUGCCAAACAAUAUGGGCACCGGAUAAGCUAGCUUAAUUCCAUUGAUCAUAAUGUGAUAAAUAUGGCUAUUCGUUUAAGCUAAAAGACCCCAAGUAACAUGUUUUUUAAAUAAUAAAGGCUCAUGCUUAGUGUAUAGGCUAAAACGACGUGUAUUAGAUUCGAAAUUAUAUAGAAGUAUGUACAGAAAUUUGGGGUCGAUAUAGAGAUAAUGAGCCGGUAGCUCAAAUAUGAUAGGCCCGCAAAUUGGCCACGUUGACAUACUCAAUUGUUGGUUUUCUUUGGGGGACCCUUGUUAGCUAGGUCAACUUUGUGUGUAAGGAGCUUUAACUUCUCGACGGUGCAGACCAACUCAGGAUAAGCCGCCUCUCCUUCCUCGCAUUCUUGUACUAUCUUCCUGUUGCCUCCCACCAUUAUGGUUCCAUUCGGACCCAUCAUUUGAGCUUGAGAUAGAUGUAACAAGGAUGAGCCAUGAACCGAGCAUAAGCUGGCCUUUCGAAGAUACAGUGAUAACGACUUUUUAUCUUUACCACCUCAAACAUUAGGGAUUCACGUCUGCAAUUGAAUUCGUCCCCAAAAGCGACGUUCAACUUGAUCUUCCCUACCGAGUGGGCUGAUUUCCGAGGAAUAAUGCCAUGAAAAACCAUGGUGGAAGUCUGCAGAUUUUUAUCGUGAAGGUUCAUCCACGGGAAGGUGUCAUAAUAUAGGAUGUUGACGCUGCUCUCUCCAUCCAUGAGGACCUUUGUGAGGGUAUAACCACCAACUUGAGGUGCCACCACCAAAGCUAAAUCUCCUGGGUUGUCAACUCGAGGAGGGUAAUCCUCUCUGCUCCGAAUGAUCGGCUGCUCAGGCUAGUUGAGAUUUCUAGGGACCACCGGCUCAACCAUAUUGAUGGCGCUCUCCUUGUGUUUCAUGUCUUGUUUGCAACUGUUGGUGAAGAAAGUAUGGUAUUGGCCAUUGUUCAGCUGCUUAGGGUUGCUUUGAAAACUAGCUUGAUUGUUAUGCUACUGAUUGCCCUGAUCAAGACGCUUCCCAUUUCUAAUGUUCCAUUGGUGCUGAAAACCUAAUGGCGAGCCGCCUGGUACAUUAAAGCCUGAGACUGGGAAAUUGCCAAACGAGCCGCCCUGUGAGCCGGGUUGACCAUACUACCCGGGUGUCCACCAUUAGCCCCCCGGUGGCUCUAAAAAGCUUCAUUCCGGAACUCCUGCGUAAUAAAACAAUUUUCCCGUGAAUGAGUAGAUGGUUUAUCCUGGAUAAUAUGCUUUGGGUAGGGUGCCUUGAGUGCUUCCUCAUAAUUAUGUGGCUUAUACCAGUUAUAAGGUCCUCGAGAGCGGCGCUGUUUCUUGAACCCAGUAUUCGUCUUAGCCACGAACUCUGAACCGCCCUGAGGCUGCUUUCGUUUGUUAUUCUGGCCUCCUUGGUUUCCACCUAGCUGGUUUCCGUUGUCACCAUUGCUUUUACCAGUUUUCUCUUUAUCCGAGCCGGGAUCCUUCAUGAUCUUUGACUUAGCAUACCUUGUUAGAACGUCCAUUAAGUCGCCCAUAUCUUGAGUGUUCCAUUUUAGACAACCAAGAUUGAGGACUAGCAGCUGGAAGUGACAAUUUUUCGCCAGCAUAGGGACGGCUUGGGAGGUCGUAAUGCUAUCCAUGAGUGGAUAAUCUCCACAACACGGCGCGUCCAAUGAUGAGCCGACUCGCCAGUACGUAGAACACAAUGAUCAACAUCCACAAUUGUCAUCAGCCAUUUGUUGGUUCCUUGAAAAUUCUUGAUAAACAAGUCCUUCAGUUCAGCCCAAGUAUUAAUGGAAUUCGGAGGAAUAUUUUUCAGCCAGGUUCGAGUUGGUCCUUCAAGCAUCAUCGUCAAAUAUUUUACGCAUGCCGCAUCGCUGACGUCGAGCAUAUCCUUGGCCAGCUCCUAACUUUCAAUCCGUGCUACCGUCUCAAGAUCUACUCUAUAGUUUGGUACCUUGCGAGGUCCUUUAAAGUCUUAGGAAUAUGCUCGCUGGAAAGAGUCAGAGAUAGAAAAGGAAAGCCGAUCAUUCUGGUGCUGUUUCUAGCCCCAUGUAUUGCUGACUCGGGUUUCACCACAUGCGGUUGGCCUGCCCGCCUUGUUGCUGCUUCUGCCUCCGCCGGUUGGGUGGCUCUUGCCGCAUCAACUAGGUCUUGGGCGUUCUGUAAUCCUUGCCGGGUUGGGGAAACCCGGGGCUGCUGUCGCUGCCCACCCGAGACUCCUCGUGACGGCUGGCAUAUGGUGUGGAGUGCAUCCAAUCUCGACUGUAACAGUAUUGUGCCUGUUGAACUACAGAUGUCUUCAGGAUCUCAAUGGCGUUACUCGCAUCAAUCUCAAUUGGGGAAUUUCUGUGAAUAGGGAGCGCCUCCAAACUACGUGUUGCUGCUAGCAUAUUGUCAACGGGGUUGGAGAAGUGACACUAUGGUGAAGCAAAAAUGUUGUGCUGACGGCUAAGCCGACGAGGGCUCAACCGGCAGGGGCUGAGCUGGCUCUUCCAACCCGCGCGACAGAUUUUGUGCAACGCCUGGUGUGUGUAGACUCGUGAACAAACGAGUCAGCGUCAUGUUUUGCGGCAACCGGGACUAGUGCCUCAUGUGGUGCACCUCCCCAUAAGUGUUUUGUUGAAGCCCUAACCGCCAAACAUCUGUCCUCAAACGCUCCGACUCAUCUCGGAUUCUAGCCUGCAACUCCGCCAUCCGGCUGUUUUCGGCAUCGAUCUCUUGCUCGACCUUGACCAUCUCCGCAUGAUGUUUUACUAGUUUUGCGUUAUGGUCCUCCUGGUUCUCCACAGUGAGAGGACCCUCAAAAAGUUUGGCCAUUUCAGCCGCCAGAUCACUCAUGGCCUGAGUGGGCGUUUUGCUUGACCCAGCGCCGUUGGUGGCUUCUUCUGUAGACGGACCCAGAGCCGUCGCGGCUCCUGACAUGUACACCGUAACUUGAAGGGGUGGUUCAUCUGGCUCCCUGGCAGCUUCUACUUCCAAAAAACCCCCCAGGUCCUUCAGAGAGAUGAAAGAUGGAUCUGGUGUCUCCUAUGGAUGACUCGUCGUCAUGCUUGGCAAGCAUAUCCUCGCUACCCACCGUCUCGUCCUUGAGGUUGAUCCUCUCGUUGUACCCGACGAAUAUGUGAACAUGACCGGCUUGACACCGAUCGCUUUGGGCGCACCAAGCCGGCUCUACAACGCUCGUGUAGAUGUCCGGCCCGGGUGCCAAUGCGUAGAUCUCGCCCAAGGCGACCUGCUAACUAGACUUGACAAAGUCGGCAUGAGGGUCCCUGCCCGGAUUGUUAGUGUAGCAAUCACCACGGCGAUUCUUAAUCAUCAUAGCAAUUGCGUAACUCUCAAACCCUGGGCGGGUUUCCACCGAGAACUCAAUUGCACCUUGCGACAGCCCCACGGAGGGCACCAAUUGUUGUGGUUUUGUCAGGACAGAUGUCCUCGUCAAAGGACUUAGUGGCAAGGCCAUCAUCGCUAUGUGGCCAUUCAAAGAGGUUGAUCAGGAACGGGAGACGGAUUUACCCAGGUUCGGCCCCUCCGAUGAAGGUAAAAGCCUAUGUACUGCUUUGGUAUCUAUAUUGGUCGAGAUCUCGAUUACAAGGAUGUGGAAUAGCUAACCUAGCUCUCGAGAGUUUCUUGCCCCCUCUUUCUAGCUCGAGGGCUGCCCUUUUAUAUAGGAGGAGGCCUCGAGUUUACAACAGAGUCCGGGUCAAUAAACACCCAUGAUCUAUUACAAUUUUACUUUAUCUUGUUUCCCAAGUUUGGGAAAGAUUUCGGAGUCUUCCACCUCGUGGGCCUUGAAUCGCCAUGCUCAGUUACUGGGCCACGGAGGCUUACUUGCUAAGUCUUCCUAUUGUCUUUCUACGGCUUCAUUGAGCAUAUGCUUCUUGAUUCGCAUGUAAUCUAACCCGACCCAAACAGCGGGUUAUACCGUGGGGUCAUAUCCCCGACACAAACCAUAGCAUUAAACAUCAAGUCCCCUCUACUACCAUACGCAACAAUCCCCUUAAUCAGGUGUAAGCUUCUAUCACUCUAGCCAACCACUAUAAAUGAAUUAUGAACAUGUUGGAGCACCAUAUAGCGAUAAUCCCACACGUGUGACUAGCACAGAGGGUAGCAUAGGACAUCAUCAAAAUAAAACAUACUCAGAAACUAAUCAAGAUCAUCAAUCAACCCAAAGGACAACAUAAAUCUACUAAACCAUCAUUGGAUGGCAACAUAUCAUUCAUUAAUAAUAUGUGGCUUGAAACACCAUGUUCAAGUAGGGGAUUACAGCGGGGUGCCGCAGAGUGGAAUACUGAAAAGAGAUGAGGAAGGUGAUGAAGACAGUGAUGUUCCUGAAGUUGAAGACAGUGAUGUUCCUGAAGACGAUCACCGUGGCGAUGGUUCCCCGAGCGGCACUCCGGCACCACUGGGAAAGAGGGGGAGAGAGUCUCUCACCUUAGGCUUCCUCCUCCAUGUCCUCUCCCAAGAUGGGGAGAGGUUCUCCCUCCGGUCCUUGGCCUCCAUCUCCCCCGAAGGGGCGAGAGACCCUCCUAGAUUGGAUCUAUCUCUGUAUUUAUCACCUGUUUUCUCAACUGUUUUCUCUUAAGGUUGGUUUUUCAUUGAUAUAGAGAGUUGCGGUGACGAGGCGGAGAGUGUCUCCUAAUUUCUUAGGGCUUCUAUAUUUAUAGAAUUUUUUGACAUUGGAAUCAUGCAAAAAGAAUUUACGAGGGGGCCACAAGCUGAUGAGACCGUCGACAAAACGAUGGCGCAAAUAAUCUGCCCAGUCUUUCACGGUGCAAAAACAACAGUAGUCAAUAUUUCUCCUCAACUUUCAAUAGCUCCGAACAUCCAAAUAAAACAACGAUCGUGCACGCGUACUUAGAUUAGAUGGAGCAGUUAUUUCUGCUCUCGCCCGGCCUCGCGUACGUCCACACAAGCAGAUAAACUUGUGCAACAAUUUAACCACGAUCAAGAUCACUUUAGAAUUAGGUUUACGAGAUGAAAACCUAAACAAACAACAUGUAAACCCCGAGAGUCGUCGGAAUCACAUGGCCGAGAACAUAAGUACUCAUAUAUCAUAUUACAGAUUAUAGAUAGCAGCCUCCAAUCUUCACGCAUCAAUCACAAAUCCUAGAUGGAUUUUUCUCAGGAACACAUAGACUUGGCCGCCGGAAACUUGGUGAUUUCUAGGUCUUAUUUUCUCUGAAAAAUAACUUCAACCAAAGCCACCCGGUACACGGCCGAAGCCGGCCUUUUAUAUAGGCUAAGAAAACGAUCAGGCCGAACCGACUUAGACAAAGAUACUACACGGACUCUCUCUCUCCCGCCUUCCUAAUCACAUCUUAACUAAUACUAGUAAGUUUGCACGUGCAAUGCACGUCUUAAUCGACAUCAAAUAAUUGUUGCCUCUUCAUUUCUUGCCUAUCUCCAAUCAUUCAUAAAGAUUUUAUAGUUUAAGUCCUCUUAUUUCUUCGCAUAGUUACAUGAUGUAUUCAUCAUUCUUUAUAAAUUGGUAAGAUGAUCUAACUGUAAUACCAACCACCCCGCGUCUACGUGAUGCCUAAGGGAGGUCCCUAAGCACUUAAACGGGUAUAAUAACAAUGCACCUUGUUCCUUAAGCAUCCAAAACGGGACACCUUGUAAAUAAUACCAUUGACAAUAUAAGUCUCAUGACAUGAAUAGACAAGCAUUCAAAUCAUACGUAAGCGUCCAAUUUUGAUUUGACAGAUAAUAAGUCUAUACUUUGAGUGUCAAAAGGAAGUCCAAAACAAACCAAAAAGUGUAAGCAAUAUAACAUAGGAAUACUAAAAACGAAAUGACUAUUGAAUAGAAUAAAAUACCGGGUAGUACAAUAUUCGAUACACCAUAAUGCUUCUUUCUCAUUAUUAUUGUAAAAUGACAUUCAUAUUACAUUCAAGGAGUCAUUGCUAUUUUCAUCAAGUGCAUGCUCUUGAUAGUCCAACAACUGAUUUGAAGAUGAUGUUGCAAGUUUUGCAAUGCAUAAAAUAAUUUUUGUGCAAUUGCACCUUGAAUGGUAAAAAGUGUCGAUUCAAGAAAAAUCAAGAGCGCAACGAUUGGUGUGAAUAAAAGAUGCAUAAUAGAAAAAAGGGACUUUUUGUCAAAAACAAACUCAUGUACGUAAUUUGCUUACGGAAGAUAACCCUAUGACAAAAAAUAGUGUAACUAUACAAACAUACCAUAAAAUAACUCUUAGGCCUUGCUUGGAUUGUCGGUUUGCCUCCCAAAUACCUCGAUAAUCAAGACGUCGUUUUUAUUCUAGACGGAAAUCACACCGCAGCCUGUAUUUUACACCUGUAAAUUAAAUCUGGAUGUAUAAACUUACACCGAUUCAAGCGGGGUCUUACAGUAAGUUUUUUGCGUGAGCUAUUGGAGUUGCUCUUAUACCAUAUUAAUGCUUUGUUCAUGACGAUUUUUGGCAUUAUCAAAUGGAUUGGUAGCAUGUACAAAAAAACUGGAUUGAUAAACCGAACAUCAAGUAUACAAUGUCAAAUGCAUACAAAGAUUGAGCUUCCAUGAAUGUCUGUGGCAAAGCCAGUAAAUUAAACAGUGUGGCAUAAAACUAACAACAUGACUGACUGAAAAUGAUUGGUACACAAUUUUUUGCGAGGUAAAGGGAGUUUUAUUGCAAAGUUGUAGUGUUACAAUCACGAGGCCAUAAAUCCUCAAUACAAGGUGGAAUUGUACAUUUUUUAUUUUAUUAAAUUAUGUAAAUUAAAGAUAACAGAAUGCUCCAGAAUAAAAGUGAUUAAAGACUGGACAAUUGAUUUUCUAGGGUUACAUCUAGCAUUACGUCUAAUGACCUAUCACUACAAUCAACCCAAUCAUUGGCUUCACCUACAAGUUCUCGGUCCACUAUGAUGCCACUUAAAAAGUUGAUGUUUGUCUUGUGGACCAACUUAGCUGACUUUCCAGACUCAGGCAGAUGCAUGAAAAUUGUACUGCCAGCUUCUAUUACCUUGUUACUAUGAGGUAUAUGUUGUAUGCCCUCUAUGUAUUUAUGCAUACAAAAAAACAUUAACGAACACCGUGUAGCUGAGAUGACAUUCAGAAGCAUUUACGUAAGAACUAGUCCUGCACUCGUCCAUGUUGUGACAGCCCGAGACCGACGCCCAGAAGAUUCCCUUUCCUUUCCGUUUUCGUCGUGUGUCUAUUUUUAUUCUUGUCGCAUCAUCAUCGCAUCAUGCGCAUCAUCAGGAUUGCAUCGGCAUCCCGUUGCCGCCUGUUUUCAAAACUUGCAUCCGUUGUUAGUUGCUGGUUCGCGUCGUUGUCCGUUCUGAGCCCGACCGCACACGCACGCGUCCGCGGCAUCGACGAAACCCCGUUUUUAAGGUGGGCGUAAAAACUUCCUCUGAUCGGGUUGAUAUUUGUCGUGCGGUAUUAUUUUUAUAUAGGUAGGUCGCCUGUCAAGUUUCGUCGCAAUCGGAGACCGUCUGGUACCCGAACGGUCGACCGUAGCGGCACCGUAUUCGGUCUACCGUCGGACGUUUUUCGGUGUUUUAAAAUCGUUGCCGCGCCGCCCGUUCACCCUCCCGUCUCUGGAUAUCCCCUCCACACAACCUCUCGUCCGUCACACGUUCGGAAUUAGUCGAAUCCGACCGUGAGGUUGGAUCCGAGUCGAAAUUUCGCUAAACCUAGCCCCCCCCCAUUUGUCUAUACAUAGACCCCCUCCUCAAAUUUAGGCAGCCAACCCCCCUCUGCCUCAAAAAUCGUGCCUAAACCUAACCCUAUCCCACCUCUCUCUCUCCUCCCACCAGCCCCAGCCGCCGCGGGCCCGCCGAGCCCAGAUCGGGCCCGGGCAGGCCCAUCAGCACGCUACCGCCGUUAGGCCGAGCCGCCGCCAGCUCCCAUGGCGCCGCCUCCUGCCCGCAGCGCCAUGCCGGCCCCGUCCCCGUCCGGCCCCGCCGCCUGCCCCGUGCCUCGCUGCCUCCUGCCGCCGCCAUACGAGCGCAUCCCUCGCCCCGAGAAGCUUCGCAGCCGCCGGCAACCACCACCAGUUCGAGCCGGCCGCCGCCCGCGCAGAUCCCGCCUCCCCGCGACCCCGCUGCCCUGUACCCGCCGGAUCCAGGCCCCUUGCGCCGCGCCGGCCACCGGAGACGCCGGCCUGAAGCCCCACCUCACCGUCAACUCUUGCGCCGCCGCCCCUGUCAUGCUCGAGCACGAGCAGAACGACGGGAACGGCCAGCCCGUUGCCAGCCGCUGUGGGUCGGCCCAGCUGACGCCUCGCCUCGGCCUCUUCCGCGCCGGCCCAUCGCCAGCAACCAGUUCGGCCUGCCACCCCCUAACCCUGCUUGGGCCGAGCCCACCCAGUAAGACCUCUUGCCGGCCUAACCUGCGCCCUGGGCGUAACUUUUUAUACUGCGCCUUGUUAUCCAGUAAAUAACGUAUAUUCGAAUGCCCGUGGAAUAUUAUCCGUAAGUCGGAUCGCGAAGAUUUAGAUAUGUAUCUCGGGUAGAAUUUCGCGUAGAAUCUAUUUUGACAACUUGCAUAUUUAUUUGACGACGUUUAGGGUGCCUAAUGCCUCGUUUUGCGUGCUGUUUCACUAGGAUCCGUUCCGUAGUUAUUCCUCGUGCGUGUCCGGACUGCCCGUAUCCCGUAGAUUAAAUGUCCAUGUUUUAGGGACUAUUUUUCCGUGUAUUUUAGAGCGGUAAUAUGUAUUUUUGCGUGUAGGAAUUUGCCAAUAGUUUAUUUUCCCGUAUCUAGGUGUUUAUCUUGCAUUAAUGUGCGACAUUAUUUUAUGUUGCAAACCCCACAUAUUUUAUAUGUGCAAUUAGUUUUAGCUUUCGAGUAAGUUAGUUCGCGAGAUAUUUUGCUAUGUUGCCCUUUUGAUUAAUUCGUAGGAUUUAUGCCGUGCCUCAUUUGAAUUAGUUGUCAACUAGUGAGUUGGUCUUGGAUGUUUUGUUUAGCCCCUGGUAUUUUUAGUUGCAAUAGAAAUGCAUGUUUCGGUGUGUUUUUCUUGCUCUCAAGUUGCUAGAAAUAGUGCUGUUUUGGACGUGCUAAAAUAUUUCUAAGUCUGGAAUCUGUUAUAUUUUGUUGUUGUCUUGUCUUGCUUGCAUCUUGUGAUCUGUAGCUCUUUUGAGGUUGGUCCAAUGGAGUAAGUUGUAGCCCUUGUGUUUCUCUAGCAUGUUGUGAAGUUUCAUGCCAUUUGGAGUCCUGUAGCUAUAGGUUUUGCUGCUGUCAAUAUAGCUUCAGAUCGAAAACUGCACUUUCAUGAGGUGUAAUUUUCACUAAGUCUGAAAUAGUGUGUGAGAUGUCAUUUUGUGUCUUCUUUUCCGAGUGCUCCUUGAUGCCAUGCUAGUUGUUGUUAGUUGUUUGCAGUAGUGAUUCUUGCCCUCUUCCAUGCCAUGCCUUGCUUGAGCUUAUCGGAGUUGCGUAGCCGUAGUUGUGGGGCAUAGAAAGUGCCAUGUGGCUGAUUUUGGCAGAUUGUAGUGAUUUCUUGUUUAGCUCGUAGAUUUUGAACCAUAGCUCCGAUUUGAUCGUGUCCUACAUGAAACUUGCUUAGAAUCUCGUGUAGUUUCAUUUUCUCUUGCUGGUUGUAUGUUUUGAAGUCCUCGUAGGCGUCGUUGCACACAUAUUGCAUUCAUGUCAUCAUAUCUUGCGAUGCUUGUAUCUUUUGAACCUUAGCUCCGUUGGAGAUGUUCUUUAUGUGUAGGUUGCUUGAAAUGAUGCGUAGAAUCACAUGAACCUAAUUGUUUUGCUGUUGAACAACCAAUUAAAUGUGUUAAUUUAGAUCUGGACAGAAUUGUAAAUUAACAUGUGAGGUCGUCUCGGAGAUGCUAUAUGACAUUUCCGACCUCAUUUAAAAUGUCUAGAUAGGUAGUUUAAUUUCCGCUUCACCUCGUGCAUGUUUAACCACAUUUAAUAUUGCCGUGUAUCUAAUCUGGAUAUAACUAAAUAAUUAACGUGGAGUUUCGUCAAUAUGCAACUCGUUGCAUAUUGAACUUCACUUAAGGUGUAGUGUUUGAUUGCGUGAAUUGUCAUGCCGUGACUUGCAUGUAUUCAGCUGAUCAUGCAUCAUUUGUGUUGUGCAUCGUGUGGUGAAUUCCGUGUGUUGAUUCGUGUUUCCGGUUUGCUUCGUCUCAAUAGAGUUCCGCAGCGUGCCGGAUUGUGAGGACCCGUUCGACUACGUCGGUUCGUCUGCUUCACGGAGGCAUUCUUCUUCUAAGCGGGAUCUCAGGCAAGAUGAUCAUUUCCCCAGAUACCAUUAAUAUCAUUGCCAUGCUAGAAUUAUCGCUUCUAUCGAUUAUGUCUCGUUGCCUACCACAUGUUAAAUACCAGUCUCUCAACAAUGCCAUGAUAACCUUCAACCUGUUCGACCUAGCAAACCACUGAUUGGCUAUGUUACCGCUUCCUUAUCCAUGUUGUUAGCGUUGCUAGUUGCAGGUGUAGUUGCUUCCAUGUGAAAGCAUGGGUUCCUUGUUAUAUCACUAUAUUAAUGCUAUUUAAUUUAAUGCACCUAUAUACUUGGUAAAAGGUGGAAGGCUCGGCCUUUCUAGCCUCGUGUUUUGUUCCACCUUUGCCCCUUAGUUUCGGCUACCGGUGUUAUGUUCCAUAAACGAGCGCUCCUAACACGAUCGGGGUUGUUAUGAGGACCCCCUUGAUAAUUCGUCUUAGAUUAAAGCUGGUCUGGCAGGGCCCAACUUUGGUACUACAUUGGCCUAAUAACUAAUGAACUGCAUAGGGAGUAAUUAACCCGAGGAAAUUUAAUCAACCCCCGGGCCAGUGCUCCUCAUGAGUGUUGGCCCCACCUAAGCGAUGUCCGGCGCCCCUCUGGUCACCCGGAGGUUUAGCGAUCCCGACAUCUAGCUCAUCCGUCGUGUCCUGAGAACGAGGUACGCGACUCCUAUCGGGAUCGUCGACACGUCGGGCGGCCUUGCUGGAUUAGUUUUACCUUUGACGAAAUAUCUUGUGCAUCGGGAUUCCGGUGAUGCUUUGGGUAAUCUCAGAGUUGAGGUUUUCCACUAGGGAAUCCGACGAGAUCGCGAGCUUCGUGGUUGAGGAUUUCUAUGCGGCUUGUGGUAAUUUGUGAUGGACUAGUUGGAGCACCCCUGUAGGGUUGAAUCUUUUCGGAAAGCCGUGCCCGCGGUUAUGUGGCAACGUGGAAGCUUUGUUUAACGCUCGUUCUAGAUAACUUGAAGUUAACUUAAUUAAAACUUGCCAACUGUAUGCAUAACCGUGACUGUCUCUUUCGUGAGUUCCUUCUCCGAUCGAGGACAAGGUGGGGUUAUGUCUAACGUAGGUAGGUGUUCAGGAUCAUUCAUUUGAUCACUAGUAGUUCACAUCCGAUAUGCGUAGAUCAUCCCCCUCUUUAUUCUUGUACUCGUAAUUUUAGCCACCAAAUAUGUGCCUAGCCGCUGCUGCAACCUCACCACUUAACCAUGCCUCACCCUUUAAGCUUUGCUAGUCUUGAUACCUUUGGAAAUGAGAUUGCUGAGUCCCCUGUGGCUCACAGAUUACUACAACACCAGUUGCAGGUACAGGUAAAGGUUACUUGACGUGAGCGCGUUGAUUGUACAUUUGGAGUUGCUUCUUCUUCUUCUCCUUCAUCGAUCUAGGAUGGGUUCCAGGCCGGCAACCUGGGAUAGCAAGGAUGGAUGUCGUUCUUAUUAUUCUCGUUUGUUUUCGUCCGUAGUCGGACCCUGCUCUUACUCUUGAUGUUUAUGUAAUGUACUGAUGUGACUCUGAUGUAGCUUGUGGCGAGUAUAAGCCAACUCUGUAUAUAUAUCUCUUCUUUUCAGUACCUGUACUUCUAACGAUAUCCAUUCUUGCGACACGACGAGAUGCGCUUCUAUCCCUGACGAGGCCUUCGUGCCAAAUUGAGGAUAGGGUCGCAUCUUGGGCGUGACACAUGUCAUCAGCUAUCAGCUAUCAAUGAUGAUGAGUCAUAUCAUGUAUGCUCUAUCAGCUAUCAAUGCUGAUGAGUCAUAUCAUGUAUGCUCUUAGCAUUACUAAAAAACGAUACCUGAACGACAAGAUGUAUUCUCUUGGAAAUACUCAAAAUCAAAGCAUUAACUUUCAAAUAGUAAGUCAUGAGUAUUUCAGUAGUAAAUCAUGUGCAAUGAAGUGCCUGUUCGGCAAUGGACCACUCCGGUCACUCCGCCUCCUCGGAGCUAGAAACAAGGAGCGACAGAAUGCCCGCUCCAAAAAAAAUGAACUGCACGUCGCUCCGCUCCACCGCGGAGUUAGGAGCGAGAGUGUCUUCGAACGGAUCUGAAAUCGUGGAAGCUUGCAAACCUACCAAAUGCUAGUGAACUUGUCAGAUCAUAAAUUCAUGAAAAUUUCAGUAGUAAAUCAUGUGCAAUGAAAUUGUGUAAGCUUGCAAACCUACCAAAUGCUCUAUAACUCCAUUUCACAAAAUAUUGUUGAAUACACAUAUUGAAAAUGCUAACCUAUCUAAUGCCCAAAAAAUGACACAUGCUGGUGUCAAGAUAAUGUAUCAUCUUUCGAGAAGAUAUCGUAUCAUGUUAAUUCUUAGAUCCACUCACAACCAGAAGGUGCAGCAAUCUAAAGCAGAACAAUACUCCCUUAAAUUAGCUUUUCCAACAAAGCUCUAUAAGAGAACAAAUUAUGCACAACAACAAUGUACACUGAUACGAAAUCGUGGAAGCUUGCAAACCUACCAAAUGCUAGUGAACUUGUCAGAUCAUAAAUUCAUGAAUAUUUCAGUAGUAAAUCAUGUGCAAUGAAAUUGUGGAAGCUUGCAAACCUACCAAAUGCUCCAUAACUCCAUUUCACAAAAUACUGUUAAAUACGCAUAUUUAAAGUGCUAACCUAUCUAAUGCCCAAAAAAUGACACAUGCUGGUGUCGAGAUAAUGUAUCAUCUUUCAAGAAGAUAUCGUAUCAUGUUAAUUCUUAGAUCCGCUCACAACCAGAAGGUGCAGCAAUCUAAAGCAGAACAAUACUUGCUUAAAUUAGCUUUUCCAACAAAGCUCUAUAACAGAACAAAUUAUGCACAACAACAAUGUACAAAAGAAACAGAAAACUUGGAACUGCUCUUUGGUAAAUCAUUGCUUGAUUGGAGGUUGCGUUUUACUAAAAGUUGUAAAAGAAAUGUAAAGGAACCAACAACAAGUUGCAGCAUAAAUGAUAGAGCAACAAACUGGGAUAGCUCCGUCUUUGAAACAACAAUGCCAUGGGAAGCGAGGUGAUUCUCAAAAAAAUCUGGUAAGGAAGGCCCAAAUCAGUUUAUGGAAAAUAAAAAAGAUGGAAUUAUUUAUUUCAAUGCACUUCUGAAGAAUGAAUUGUACGACCAAUUAUACAAAGGUCAACACUCAUUUUGCCUAAUAUAAAAAUUAAACUCAAGUAUCUAUAGAGUUCGUAGAAACUUUGCUCAAACCGAAUUUGAGUUUCCAAUCAAAUCUUCACCAGUCAAUGUGAUACUACUACUACAAAUUAUAUCUAUUCGUUUUCUAAAUUAGUCGUACACUUCAUACACAGUUAUUAAUCACAACAACAUUCAUUUCAUAUAGAUGUCGUUACAUAUUACCGUAUUGAGAACUGUAGAGAUAUGUCUUUUAAACAUAAGGAUUAGAAACUAUACCUGGAAUGUAGAGUUCUUAGGUGACACCUCCGCAGCCAAAUCAUAGUCUCUAAAGCUCGCUACUUCCCAGUAGAUUCAUGGUUCAGCAAGAAAAAUAUGUUCACUCUAUUUAUUUCGGACUCAGACCCUAAAGAGAAGCACCGAACAGAGGAGAGGAAGUGGUGACAUGUCCGGUGCAGGGAGUUGCCAACUUGGUCAAGGCGUCGUGCGACCCUGUGGAUUGAUCAGCUGGCAGGGUCAGACAGCAAGCCCGGGGCGGCGCACUCGAUCGGGUGGUCUAUGAGUAGUAGCAACCUACUACCAUGUUGGAUCAUCCGUUUCACAUAACCGGACGGGAGUAGCACUGCUGCUGGUAGCUGCAUGUAGGGAUCGACGGCGCCCUACGUAAAGUGAGGCAUGGAUGUAAUCUUAAGUAAUGUGAUCUGCACGUAAACUAAAAUUCAGUGCCCACAAAGAUAAAUAAAAGUUUAGUGAAAGCAAAUUCAGGGUCACCGGAGGCCGAAAGGCAGAGUGGUCGGCCCUGUGCGACUGAGACGGUCGCCGGACUACUUGGUCAGCUCACGAAUUUCCUGAGGAUGAAGGACAAACGUAUGGCGACAACGGCUGCUCCUCUAUUGGCUUUGUGCCACUUCCGGCAUGGCGACAACGGGCAUCGCACCUUCGUCGAGAGCCGCUCUGCUGGGAGCCAGGGAGGACAAGGUGGCAGAGCAAGAUCUGCGGCAACGCGGUGCGAGCUCGGGCACCAACUGCGGCCGCCAUCGCCCACUCCCUGAGGCCAUCUUCCGCUGCACCAUCGUACGAGUCUCCUAUGACACUGGGACACCUCGUGGCGGCGACGGCCGGUGCGGGCGGGGCGAGCGGCGGCGGCGUGAAGGGGCGGAGGGUGGGGCUAGCGAGCGGAGGCAGGGCUGAGCGGGGGCGGCGUGAAGGGGAGGCGGCUGGCGGGGCGAGCCUUGGCGGGGCGAGCGGCGAAGGCCGGUGCGGGCGGGGGUAGCGGCGGCGGCGUGAAGGGGCGGAGGGUGGGGCUAGCGAGGGGAGGCAGGGCUGAGCGGGCGCGGCGUGAAGGGGAGGCGGCUGGCGGGGCGAGCAGCGGAGGCGUGGCAGCGGGCGGAGUCGGGGCAAAAUUGUGGUGCGGGUGGUUGGGCAGUUGCGAAGUGGACGUGGGUAUUAGUGUUCAUGAAGAUUCGUUUUACGUUAACGACGAUUUUAGACCACAGAUGACGCGAUUAGACGGCUGAGAUGAUGAGUUGGAUCUUCCCUCUCGUGCUUUUAUUAGUAGAGAAUCUUAAGUAAUGUGAUCUGCACGUAAACUAAAAUUCAGUGCCCACAAAGAUAAAUAAAAGUUUAAAGAAAGCAAAUUCAGGGCCACCGGAGGCCGAAAGACAGAGUGGUCGGCCUUGUGCCACUGAGAUGGUCGCCGGACUACUUGGCUGGCUAACGAAUUUCCUGAGAAUGAAGGAUAAACGUAUGAAAUAAGAUGAAGAACAAUUCAUUUUUUUCACAGUUCUGAUUAUCUAGGUUAUUAAUCAUUACAAUUAACAUUAAGAAAAGACAAAUCUACUCUAACAGUCAAUUACCAAAAUGUCAUAGGGAGAAAAAACCAGGGAUCAAUAAGUACCAUCGGAUGUAUGAUGCACCCACUAUUUUUCGAUACACUAUCCACUAUUUUCGGUUGUAUGAUGCACCGUAAAAAGUUGUCUAACCCAGAUUUGAUGCAUGUAGAUGAUUUGGUUUACGAGCAAACAAUUAAUCACGAGCACGACCAUCUUCAGAAACUUGUUUUUUUAGUAUCUAUCUUGAGAAACUUGUUGACAAUCACGUAAGUAUCCUACAAAAAAAUCCAUGGAGAAUAAUAGUGACAAUAUUAAGUGUCACCCAUUGCUAAUUGAUUGAAGUGAAAAUCACAUGAGAAUUUGAUAAAUCAAAUGUCACACUCGGUCAUAGGGUACUUCUGAAGAAUAUCAAUCCUACCCUGCAUAGGAAAUGAAGAAUCACCUCAAACGAAGACAUAGUAUGGACAACAUCGUUUCUAAACAAAGUAACACAAUUAUGAAAGUUAAUUAACACAUGACAAAGUGCGUUCACAACGGCUAUAUGCGACCGCGAGCAACUAAAGUAGAGAGCCAACCUACAAGUGGGGUCAAACCGCAGUUGAUCAACCAGAAUGGCAAUCCCAGCACUGUCGUACGUCUUGGCGUUCUUCCUGAAGAGGAGCUCCUCCGAGAUGCCAUGGCCGGGCAUCACGAGUUCAGAGGCUAGCUGCACGCACCAUCUUCUGUCAGUUUCAUUCUCUGCAAAUAUUUGGGGAACCAUAAUGAUCAGAUCUAAAAAUCUACCCGCGCAUUGCUGGUGAGCCUGACCCGCUACCCUCGCCCGUCAAUGGGUCAUGAGGGAGGAUACCUAGAGGUAGGUCUCGAGGCGUAUGUCGUUGGACACCUUGAAGACGAUCCAAAGCGGCUCCCGAACUUGUCAUGCCUCCCACAAUGUCCUGCGUCUCUCUCUACACGAAUAUCCUGCGCCUCUCUCUGCACGACGCCAAUCAAUCGAUUGAUUCAUCCAUUUUUACACCCCAAAUCCAAAGGGAAUUUUAAGAAGAAUAGUGAGAGGUGACGUGGCAGAUGGCGCCGUGGAGAGCCCCAACGGCGUGACAGCCGAAGCGCGGAGGGUGCGAUCUCCUUUCCAUGGGCUUCCACCGACUUCCUCUCAACCCAUCUGCUCCUCCGUCAGCUCUGCAUCACCAUCACUGUCAGCGUUGCUCCUCUGUUGGCUUUGUGCCACUUCCGGCAUGGCGACGACGGGCAUCGCACCUUCGUCGAGAGCCGCUCUGCUGGGAGCCGGGGAGGACAAGGUGGCAGAGCGAGAUCGGCGCCAACGCGGUGCGAGCUCGGGCACCAACUGCGGCCGCCUUCGCCCACUCCCUGAGGCCAUCUUCCGCUGCACCAUCGUACGAGUCUCCUAUGACACUGGGACACCAUCUCCUAUCACACUAGGACACCUCCUGGCGGCGACGGCCGGUUCGGGUGGGGCGAGCGGGCGACGGCCGGUGCGGGCGGGGCGAGCGGUGACGGCCGGUGCGGACGGGGCGAGCGACGGCGGCGUGAAGGGGAGAACGAUGGGGCAAGCAAGGGGAGGCAGAGCUGAGCGGGGGCGGCGUGAAGGGGAGGCGGAUAGCGGGGCGAGCAGCGGAGGCGUGGCAGCGGGCGGAAUCGGGGGAAAAUUGUGGUGUGCGUGGGUGGGCAGUUGCGAAGUGGACGUGGGUAUUAGUGUUAACGAAGAUUCGUUUUUCGUUAACGAUGAUUUUAGACCACUGAUGACGCGAUUAGACGGCUGAGAUGAUGAGUUGGAUCUGCCCUCUCGUGCUUUUACUAGUAGAGAAUCUUAAGUAAUGUGAUCUGCACGUAAACUAAAAUCCAGUGCCCACAAAGAUAAAUAAAAUUUUAGGGAAAGCAAAUUCAGGGUCACCGGAGGCCGAAAGACAAAGUGGUCGGCCCUGUGCGACUAAGACGGUCGCCGGACUACUUGGCCGGGUGACGAAUUUCCUGAGAAUGAAGGACAAACGUACGAAAUAAGAUGAAGAACAAUUCAUUUUUUUCACAGUUCUGAUUAUCUACGUUAUUAAUCAUUACAAUUAACAUUAAGAAAAGACAAAUCUACUCUAACAGUCAAUUACCAAAAUGUCAUAGGGAGAAAAAACCAGGGAUCAAUAAGUACCAUCGGAUGUAUGAUGCACCCACUAUUUUUCGAUACACUAUCCACUCUUUUCGGUUGUAUGAUGCACCGUAAAAAGAUGUCUAACCUAGAUUUGAUGCAUGUAGAUGAUUUGGUUUACGAGCAAAUAAUUAAUCACGAGCACGACCAUCUUCAGAAACUUGUUUUUUAGUAUCUAUCUUGAGAAACUUGUUGACAAUCACGUAAGUAUCCUACAAAAAUAAUUCUGUGGAUAAUAAUAGUGUCAACAUUAAGUGUUACCCAUUGCUAAUUGAUUGAAGUGAAAAUCACAUGAGAAUUUGAUAAAUCAAAUGCCACACUCGGUCAUAGGGUACUUCUGAAGAAUAUCAAUGCUACCCUGCAUAGGAAAUGAAGAAUCACUUCAAACGAAGACAUAGUAUGGACAACAUCGUUUCUAAAGAAAGUAACACAAUUUUGAAAGUUAAUUAACACAUGACGAAGUGCGUUCACAACGGCUAUAUGCGACAGCGAGCAAUUGAAGUAGAGAGCCAACCUACAAGUGGGGUCAAACCGCAAUUGAUCAACCAGAAUGGCAAUCCCAGCAGUGUCGUACGUCUUGGCGUUCUUCUUGAAGAGGAGCUCCUCCGAGAUGCCAUCGCCGGGCAUCACGAGUUCAGAGGCUAGCUGCACGCACCAUCUUCUGACAGUUUCAUUCUCUAUAAAUAUUUGGGGAACCAUAAUGAUCCGAUCUAAAAAUCUACCCGCGCAUUGCUGGUGAGCCUGACCCGCUAUCCUCGCCCGUCAAUGGGUCAUGAGGGAGGAUACCCAGAGGUAGGUCUCGAGGCGGAUGUCGCUCGACACCUUGAAGACGAUCCACGCAAUAUCCUGCGCCUCUCUCUGCACGACGCCAAUCAAUCGAUUGAUUCAUCCAUUUGUUCACCCCAAAUCCAAAGGGAAUUUUGAGGAAGAAUAGUGAGAGGUGACGUGGUAGAUGGCACCGUGGAGAGCCCCGACGACACGACGGCCGAAGCGCGGAGGGUGCGAUCUCCUUUCCCUGGGCUUCCACUGGCUUCCUCUCCUCCCAUCUGCUCCUCCGUCAGCUCUGCAUCACCAUCAUUGUCAGCGCUGCUCCUCUGUUGGCUUUGUGCCACUUCUGGCAUGGCGACGACGGGCAUCGCACCUUCGUCGAGAGCCGUUCUGCUGGGAGCCGGGGAGGACAAGGUGGCAGAGCGAGAUCGGCGCCAACGCGGUGCGAGCUCGGGCACCAACUACGGCCGUCAUAGCCCACUCCCUGAGGCCAUCUUCCGCUGCAUCAUCGUACGAGUCUCCUAUGACACUGGGACACCUCCUGGCGGCGACGGCCGGAGCGGGCGGGGCGAGCAGCGACGUCGGUGCGGGCGGGGCGAGCGGCGGCGGCGUGAAGGAGCGGAGGGUGGGGCUAGCGAGGGGAGGCAGGGCUGAGCGGGGGCGGCGUGAAGGGGAGGCGGCUCGCGGGGCGAGCGGCGGCGGUGUGAAAGGGCGGAGGGUGGGGCUGGCGAGGGGAGGCAGGGCUGAGCAGGGGCGGCAUGAAGGGGAGGCGGCUGGCGGGGCGAGCAGCGGAGGCGUGGCAGCGGGCGGAGUCGGGGGAAAAUUGUGGUGCGGGUGGGUGGGCACUUGCGAAGUGGACGUGGGUAUUAGUGUUAACGAAGAUUCGUUUUUCGUUAACGAUGAUUUUAGACCAUUAAUGACGCGAUUAGACGGUUGAGAUGAUGAGUUAGAUCUGCCCUCUCGUGUUUUUAUUAGUAGCGUUGAUCACCAAAAGACAAAACAAACUAGUACUACUUUAUAUGCUCACGUAGAUGAUUUUGCAUGCAUGAAGUCCUGAAUCGUGGCUCGACGUCCUCUCGUACAACAAGCUGAACUGGAACAUGUGCUGUUGCCUUGCUGCAGUGUACAAAAUUGUCUCUUAGUUUAACUCCUUGAUUGCUACAUUGCACACUAAUAGUUUGUUUCCUUUUCUCGUUACGGCUAGCAGGAACUAUGUACCUCUCAGUGUUUCUCCAUUUUGCCUUAUAUUAACAAUACUUGUAGGGAUGGCAUACGGGGUGACAUCAUCCUCCCUCCCUUGAAAGAAAACCGUCCUCGGUUUUGAUAUAGACCUCAUAGAUAUUUUCUUGAACGCUUCAAUUGUGCACUUUAUAUCCUUUCUAACCUUAGGAAGAAUAGCAUAAAACUCACCCUCAUGCAUAAAAGUAUACCUAUUUGUUCAUUCAUGAUGAAGAGCAUUAACAUCAUGCUGCCACGGACGUCCAAAAGUAAAAGGACAAACAUGGAGUGACAUAACGUCACAUUCCAUUUUAUCCACAUAGCCAUUAAUAGAAAAAGGGAUCUUGACCCUCUGAGUAACCUUCACUUUAUCCACAUCAUUUAUCCACUUCAUAUAGUAUGAUUUUGGGUGCUCCCAUGUUGCCAACAAUGGAGACUCCACCACAUCCUUCCUAAUCAUGUUGCUAGCACUACCACCAUCAAUUAUUAGUUUGCAAACUUCUCCCUUGAUGGUACAUGUAGUUUGAAAAAUACUCUGUUGUUGUCCUUGUUCAACAAUGGUGUUGUCAUCUCGCUCAACCUUAUGGGCUAGCAAACUCUCCAUAUCAGGAUUAUCUUGAGGAUAACAUAGUAUGGUAUCAUCAUGACCUCUUUCGAUUCCAUCCUCUAACUUAGGUGUGUCCUCUUCAGAUUCUGAAAUAUUUUCCGCAUCAACAAGUAAAAUCCUUCGUUGAUUGGAGCAUCCGUGCUUCAUGUGUCCACGCCCUUCACACUUGUAGCUAAUAAUAUUACGAUGACGAGACGAAGUCGCAUUAGAUGAAACCUGAGAAACUUCCUUUGAUGCAGCCGACAUUGUGCUUUGUUCAAUGCUUCCCAACUUAUAAGAAGUAGCCGUUUAGUUUUAAACCCACCAUCGAUAGGAGAAGAACCACGUCACCCAUUAUUGUAAGUUGGACGAGUCUCAGAAACUUGCUUCUCCAAUACCCAACGUUCAAAACGCUCCGCUUGAUGAAGUAACUCGUGAAUAUCAUUAUAUUGCAUUAAAUCAACACGGUCAUGAAUCUUUUCUUCUAAUCCCUCAAAGAAACUUACCAUGGUCGCCUCUGCAGACUCGCGUACAGCUGUGCGGAUCAUCGAAACUUGCAUCUCUUUAUCGUACUCAUCAACUGAUUUUGUACCUUGCACUAGACGAUGCAAUCUACUAUGUAGCUGGCGGGUGUAAUAAGCAGGCACAAAACGUUCCCUCAUGACUCUUUUCAUCUCAGCCCAUGUCGCUGGUCGCUCUUGAGUACGGUUCUUAUUAUCCCAUCAUACAAGAGCAUACUCUGUAAAUUUCAUUGAUACAACACGAACCUUCUUUUCUUUGAAAUAGUUGUGGCCAUCAAAAAUGCUGUGAGCAUCGAAAUAAAACAACGAUCGUGCACGCGUACUUAGAUGCGGCAGUUAUUUCUGCUCUCGCCUAGCCUCGCGUACGUCCAAACAAGCAGGCCAACUUCUGCAACAAUUUAACUACGAUCAAGAUCACUUUAGAAUUAGGUUUACGAGAUGCAAACGUGAACAAACAACAUGCAAACCCCGCGAGUCGCUGGAAUCACAUGGACGAGCACAUACGUACUCAGGUAUCAGAUUAGAGAUAGCAGCCUCCAAUCUUCACGCAUCAAUCACAAAUCCUAGAUGGAUUUCUCACAGGAACACAUAGACUUGGCCGCCGGAAACUUGGCGAUUUCUAGGUCUUACUUUCUCUGAAAAAUACAUUCAGCCAAAGCCACCCGGUACACGGCCGAAGCCGGUCUUUUAUAUAGGCGAAGAAAACGAUCAGGCCAAACCGACUUAAACAAAGAUACUACACGGACUCUCUCUCUCCUACCUUCCUAAUCACAUCUUAACUAAUUUAAUUAUCCGGCAGCAUUGAUCACAAAAAGACAAAACAAACUAGUACUACUAUUUUUUAUAGGGAAGCCCUAGCGGCCAGACUACUGAUGGUUGGCUUUCAUCAGACUAGUGCUGAAUCGUUGAAUUAAAAUCAGAUUGGAGACGUGGGCCUAGUUAGUUAGCAUGCCGUAUACUAAUUGCAAUUUGUUUCCGUCAACUACUCCCAGAUAAUCACUUCACUAGCAAUAACUUCCUUCUUAUUGCUUCUUCUGUGCUUUAAAACCUGCUUUAGGGGAAAUGGUGCAUCUAGCAAACCGGAUGCGUAUCUCAUGCAUACUAUUGUUCAUCACCAAGUUCGUGCUAAGAAUGAAAGCGUACCAAUUGAUUUUGCUUCUACCAGCAAAUUUGCUUCCAUGUCAACUGGAGAUUGUUUCAAUUGGUGUUUUUUUGUCGAACAUGACAAUUUAUUUUGCAUCGUCUACAUUGUGAUGUAGACGCCAAUUUCAUGCUCGCAUCAUUUGUUUUACCAUUGUUAUGGACUCUCCGAAAAGAAUUAAAAUGGUAUCUGCAUCGGAAUAAACAUGAAUUUGCUUAUCAAGAAUUUGAAAUUUGCAUCGAAAGAAGUGAGCAUUUGCUUCCAUAGAAUUUGGAAUAUUAAUCCAAAGAAAUCAAAAUUUGCGUUCGUACAUAAGAAUGACGCCUUGCUUCCAAAGCUAUAUAUUUUGCUUCCAAAUCAUUAUAAUCCUAUUUUCAGACUAGAGAAUUGCUUCCAUACAAAUAUAGAUCCAAAGAAGUGAGCAUUUGCUUCCAUAGAAUUUGAAAUAUGAAUCCAAUGAAAUCAAAAUUUGCGUUCGUACAAAAGAAUGACGCCUUGCUUCCAAAGCUAAUAUUUUGCUUCCAAAUGAUUAUGAUCCUAUUUUUAGACUAGAGAAUUUCUUCCAUACAAAUAUAUAUUUUUCCCACUAAAAAUAAUAAAAGUUCAAAUAAAGUGGGAAAUGUUUCCACCGUGAUGAGUAAGUGUCUUCAUUAAAUCUUGAAUUUGCUUCCAUGCUCGUAAGGAAGCACUACACCAUCUACAAGGGUGUCACAAAUUGCAAGCAAAAAUGUGAGGACCCAGUCCCUUGCACUGUCGCCAUGUGGACAUAAAUGAUGUUUCUUUCUAACUUCUGACGUCUUUCCUGCAUUCAGAGUGCGUAAUCAUGUGAUGAAGUUAGCAAAAUCCGAUGAAUAAAUCCAAGAGAGACAGAGAAGAACUUUAUAACUACAAUGCUUCAAACAAUGAAAAUAUCCCUUGCAGGGGCGUUUGACACACAAACCUAUUACCUGAAGGUGUGUGUUGCUUCUUACUAACUUUUUAUGUGCUUCCUGCAAUCAGAGUACAUAACCAUGCGACGACAAAUCCAAGAGAGACAGAGAAUAACUCUACAACUACAAUGCUUCAAACAAUUGCAUAGAAAUCUUUGUGUGGUGAUUGUUCGUGCUUGAUUGUGAGCACCACAUCCCUAUAACAUGGAGGAAGAAUUAGAGAUUUGUAAAUCAUUUCUUUACUAAAUAGAAUAUUAGUGUUGUUACACGGAUUUCUGAAUUCACAUACCACCAGAUCAGUCUUGUAUAUUAACCAUUCAACGAGACCACUGAGAGUUGAGAUGGAGCCUAUAUUCAGAAGAUUUUCCCAACCUUGAUCUUGAACGAGAAUUCUCCAAGCAUCGGGUAUAACAUGGGUACACCAACAAAUUUAAUCGAAGCAAGCAUUGCAACCAAAAUAGUAAUGCAAAUCAAAACAAGGGUGAAAUCAAAGAUGAAAUGAAUCUAACCCUAGGUUGAGGAUGAGUACAUGCACGCGCCGGAUGGGGGGGGGCUAGGUUUCACACGGAGCUUCUUUGCCGAACCAAUACGAUGCGCCAACGAGGUGGGAGCGAUGGCGACGGGGCAGGCCUGGCAGGGGACCGGGGCGACGAAGGUGGUUCAGAUCAGGGAAUGACAUAGCAGCGGCGGGACGGUGCACCGGUGAGGUGGAUCAGCAGUAGCCGCAGGACGGCGCACCGGGGAGGUGGAUCAGCAGUAGAAGUAGCUAAUUUUUGGUGCUGAGGAGGAUGGCGGAGGAUCUAGCCGUCGCGGUGACCGAGCUUAGGGAUGAGCUCGCCCUUGGAAUUCGAGACGGUGUGGGGUGUCGUGGCUCGACGUCCUCUCGUACCACAAGCUGAACUGGAACAUGUGCUGCUGCCUUGCUGCAAUGAAGAAAAUUGUCUCUCAAUUUAACUCCUUGAUUUCUACAUUGCACAGUAAUGGUUUUUUCCUUUUCUCGUCACGUCUGGUAGGAACUAUGUAGCUUUCAGUAUUUCUAUGGUUUGCCUUAUUAACAAUACUUCUAGAGAUGGAAUAUGGGGUCACAUCACAAGCUAACAUGGCCCUUUGACCCCCCCCCCGGCGUGCCCAGUUGGCUUGUGGCUGACAGGGAGCCCCCUCCGGUGGUUCUUCGCUCCAUUUUUUGUUAUAUGUUCCAUAAAAAAUCACCAAAAGGUUUCGGACAAUUCCGAGAACUUGCAUUUUCUGCAUAAAACAUGACACCACAAUAAUUCUUCUCAAAGCAACAUUACUCUGGGUUAGUUCUAAUUAAAUCAUAAGAAUUGCAUGAAAGACAUAUAAAAGUAUUGUAAACAUAGGUGAAUAUUGCAUGAGUUCUUCAUAAAUUAUCGAUACGUGGGAGAGGUAUCAGGGUGUUAUAAAGUUUGCAAGUUGCCAGAGAAGUGCGGGCAUGACUUCUCGAAAGAUUUAACCUUGCAGAGAUGCUCAAACUCAUCCAUUACAAACCAAAAACAAGCUAUGAUGGAAAACGUCAACAUUGAGAUAGCACAAAGUAUCCUUGGAAACCCGAUGCACAAGAUAUUUCGUAGAAGGUAAAAGAAAUCUAGCAAAACCUCCCGACGUGUCGAUGAUCCGGAUAGGAACCUUGUAUCUCGUUCUGAGGACACGAUUGAUGAGCUACGGGUAAAGUGGCCUGAUAGAAAUCUCCCGAGUUUCCUUGGGGUCGCCCCACACGAUGGCUGUUUUGGACCAACACUCAUGACGAGCACUGGACUUGGUUGUUAGGGUUUACGGUUUAGGGUUAUGGGACAUAAAGCUGGUAAAUGGAAACUGGGGCAACAAAGGUAGAACAAAACACCGAGCAAAAGGCCAAGCCUUAUACCUUUUACCAAGUAUAUAGGUGCAUUAAAUAAGAAUAUUGUGAUUUCCCAAAGAUAUCCAUGCUAUCACAUGGAACAACCUGCACCUAUAAAUAACAACACUAUAGGAAGGGCUGAGCAAGUGGUAACUUAGCCAAACAACGGUCUGCUGAGAUGUGGAGGGUUAAAGGCUUAUCAUCGCAUUUUUUGGUGCCUUGACAAACAGUUGGUAGAAAGCUAGACAUAGAGAUAAAAAUGAGAUUACUAGCAUGGAAAUGAUUGCAGUGGUAUCCAAGGUAAUGAUCAUCUUGCCCGGAAUCUAGCUUUGAAGAAGAAGAAUCCAUGAAGUAGACAAACGGGAUGUAUACGAACGGAUCCUCACACUCCGAAAUGCCUGCAAAACUCUAGCAAUGAGAAGAAAAUCAAGAAAAAAGUGAAUGAUAUGGUAGACAACACAACAUAUUCAUGACAUGGUGUGACAAAAAAUAUGAUGCAUGUCAAUUUAAUUAUGCAUGGCAUGGCAAAGAGCACAAACAAUCUCUACACAUUAAAGUGAAGCUUAAUAUGCAACGAGUAGCAUAUUGAUGAAACUCCACGUUCGGAUUAUUUGGUUCACUCCCAUUUAUUUACUCAAGCAUUUUAAAUGUUGUUAAACAUGGCAAGAGGUGAAGCAUAAAGAAACUACACUAUCUAGGCAUUUUGAAUAAGGUCGGAAACAACAUAUAACACUUUUGAAAUGACCUCAUAUGCAAUUUUCGAAUUAGGUACAGAUAUGUCGUAAACAUAUUUGAUAUUUAUUAAACAGUAAAAUAAAGUGAACCAUGUUAUACUACACGUUAUUCUAAGCAAUUUACACAUGUAGUUUAUUUAAUUCGGACUUAAGGUUAUUUAGUUAUGAGAUGAAGCGCGUAGCAUGUGAUUAUGCAAUUUUAAAUGCAACAUCAUUUUAAAUGUUUUUAUCAUGCAUGAGCAUGAUAUUUUUAAGUUGCAUCCAAUUUUUAAUAAAUUAUGAACAUAAUAUUACAUGGGAAUUUGUUGCCAUGAGGAAAAUAAAUGGGAGCCAUUGCAACGAAAACGAAAAUGGUGCCACAAAAAUGUUCCACUUACGUGUGCGACAUUCUAGAAUGAUGGGGAGUGAUCCCGGUUACUUGGUGUCCCAUGUGGAGAUGACAAUGGAAAAUGAGGAACAUGUGAAAGUGUUCAAUUAGGACAUGGAGCAAAUACAGACAUCUCAUACAAACGUCACAAGUUCAUGGGCGUUUAUCUCGUCAUUAUACCUUCAAAGUGUGUGUUUCCGGGUACAAGUCUUGGCGUCUCUGGUUUAUAUUAUCUUGGCAACAACAAAAUAGGUAGCAGGGAUGCACGUAAGUAGAGAAGACCAAUAUGGUUCUGUUGUAAAUAUGCCCUAGAGGCAAUAAUAAAUUGGUUAUUAUUAUAUUUCCUUGUUCUUUAUAAUCGUUUAUUAUCCAUGCUAGAAUUGUAUUAAUUGGAAACACAAAUACAUGUGUGGAUACAUAGACAACACACUGUCCCUAGUGGGCCUUUGAAGGACUAGUUCGUUGAUCAAAGAUGGUCAAGGUUUCCUAACCAUAGACAUGAGAUGUCAUUUCAUGACGGGAUCACAUCAUUAGGAGAAUGAUGUGAUGGACAAGACCCAAACUAUGGACGUAUCAUAUGAUCUUGCCAGUUUAUUGCUACUGUUUUCUGCAUGUCAAGUAUCUGUUCCUAUGACCAUGAGAUCAUGCAACUCCCGUACACUUAAGGAAUGCCUUGUGUGUAUAAAACAUCACAACGUAACUAGGUGACUAUAAAGGUGCUCUACAGGUAUCUCCGAAGGUGUCUGUUAGGUUGGCAUGGAUCAAGACUCGGAUUGUCACUCCGUGUGACGAAGAGGUAUCUCGGGGCCCACUCGGUAAUGUAACAUCACAAAAAGCCUGGCAAGGAAUGUGACUAAGCACUUAGUCAUGGGAUAUUGUACUACAGAACGAGUAAAGAGACUUCCCGAUAACUAGAUUGAACUAGGUAUGGAGAUACCGACGAUCGAAUCUCGGGCAAAUAACUUACCGAUAGAAGAAGGAAAUAAUAUACGAGAUUGAUUGAAUCCUUGACAUCAUGGUUCGAUAUAUAAAGAUAUUCAUAGAAUAUGUAGGAGCCAAUACGGACAUCCAGGUCCCACUAUUGGUUAUUGGCCGGAGAGUGUCUCGGUCAUGUCUGCAUAGUUCUCGAACCCACAGGGUUUGCACACUUAAGGUUCCGUGACGAUUUGGUAUUACUGAGUUAUGUGUGAUGAUAACUGAAUGUUUUUCGGUGUCCCGGAUGUGAUCCCAGAUAUCACGAGGUGCGCCAGAAUGGUCCGGAGGUAAAGAUUUAUAUACAGGAAGUCAUAUUUUGGCUACCGGAAAAGUUUCGGGUUUUUCCGGUAUUGUACCAGGAAGCUUCUAGAAGGUUCUGGAAAUUUUCAAAGGAGUCCGGAAGUCCACCAAGGGUUCUACCAUGUCCCAAGGGUCUACAUGGGCUGAUGGGAGACACCGUGGCCUUAUUGGUCCAAGUGUACAUGUCCCUCAAGGCCCAUACAGUUGGGAAAGGUGGAAAGUCCACGUUUGUAUGGAAGGGAACGAGGGGGACUAGGAUUCCACCUCCUCCCCCCUUGGCUGCGCCCUAGGGCUAGGAGGGGCUAUUCUCGACGCCCCUCCACCUAUAUAUAGAGGGGAGGGGGCACACCAAGAGCACACACGAAGCCCUUGGCGCCCCUCUCUCUCUCCCUAGAUCGUUUUCUCCCAGUUCGUGGUUUCGGUAGUGCUAGGCGUAGCCCUGCCGGGAUAGCAACGCCACCACACCGUCGUGUUGCCGGAGAACUCAUCUACUACUUCGCUCUCGUUCACUUGAUUGAGGAGGUGGAUACUUCAUCAAUCUGUACAUGUGCUGAACGUGGAUGUGUCGUUCGUUUGGCGCUCGGUCGGGAGUUCGUGGGACGGAUCGUGAUUGGAUCGCGAAGACGUACCACUACAUCAACCGCAUUCUUAACGCUUCCGCUUAGUGAUCUAAAAGGGUAUGUAGAUACAAUCUCUCCUCUCGUAGAUGGUCAUCACCAUGGAUAGAUCUUGUGUGCGCGUAGGAAAUUUUUUAUUUCCCAUGCGAGGUUCCCCAACAGUGCCAUCAUGAGCUAGAUCUAUGCGUAGAUGACAUCUCAAGUAGAACACAAAGGAAUUUGUGGACAUUGAUAUUUAGAUUUCUACAUCCUUAGUCUUUUCUUCAUUUGGCAGUAUCGUUGGAUGAAGCGUCCCAAACCAACCUUACUAGUACGCUUACAAGAGACCGGUUCCAUCGACUGACAUGCAACUUGUUGCAUAAAGAUGGUUGGAGGGUGUCUGUUUCUCCUUAUUUAGUUGAAUCAGAUUUGACAAAGGUGGUCCUUGGAGAAGGUUAAGUAGCAACUUGUGUAUCACCGUUGUGGUUUUGCGUAGGUAAGAAUUAGUUUUUGGUAGACACCCAUACCAGCCACGUAAAACAUGCAACAAAAAAUAAGAGGACGUCUAACUUGUUUCUGCACGGUAUGCAUGUGAUGUGCAUGGCCAACAACAAGAUGUAAUAUAUUUUAUGUUUGAGAUGAUCAUGUUGUAAUAGUUAAAUAUCGACUUGCAUGUCGAUGCUAUGGCAACAUGAAGGAGCCAUAGGGUUGUCUUUAAUUAUUUUGCAUUUGGUGAUGCUUUACUUUAUCGCUAAGAGGUAGCAAUAGUAGUACAAGCAUAGUUGGCACAACAACCUCAAUGGCAGCAUGUGAUGGAGAUCAUGGUGUUGUGCCGGUGACGAUGGAGAUAAUGCCGAUGCUUUGGUGAUUGAGAUCAAGAAGUACAAGAACAUGGCCAUAUCAUGUCACUUAUGAUUUGCAUGUGAUGUUAAUCCUUUUUAUGCACCUUGUUUUGCUUAGGACGAAAGUAGCAUUAUAAGGUGAUCCCUCACUAAAAUUUCAAGAUAAAAUUGUGUUUUCCCUGAGUGUGCACCGUUGCGAAAGCUCGCCUUUUCGAGACACCACGUGAUGAUUGGGUGUGAUAGACUCUACGUUGUCCUACAACGUGUGCAAGAUAGUUUUGCUCACGCGGAACACUUGGGUUAAACUUGACGAACCUAGCAUGUACAUACAUGGCCUCGGAACACAAGAGACCGAAAGGUCAAACAUGAGUCAUAUAAUAGAUAUGAUCAACAUAGAGAUGUUCACCAUUGAAGCCAACUCAUAUCACGUGAUGAUCGGACAUGGAUUGGUGGAUUUGGACCAUGUGCCACUCGAAUGACCAGAGGGAUGUCAAUCUGAGUACGAGUUCUUAAAUAAUAUGAUUAAUUGAAUUCAUUAUCAUGAAGAUAGUCAAAAUGUAUUUGCAAAUUAUGUUGUAGAUGAUUAGCUUGUGCUAUAGCUCCCCUGUUUUUGAUAUGUUCCUAGAGAAAACUAAGUUGAAAGAUGAUAGUAGUGAUUAUGCGAACUGGGUACGAAACUGAGGAUUGUCCUCAUUGCUGCAUAGAAGGCUUAUGUCCUUAAUGCACCACUCGGUGUGCUACCCCUCGAGUGUCGUGUGUGGAUGUUACGUGAUAGUUCAGUGCGUCAUGCUUUAUGGCUUAGAAUAGAGGCGCCCACGAUGUUUUGAACGUCAUGGGACAUAUGAGAUGUUCCGAGAGCUGAAAUUAGGAUUUCAGGCUCGUGCCCGUGUUGAGAGGUAUGAGACCUCCGACAAGAUUAUUUGCCAACAAAGUAAGAGAGAAAAACUCAAACGUUGAGCAUGUUCUCAGAUUGUCUGGGUACUACAAUCUCUUGAAUGGAGUGGGAGUUGAUCUUCCAGAUAAGAUAAUUAUUGACAUAGUUCUCCAAAGUCACUGCCACCAAGCUACUAGAGCUUCGUGAUGAACUAUAGCAUAUCAGGGAUGAACUAGAUAAUCACUGAAUUAUUCACGAUGUUUGACAAUACAAAAGUAGAAAUCAAGUAAGAGCAUCAACUGUUGAUGGUUAGUAAAACCACUAGUUUCGAGAAGGGAAAGGUCAAGAAAAGGGAUAAUUCAUGAAAUGGAAAACCAGAUGCUGCUCUAAAGAAGAAACCCAAGGUUGAACCCAAACCCGAGACUAAGUGCUUCUAAUAUUAGGCCAAUGGUCACUAACGCAACACUACCCUAGAUACUAGGUAGAUGAGAAGGCUGGCCAAGUCGACAAAAGUAUAUUGGAUAUACAUGAUGUUGAUGUGUACCUUACUAGUACUCCUAUUAGUACCGGGGUAUUAGAUACCGGUUCAGUUGCUAAGUGUUAGUAACUCGAAAUUAUAGCUACGGAAUGAAUGGAUACUAGCAAGGGUGAGGUGACGAUGUGUGUUGGAAGUAAUUUGAAGGUUGAUGUGAUCAAACAUCACACACUCCCUCUACCAUCGGGAUUAGUGUCGAACCUAAAUAAUUGUUAUUUGGUGUUUGCGUUGAUCAUAGACAUGAUUAGAUCGUGUUUAUUGCAAUACGACUAUUCACUUAAAGAGAAUAGUGGUUACUCUGUUUACUUGAAUAAUACCUUCAAUGCUCAUGCACCUAAAAUGAAUGGUUUAUUGAAUUCGAUCAUAGUGAUAGACAUGUUCAUAAUAUUGAUGCCAAAAGAUACAAAGUAGUAGUGAUAGUACCACUUACUUGUGGCAGUGCCACUUGAGUCUUAUUAGUAUAAAACGCAUGAAGAAGCUCCAUGCUGAUGGAUCUUUGGACUCAGUCGUUUUUUCGUUUGAGACAUGUGAACCAUGCCUAUUGGUGUAAACGCAUGAGUAAACUCCAUGUAUAUGGAUCAUUUGGACUCACUUGAUUUUGAAUCACUUGAGACAUGCAAAGCAUGCCACAUGGGCAAGAUAACUAAAGGCCUCGUUUUUCAUGUGAGAUGGAACGAGCAAGUCACUUGAUGGAAAUAGUACAUUUUGAUGUAUGCAGUCCAAUGAGUGCUUAGGCAUGCAGUGGAUAUCAUUAUGUUAUUACUUCACUUAUGAUUUGAGUAGAAAAGGUGUAUUUGCUUGAUGAAUCAGAAGUCUGAAAUAUUGAAAAGUUCAAGCAAUUUCAGAGUGAAGUUGAAGAUCGUCAUGAAAAGAGGAUAAUAUGUCUACAAUGUGAUCGUGGAAGUAAAUAUAUAUCUAAGUUGCGAGUUUGGUAUACAUUUAAGACAAUGUGAAAAUUGUUUCACAACUCAUGCCACCUCGAACACGAUAUAGUGUGAUGGUGUGUCCGAACGUCAUAGCCGCGCCCUAUUGGCUAUUGUGCAUACUAUGACGUCUAUUAUCGAAUUACCACUAUCGUUUUGGGGUUAGGCAUUAGAGACAACCACAUUCACUUUAAUAGGGCACCACGUAAUUUCGUUGAUAUGACACCAUGUGAACUAUGGUUUGGAGAAACCUAAGCUGUCGUUUCUUCAAGUUUGGGGCUACAAUGCUUAUGUCAAUAGGCUUCUACCUGAUAAGCUCGAACACAAAGCGGAUGAAUGCAUCUUCAUAGGAUACCCAAAAUAGUUGGGUAUACCUCCUAUCUCAGAUCCGAAAGCAAAGUGUUUGUUUCUAGAAAUGAGUCCUUUCUUGAGAAAGAGUUUCUCUGGGAAGAAUUGAGCGGGAGGAUGGUGGAACUUGAUGAGGUUACUGAACCAUCACUUCAACCAGAGAGUAGAAGGGCGCAUGAAAUUGUUCAUGUGGCGCCUACACCCAUUCAAGUGGAAGAUGAUGAUGGUGAUCAUGAAGCUUUGGAUCAAGUUACUACCAGACCUCGUAGGUAGACAAGGACACGUAAUGCUCCAGAGUGGUACGGUAAUCGUGUCUUGGAGGUCAUGUUGGUAGACAAAAAUGAACCUACGAGCUAUGAAGAAGCAAUGGUGGGCCCGGAUGCUGACGAAUGGGUGAACGCCAUGAAAUCCGAGAUAGGAUCCAUGUAUGAAUAGACUUUGGAAGAACUACUUGAUGGUCGUAAGGCUGUUAGGUACAAAUGGAUCUUUAAAAGGUGAUGGUAAAUGUCACCAUUAUAGAAAGCUCGACUUGUCGGAAAGAUGUUUUCGACGAGUUCAAGCGGUUGACUAUGAUAAGACUUUCUCACUCGUAACAAUGCGAAAGUCUAUUGGAAUUAUGUUAGCAGUUGUUGUAAUUUUUGAUUAUGAAAUCUGGCAUAUGGAUGUCAAACCAUUGUUUCCUUGACGGUUUAUUUCAGGAAAGGUUGUAUGUGAUACAACUAGAAGGUUUUGUCGAUCCUAAGGAUGCUAACAGGUAUGCGAGCUGCAACAAUCCUUCUAUGGACUAGAGCAAGCAUCUCGGAGUUGGAAUAUACGCUUUGAUGAGAUGAUCAAAGCAUUUGGGAUUAUACAAAGUUUAUGAGAAACUUGUAUUUACAAGGAAGUGAGUGGGAGCACUAUAGAAUUUCUGAUAAGUAUAUGUGGUUCACAUAUUGUUGAUCGGAAAUGAUGUAGAAUUUCUAGAAAGCAUAAAGGGUUGUUUGAAAGGAGUUCUUCAAAGAAAAAACCUGGGUUGAGCUACUUGAACAUUGAGCAUCAAGAUCUGUAGAGAUAGAUCAAGACGCUUGAUAUAACAUUCAACGAAUACAUACCUUGACAAGAUGUUGAGAGCGUUCGAAAUUGAUCUGUCCAAGAAGGAGUUAUUGACUGUAUUGUAAGGUGUGAAUUUGAGUAAGACUCAUAGCCCGACCAUGAUAGAAGAAAGAGAAAGGAUGAAGGUCGUCCCCUAUGCCUUAGACGUAGGCUCUAUGGUAUGCCAUGUUGUGUACCACAUCUAAUGUGUGCCUUGCCAUGAGUCUGUCAAGGGGUACAAAGAGUGAUCCAGGAUUAAAUCACUGAACGACGGUCAAAUUUAACCUUAGUAACUAGUGGACUAAGGAAUUUUUCUCGAUUAUUGAGGUGAUAAAAGAGUUCAUCGUAAAGGGUUACAUUGAUGCAAGCUUUGACACUAAUCCGAAUAACUUUGAGUAGUAAACCGGAUUCAUAUAGUGGAGGAGUUAUUUGGCAUUGUUCCAAGUGAAUCAUAGUAGAAGGAUCUACGGUAUGACAUAGAGAUUUGUAAAGUACACACGGAUCUGAAUGAUUCGGACCCGUUGACUAAAAAGCUCUCUCACGAGCUAGACAUGAUUAAACCCCAGAACUGUAUGGGUGUUAGAUUCAUUACAAUCACAUAGUGAUGUGAACUAGAUUAUUGACUCUAGUGCAAGUGGGAGACUGUUGGAAAUAUGCCCUAGAGGCAAUAAUAAAUUGGUUAUUAUUAUAUUUCCUUGAUCAUGAUAAUCGUUUAUUAUCCAUGCUAGAAUUGUAUUGAUUAGAAUCUCAAAUACAUAUGUGGAUACGUAGACAACACACUGUCCCUAGUGAGCCUGUGAAGGACUAGUUCGUUGAUCAAAGAUGGUCCAGGUUUCCUAACCAUAGACAUGAGAUGUCGUUUGAUGAAGGGAUCACAUCAUUAGGAUAAUGAUGUGAUGGACAAGCCCCAAACUAUGAACGUGGCAUAUGAUCAUGCGAGUUUAUUGCAACUGUUUUCCGCAUGUCAAGUCUCUUCCACUAUUACCAUGAGAUCAUGCAACUCCCGGACACCGGAGGAAUCCCUUGUGCGUAUCAAACGUCACAACCUAAGUGGGUGACUAUAAAGGUGCUCUACAGGUAUCUCCGAUGGUGGCUGUUGGGUUGGCAUGGAUCAAGACUGGGAUUGUCACUCUGUGUGACGGAGAAGUAUCUCGGGGCCCACUCAGUAAUGCAACAUCACAACAAGCCUUGCAAGCAAUGUGACUAAGGAGUUAGUCAUGAGAUAUUGUAUUACAGAAUGAGUAAAUAUACUUGCUGGUAACAAGAUUGAACUAGGCAUGGAGAUACGGACGAUCGAAUAUCGGGUAAGGAACAUACCGAUAGAUAAAUGGAAUAGUAUACAGGAUUGAUUGAAUCCUUGACAUCAUGGUUCGACUGAUAAAGAUCUUAGUACAAUAUGUAGGAGCCAAUAUGGACAUUCAGGUCCCGUUAUUGUUUAUUGGUCGGAGAGUGUCUCCGUCAUGUGUGCAUAGUUCUCGAACCCACAUGGUCUGCACACUUAAGGUUCAGUGACGAUCUGGUAUAGUGAGUUAUGUGUGAUCAUAACCUAAUGUUGUUGAGAGUCUUGGAUGAGAUCCAGGACAUCACGACGAGCUCCAGAAUGGUCCGUAGGUAAAGAUUUAUAUAUGGGAAGUCAUAUUUUGGCUACCGGAAAAGUUUCGAGUUUUUCUGGUAUUGUACCGGGAAGCUUCUAGAAAGUCUCAGAAACUUCCGGAGGAGUCCAUCAUUACACCAAGGGUUCUACCACGUCCCAAGGGUUUGCAUGGGCUGAGGGGAGACAUCGUGGCCUUAUUGGUCCAAACACACAAGUCCCUCAAGGCCCAUGCAGUACGGAAAGGUGGAAAUCCCACCUUUGUAUGGAAGGGAAGGAGGGGGACUAGGAUUCGACCUCAUCCCCCCUUGGAUGCUUCCUCGGGAUUGGAGGGGAUGUUCCCCACGCCCCUCCACCUAUAUAUAGAGGGGAGGGGCGUCCCAAGAGCACACACGAAGCCCUGGGCACCCCUCUCUCUCCCUAUAUCGUUUUCUCCCCCGUUCGUGCUUUUGGUAGUGCUAGGCGUAGCCCUACCGGGAUAGCACCGCCACCCCUCCGUCGUGUUUCCGGAUAAAUCAUCCACUACUUCGCCCUCGGUCGCUGGAUUGAGAAGGUGGAUACGCCAUCGAGCUAUACGUGUGCUGAACGCGGAGGUGCCGUCCGUUUGGCGCUCGAUCGGGAGUUUGUGGGACGGAUCAUGAUUGGAUCACGAAGACGUACCACUACAUCAACCACGUUCUUAACACUUCCGCUUAGCUAUUUACAAUGGUAUUUAGAUAGAAUCUAUCCUCCCAUAGAAGGUCAUCACCAUGGAUAGAUCUUGUGUGCGCUUAGGAAUUUUUUUUGUUUCCCAUGCGACGUUCCCCAAUAGGUUCUUCUCGGGCCUUGGAGAUGUCGGAUGGGGCUACAAUAGGCCAUCUAGGAGGUGCAUGUGAACGAGCAUGGUGGCAGUCGGGUAGGUCCAUGGCAACUGCUGAAGGAAUAUUCGGUAGAGGCAAACUUUGGCCAAGGUGGUGCUGCAAGGGUGGUGCCAAAGGUGCCCAAAGGCAGCAUACUUGAGCGGGCCUUGGGGGGCAUCCCGAUGUGACCAUCAUUGACACACAGCGACUUGGCGUGGGUUGGGCACAAUGCAGCAAAAGUGGAGGAGUUGUGGGCGAGAAGGUGAAGGACAGGAGAGCCGACACUCGGCAAAGGAGGACAUGAGGACAGUUUGGCGCUGGUGCUUUGGCCGGUCACCAGCGAGGUCAUUGUCUAUCAUGGAGUGAGGCGUCGAGGAGGCAUGAGGCCUCGGACAUGAGCGAGGCCGUGCAGAAGGAGCUUGAGGGUGUGGGCGCCAUGGCGCAUGGAGGUCGCUGGGGGAUGACAACGCGGUUCAAGGAGGGGUCGCACGUAUUGAGGAAGAGGACUAGUGUGCAACAACUACUGACUAAGGCGUCAAGGAGAAGAGACAUGGGAGGCGGAGCUCAGCGGCUGGAGGAAGAAGGGUGUGGCGUGGAGAGGAGGCUCCCAGCUGGAGCGGGCACCCGAGGCCUGCUGCCGGCUGGAGCGGGCACGCAUGGCCUGCUAGGUUCGGUCAACGGCAGUGGGUAGUGAUACGUCCAUUUUGCAUCAUAACUUCCUAUUGAUAUUUAUGUUAUUAUUGGUCAUUAUUCCACAUUAUGCUACCUUUUUAUGCCUUUUUCUCUGAAUUUACAAGGUACACCACAAAGAGGGAGAUUGACGGACACUUGAAUCCUAGGCCCGAAAACCAACAAAAGGAUGAAAAUUCACUGGACUUCAGCUGACCUGAAACUUGACAAAGAAUUUUUGUGGAAUAUAUAGUAAUUUAUGGAUCAAAAAUAUAAUAGAGGUGGGACACUUUUUGGUGCCAAGCCAAUAGGGUCCGUCCACCCUGGGUGCACCCUGAUGGCUUGGGACCACCUCAUAGGUGUCCUGACCUCCCUCUUCUUCCAUAAGAUAGCUUUUGACCUAGAGGUGGAAACUGUCGGGAGGAAGCACCAUCAUCUCGAGGUGGAAACCUGGGUACAUGCCCUUUUGCUCUCUCGCACAGUGAUUUUGUCGGGAAAAUUUCCCUCCAGGAGGGAGAAAUCGAAGCCAUCAUCAUCACCAACGCUUCCUCCUUCGUGGGAGGACCAAUCUUCACCCAACAUCUUCACCAGACCAUCUCAUCCCAAACCUUAGUUCAUCUCUUGUAUUUUAUCUUUGUCUCAAAACCUCAGAUUGGUACAAGUGGGUUACUAGUACUGUUGAUUACAUAUGUAGUUGAUGCUAGGUCAUAUAUUUUAUGAAAGAUAAUAUGUUCAUAUGCAUAUUCAUAAUUAUCACACCUCUGAUAUUGAACAUGGUGAUGAUUUGUGAGUAGUUACUUUUGUUCUUGAGUACAUGGGAGACAUCUUGUUAUAAGUAAUCAUGUGAAGUUGGUAUUCAUUCGAUAUUUUGUUGAUAUGUAUGUUGUUGCUUCUCUUAGUGGUGACGUGUGAACUUCAACUACACGAUACUUCAACAUAUUAUGGGACUAAGGGAAGGCAUUGUGGAGUAAUAAGUAUAUGAUGGCUUGCUAGAGUGACAGAAGCUUAAACCCUAGUUUAUGCAUUAUUUCAUAAGGGGCUGAUAUCGACCCACACAUUUCAUGCUAUGGUUAGAUUUAUCUUAAUUCUUCUUUUGUAGUUGUGGAUUCUUAUGAUAGGGUUUAUUUUCAAGUAAAAACAGCACCUUAGCACCGGUCCAGCCACAAAUCAAAUUAUCAAAAUAACGAACGUCAAUCAACUCAACAUGAUGAACAUGACUAGAUGAAAAUUCCCAUGUGUCUUCGAUGGCACUUUACUAUAUAUAAGAGUAAUUUCAGACCUGUCCUUUGCUACAAAAAGGAUUGGUCUAUCUUGAUGCACACUUUCUACUAUUUUUUCUUGUCACUUGUUAGGAAUUAUCUUUCUACAAAACUAUCUAUCAUUGUUACUCAUAGCACUGGUAGAGAAUAUCUUGUCGAAAACCACUCAUCAUUUCCUUCUGCUCCUUUUUGGGUUUGACACUCUUACUUAUCGAAAAGACUAUGAUUGAUCCCCUAUACAUGUGGGUCAUCAAGGUUCUUUUCCGGCGCCAUUGCCAUGGACUGAAGCACCUUUGGUAAGUGGAAUUUGGUAAGCAUACAAUUUCGAUACGUGUUGAAAUUUAUUGUUGCUUGUUACUAUGGAUAGUAAUUCUUUGAAGCGGCUGUUUGGGGGUAUCUUAACCCCGACUAGAAGUGGCAAAAGUUUCUCCUCAAACUAAUACACUUUUUNNNNNNNNNNNNNNNNNNNNNNNNNNACUUUUUAAAAAUAGUUAUUAUGAGAUUUCUUUGGGUAUUUUAGAAAAACUACUAGCUAAUCCUUAUGCAGGAGACGGUACAACUCAUCCUGAUUACCACUUGAUAUAUGUACAUGAUAUUUGUGGAUUAUUUGGAAGACAGGUUUAUACGAGGGCAAAGUCAAGAAGAAGGUUUUUAUCUUAUCUUUGAAGGGAAAUCAUUGAUGUGGUAUAGGCUAUUGGAUGAUAUUGGAGCAUGGGACUCGAACCGCUUGAAGCUAAAAUUUCAUCAAAAGUUUUAUCCUGAGCAUCUAGAUCAUCAUGAUCGGAACUAUAUUUUAUGCUCGGCUUUGUCAUGAUGGUAAAAAAACUCGAUUCUUCUUCCAUUGGCUCCUACAUGAAUAGAACUAUUUAACUCAAAUGCGAUCUUCUGGAAAGAACUAAACACAACUGUGAAGAUUGGGAACUCGACAACCAUAAAGAGUCAGGUAUAAAGCUUGAAUCUCAUUUUGUUAAAUCACUUAUGGAAACUUAUAUUUUUCAUAAGUUUAGCAAUAAAUAUGGACUUGACUCUGAGAUAGUAGCUUCUUUCUAUAAAUCAUUUGCUACUCAUGUUGAUCUCCCUAAGGAGAAGUGGUUUAAAUUUCAUCCAACUUUUGAAAAACUAUUGGAUAAACCCACAAAAGUUUAUUAAGAAACAAUUGUUUACAAUGUUGAUCCAGUUGUGCCUACUGCAUGUAUUGAGAAACCUCCUUUUACUAUUAGGAUUAAGGAACAUGGUAAAGUUGUAAUUGUGGUUAACAGAAUUCCUAUUAGGACACCUAAACCUUUUGAACAAAUAAAAGUGGAACCUAAUAUUUAUUUCGUAAUGAUCUCCUAGAUGAUAAUAUUGAUGGACAUGUUAUUUACUUCUAUGAUGAGGCUGCUAGAAUUGCAAAACCUGUUAGAAACAAGCAAGAUAAGUUAGAAGAAAAUAAAGUAGUUGGUGGCAUGCAUAUUUUUUCUCUUAAGAUUGGAUAUCAUUGUUAUCAUGGAUUCUGUGACAUGGGUGCUAGUGUUAGUGAUAUAACUUUUACCUUAUAUCAAGAUAUUAUGAAUGACAUAGGAUUCUCUGAGAUCAAAGAUAUUGAUGCCAAUAUUAAACUUGCAAACAUAGAUACUAUUUGACCACUUGGGCUUGUUAGGAAUGUUGAAGUAUUGUGUGAAAAAAUUAAUUACCCCACUGAUUAUUUAGUACUUGGUUCACAAUAAGAUAAUUUUUGUCCCAUUAUAUUAGAUAGGCCUUUCUUGAAUACAGUUAAUGCUGAAAUUAAUUGUGGUUCUCACAUGGUUAAUAUAACCUUUGGUGAUGUGUCUCAUGAAUUUAAUGUCUCUAAGUUUGGUAGACAACCACAUGAGAAGGAGUUAUCUAAUAAUGAUGAAAUUAUUAGUCUUGCUUCAAUUAGAGUGCCUCCUACUGAUCCAUUAGAACAAUAUUUGCUAGACCAUGAGAAUCAUAUACAUAUGAAUGAGAGAAAUGAUAUAGAUGAAAUAUUCUUUAGACAAAUACCUAUUCUUAUACACAACUUGUGUGUUGAUAUUUUAGGGUAUCCUCGUCCACCUAAGGUAGAUCCCGUAUUUGAGACAAAUAAAUUACCCGAUUCUUUGAAAUAUGCUUAUCUUGAUGAAAAGAAGAUAUAUCUCGUUAUUAUUAGUGCUAACCUUUCACAGCAUGAAGAAAAGAGAUUACUUAAAACUCCGAGGAACCACUAAGGUACUAUUGGAUAUACUCUUGAUGAUCUUAAGGACAUCAGUCCCACGCUAUGUGUAACACCCCAAAAAAUUUACCAUGUUUUUGGUUAAUAAAAUUAGUUUUGCCACGAAUAUUAAUUUAUAUUUUUGGAUUUCCUGUUGGUUUCAAAACCAUUAUUUCCUUUGCAUAUUAAUUUUUUCCCCUCCAAUAGAAAUUUUGGAAAAAUAUUGUGUGACUUGGAUGUUUGACUUAAGAGUUUUUCUAUUCAUUUUAAUAAUUUAGUGAGAAAUAUUUUUAUAUUUAAACUUGCCUCACAUAAUUAUUUUAAAACUACAACCCCUUCAAAUAUUCUUUUAAAAAUUCCAGCAAAAUAUGGAGAUGCCAAGUGAUUCAUGUAGAUAACUUUUAUGUAAAUCCAUUCUUAGCCUUUUGAAAAGCAAAACAUCCUCAUUUAUGUUCUGGUCCACUUUGUUGAUUUGUAUUGCACCCUUAUUUUAUUUUGCCCCAAUCCCCGUGGGAUUUUUCUAGCUUGUAGAACUCCGUACCAAACGCUUAAGUCCAAGAGAUUAGAGCCAUUGGAAUAUUUUUAGCCUAUGCAGUAUUGCCCUAUAGUUUAUGUCCAGAAAAGUUUUUCUCCAAAACAUGCACUAACAAGUUUUUAUUUUCCACAACUAACUUGACCAUCAUAGCGAGCAUAUAAAGAGACCCCAAUCUGGAGAUUUCGGCCACCACCAAAACCCCUUAUGUGCCCAUAGCAUUUUUUCGAGCAAUUAGAGUUCAUGGCCAUAAUUGGCAUUGUUUUGAGAUUGUAUUAUGGACCUCCUUCUAUGACCAAACCAGCAUGUAUUAGGUUUCCGCCUUACCCUCUAGAAGAACCCUGUGUAGUGUCAUUUGCUUUGGAUCCCCCUCACAUGCUUUGGCAUUUCGUCAAGCACCCUCGAGGUGUGUUCAGAGUGCACCCAGAGCGCGUGUAUUGCACGCGUCAUGACCGAGCCGUCGCAUCCACCUACCCCACGCCUUGACCCUUGCUAGCUUGCAGAGCCGCUCUGCGACCCUUCCCCCUCACUAAGUGUAGCCAUAGAGCCCCCUGAUGCCACCUAGAGCCGCUGCUGCAGACAUCUGGCGACACGCCGGUGACCGUGUCCGUCCUCCACCCAUGGCAGAGUCGCCCGAGCCCUCUCCUCCAACCAGCUAGCCCAUGAAGCAGGGUGAUAGCCACGUGAGCGAUCUUAUCCUCAGGCCACCGCGGAAAUGCCAUUGCUCGGAUAUAAAAAGUGGACCCCGAGCUCGGGUAGCACAUUAGGACUCCUCUUCUGCCCCUCGCAAGCCCCCUAGUCAAUCACCAGCCGAGACGCCCGCCACCGUAUCCCUGAUGCCUCCGGCCAGCCCAAGCCUCCCCCUCCUUCCCUAAGCCUCCGUUAGCCUUCUGCUACACCAUGGAACCCAUCCCCGGCACCAAUUUAUCUCGAGAGCCACCAAGGACGAAGGCCCUCUUCCUCCUGAUGCCGCCGUCCGCCAUGAGUGAAGCCUUGAUCAGCUCUAAGCUUCCUGGUGACCCCCUCCAGCUCCAUGAGAUGCGGUCCAUCCUCGUGAGCAUGCCGGUCUAUCGAGCUUGGAGGACGACGCACCCUAGCGCAGGCAAUUCUCGCCGGAGUCCGGCCUCUAUUCCUCCCAAGCGCGCGUUGGGCAGGAAGAUGAACUGAUAGGAGGUCCCCACCAGUCUGUGAGCUAGUCUCCUCCGUCGUUGGCGCAUCGCGUGGAGUGCCUUUUGUCACACCAUGUUUUCACAUCUCUUGUCAAUGGUGUUUGAAGAUUUGAUAUAAAUUCAAACUUUUUAAGUAAAUGCUAUGAGUGUCUUGAUUGUCAUUGUUUGUAUGUGUGCUUGUGAGUAGAUAGCUAAGGCCAGUUUUUAUAAAUAUUAUUUCCACAAAUUUUUUAUUUAUUUAUUUUGGUAACCGAAAACCUUGCUUUGGGGUUUGCACUACAGGUCCCUGAAUUUAAGGGAGUGCCUUCAUUCAAAGAUUGUAUUCUGACUCUAAUACUAAUAUAACUCCUCAAAACCAUAAAAUAAUUAUUUUUAAAGUAAUUUUUGUAUUUUAUUUAUAUGUCCUUUUCUAAGGCCAGAAAUGAUAUAUCUGGGUGAAAAAUUAUUUUUCUACCUUAGAAAAAUCUGAGAAAGUUUAGGAAGACUCUGAGGACAUAUAUUUUCCAUACAUAAGAGUUUCAAGCCCUAGUCACGUUCGAAAUACUGGAGCCGACUUUUAAAAACCAAUUCUGUCUGUUUUGAUCUUCUGAAAUAUUUUCAAAGGAAAUAUUCUCAAUAAAUUCCCAGAAAAUGCUAGCAUGUCCCACAUUCUAUAUUCGGUGAUCAUGCAAAGUUUCACCACCAUCCAAGGUGAUUUGUUUCAUCGAAUAAUUCAAAAACCCUCUUUGUUCAGAAUAAAGUUGAAGCAACUCUACAUUGCCAAGUUUGUCCAUCUCAUCUCAAAGUUUGCAUGAGUGCUCAAUACCUCAAAUAAGGAGGUCAUGCCUAGAUUUGGAUUUGUGGGAAUUUAUUUGCUCACAUCUUCUCACAAGAUUGUAGGUGUGCCCAUUUGUGGGUAUUUUCAAGUUUACAUUGUCAAACUUAUCGAGUGGAGCUCAAAUCUGGUAAAGCCUCCUAAUUAUAUCCAAAACCAAAUCCUUUUAAAUUCCAUUCCAUUUGGAGGAGGUUAACUUCCCCAAACAUGAAGUAAACACCUUCUGUCAGAUUUGAAAAUCAACAUCUAGCACCCUCCACAUCUAGUAAACCCUUCACUCCAAACUCAUGACACAGAUUGCCUGUGUCUUCCGACAACUGCAGACGAGAGGCCUAGCACUGGUUCAAUGAGAGGGAGCCAAAAUCCCCAUUUUAGCACUUCAAUCAAGACUGACAACAUCACUUUACCACUCUCCCCUUGGCCUGCUUGAUCCCUCUCGGCCCCUAGUAUCCAAGGAGCAUCUAACCACUCCCCGAGACACACUAGGCAUGGCCAAGACGCGCCAGAUUGCGCCAGCAUGCCAUGGCAUGCAAAGGCUGCGGUCUGGACGCGCUACAGGGCACACCUGAUCCCAAGGAGGCUAGCGUCGGCCAGUUCCCGCCCCUCCCGUUGCCCCUCUUUGACCACACCGACGACCGAGACCAGGGCAACCUCGGGCCCCACUUUUACCCCCUCACCUCUUCCCCUGGCGACGCGUGCCCUCAUGCGCCCGAACUGACCAGAGUAACCCAUCCAACUUAACGCGCCAGCAGCGCUGCCCCCGCUCCGCCUGAAGAUGCUGCAUGGUCCAAAACCGUGUCCACAAUACCACGGGUUCUCUCCCGAGCCCUCUUUCCCUCUCCUGCCACAACAGCAAAACCACCGGCGCACCAUCGUUCGGUGACACGUCGCCUGCCUAUUUAAAGGCUACUCCGCUCUCCUCCGCACCUCCAGAACCUCCCUCUCCUCCCCAAUCGACAAGCCUGACCACCCCCUUCGCCUAAAAGAGCCCCGGUAAUCGAGAUCGACCGAGGCGCCGCCACGUCGGGGCUCCGUCGAUCUCGGGCUACACGCACGCUCCGACGCUCCUUUCACUUCCCCUGUGACCGUAAAGACCUCCCGAACCUUCUCCACCACUCCCCCGUCCUUCUCCUUGUUCCAAGCACCAUUCCCAGCAACUUCCCGAAAGGUCUCCACUGAGGCUUCGUCUUCCCCCGCGACACAUGCCAUCUUCAUCAUCCCCUCGACCCCCAUCUGGUAGGCGAUAGUGCCACGAGCCCAUUCCUGUGCUCGCCUGACCUCGAGAACCACAGAGCUACCGCCGGUGAGCCGCCCCUCCUCUCUAUCUAGAGGUAGGAGAUGACCCCGACAGGAAGGACCCACCUAUCGUCGACAUCUCUCUCCCCCUCUCUCCUCUCUAUAGUAGGUCGUACGUCCCCGUGCGUCAGGUUUGAACCUGACGGCAUGCGCGCCUGGGCUGGCUUGCUGGCCGAGCGAGGCCACUGAGCUGGCUCCUUUUUAUUUAUUUUAUUUCUUGUUUUUAAAAUAAAUCCAUAGGACUAAUUCUUUAACCAAAUUUAAAUAUUUCUCCACCAUAAUUCUUGUAAAAUUGUGUAGUAUUUAAUAGUACCGUGUGUGGAAUUUUUUUGAAAACUUCUAUGGAUAGAUUUAUUUUAAAACAUGGUUUAAGUAUUUUUAACUUCUGUUAAAGAGACUUAAAAAAUACUUGUUCAUUUCAAAACCAGAAACAAAUAUUUUGAUUAAUAAUAAUAGGAUUUUACAGAAUAGGAUAACAUUUUUAUGUGAGUUUGUACUCUAUUUUUGGUUGUGGUCCUUAUUAUUAUUAUUUCUAUUACGAUUAUAGAUCACACGUUUGACGUAGGACUUGGACCCGAAGACCUCGAAAACCCCGGAUACCUAGUUGAUCAAGGCAAGCAGCCCUUUGACCAUGUUUGAGAAAAUAUUUUAUGCAUGCCAUGUUGAUUACUUUAUUCCGAUGCAUCUGAUCAUGAUUAGUCAAUAAACCCUCGGUAUGGUGUUACCAAUGGCUCCUCUGGAGCACUUGCAUUUGAGCAUGACCUUACCAUCUAUGAGGGUCACGCUGAUGAAAAUUGACAAGUAGACAGUAGUGCUAUGCAUAAGAUGAGCAUAUGCAUGGUGAUGGUAACACAUAGGCAAUUACAAAGACUUUUCGAAAACCCGGUCGGGUGCCACUAAUGGCCAAGGGUGAUGGUGUUGAGAUGGUGAACACUUGAGAAAGAAGUGGUGUACCGGAAAAAGGUUUUGUGUGUGUGGUUUCGGAAAUGGGAGUAGAUUUAAGAUUUGCUGACUAUCCCAACCUUACUUGUACAACUGAUACGUCUCCAACGUAUCUAUAAUUUUUGAUGGUUUCAUGCUAUUAUCUUGUCAAACUUUGGAUGUUUUGCAUGCCUUUUAUAUAUUUUGUGGGACUAACUCAUUAACUCAGUGCCAAGUGCCACUUUCUAUUUUUCCAUGUUUUUGACCCCUUUCAGAGGAGAUUUUGAAACAGAGUCCAAACAGAAGAAAAUCCUCGAAAAGAUUUUUUCGUAACCGAAGAAGAUCAGGAAGCUUGAGAGCCAAGGCAGGGGAGCCUCAGGGGCCCCACAAGCCCCCACCCCGCGGCCAGGCGGGAGGUCGCGGCCCAUAGGCUUGUGGGCCCCCUAGGCGCCCUCUGACCUAGGGGUUGCGCCUAUAUAUUCCCUAAAAAUCCCAAAAAAAUCAGGGGAUCAUCGAAAUUACUUUUCCGCCGCCGUAAGCUUCUGUCUCCGCAAGAUCCCAUCUAGGGCACGUUUUGGUGCCAUGCCGGAGGGGUGAUUCAGAUACGGAGGGCUUCUUCAUCAACACCAUGACCUCUCCGAUGAUGUGUGAGUUGUUCACCAUAGACCUACGGGUCCAUAGCUAGUAACUAGAUGGCUUCUUCUCUCUCUUGGAUCUUCAAUACAAAGUUCUCCAUGAUCUUCAUGGAGAUCUAUCCGAUGUAAUCUUCUUUUGCGGUGUGUUUGUCGAGAUCCGAUGAAUAGUGGAUUUAUGAUCAGGUUAUCUAUGAAUCUUAUUUGAGUUUCUUCUGAUCUCUCUUAUGCAUGAUUUCAUAUCCUUGUAAUUCUCUUCGAGUUGUGGGUUUUGUUUGGGAAACUAGAUCUAUGAUUCUUGCAAUGUGAGAAGUGCUUGGUUUUGGGUUCAUGCCGUGCGGUGACUUCACCCAGUGACAGAAGGGGUAGCGAGGCACGCAUCGUGUUGUUGCCAUCAAGGGUAAAAAGAUGGGGUUUUCAUUAUUGGUUUGGGAUUAUCCCUCUACAUCAUGUCAUCUUGCUUAAGGCGUUACUCUGUUCGUCAUGAACUAAAUACACUUGAUGCAUGUUGGAUAGUGGUCGAUGUGUGGAGUAAUACUAGUAGAUGCAAAAAGUAUCGGUCUACUUGUCUCGGACGUGAUGCCUAUAUGUAUGAUCAUUGCCUUAGAUAUCGUCAUAACUUUGUGCGGUUCUAUCAAUUGCUCGACAGUAAUUUGUUUACCCAACGUGAUAUUUGCUAUUUUGAGAGAAGCCUCUAGUGAACACUAUGGCCCUCGACUCUACUCCACACCAUAUUUUCAAGCUUACACUUUUUACUUCGUUGCACUUUACGCCUUCAGGUCUCACUUUGCAAACAAUCUUGAAGGGAUUGACAACCCCUUUGAAGCGUUGGGUGCAAGCUUGUUUGUGUUUGCGUAGGUACUCUGGACUUGACGAGACCCUCCUACUGGAUCGAUACCUUGGUUCUCAAACUGAGGGAAAUACUUACUGCUCCUGUGCUGCAUCACCCUUUCCUCUUCAAGGGAAAAACCGACACAAAACAAGAGAAGUGGCAAGAAGAAUUCCUGGCGUUUCUAGGGAAGGACUUCUGUUGCCGUAGCAGAAGGAUUUCUGGCGCCGUUGCCGCAGAGGAUCAAGUCAAGAACUCAUCCAAGUAGGUGUCGCAAACUCAUAUCUUGCAUUUACUUUGUUUGCCAGUUGCCUCUCGUUUUCCUCUCCCCCACUUCACCAAUUUGCCUUUUUCCGUUUGCCGUUUUAUUCACCUUUUUCUCGCCGGAUCUCCUUGUGUUACCAUGCGCCUUCUAUUAGCUUGCAUAUUUGCUUGCUAAAAAUCCAUUGAUAUGGAUCCUCAUCCACUUGUUAAUCUUUUCAAGAGAUCCAAUUAUGAGGAACCAAUUUCUAGUGAGUGGAUGAUGACCCACAAGUAUAGGGGAUCAAUCGUAGUACUUUCGAUAAGUAAGAAUGUCGAACCCAACGAGGAGAAGAAGGCUCUGAUAAAUGGAUUUCAGCAAGGUAAUAACUGCAAGCACUGAAAGUAGAGGUAACAAGUGAUUGUGUAGCGAGGUGAAACUUAGCAAGCAAAGAGUAACUAGUAACAAGUAGUAGCAACGGUGCAGCAAGUGGCCCAAUCCAUUUUCUAGCAAGGGACAAGCCUGAACAAAGUCUUAUAGGAGGAAAAACGCUCCCAAGGACACACGGGAAUUUCUGUCAUGCUAGUUUCAUCAUGUUCAUAUGAUUCGCGUUCGUUACCUUGAUAGUUUGAUAUGUGGGUGGACCGGCGCUAGGGUACUGCCCUUACUUGGAGAAGCAUCCCACUUAUGAUUGACCUCUCUCGCAAGCAUCUAGCACUACAAAAUAAGAAUUAAGACAAAGUCUAACCAUAGCAUUAAACUAGUCGAUCCAAAUCAGCCCCUCACGAAGCAACGCAUAGACUGGGGUUUAAGCUUCUGUCACUCCAGCAACCCAUCAUCUACUUACUACUUCCAAUGCCUUCCUCUAGGCCCAAAUAUGUUGAAGUGUUAUGUAGUCGAUGUUCACAUAACACCACUAAAGGAAAAACAACAUACAACAUAUCAAAAUAACGAACGAAUAUCAAAUUCACAUGACUAUUAUCAGCAUGACUUAUCCCAUAUCCUCAGGAACAAAAGUAACUACUCACAAAGCAUAAUCAUAAUCAUGAUCAGAGGUGUAAUGAAUAGCAUGAAGGAUCUGAACAUAAACUCUUCCACCAUGUAAUCCAAUUAGCAUCAACUACAAAGAGUAAUCAACACUACUAGCAACCUUACAAGUACCAAUCGGUGUUGCGAGACGAAGAUUGGUUACAAGAGAUGAACUAGGGAUUGGAGAGGAGAUGGUGCUGAUGAAGAUGUUGAUUGAGAUGCCUCCCCUCCGACGAGAGGAGUGUUGGUGAUGACGAUGGCGAAGAUUUCCCCCUCCGGGAGGGAAGUUUCCCCGCCAGGAUCCUGUCGGGGCUCUAGAUUGGAUCUCCUCAAGUUCCGCCUUGUGGCAGCGGCGAAACCAUUGAAAAGCUCCCGAUUGAUUUUUUCUGGACCAAGACGCUUCAUAUAGCAAAACAGGGGGGCUAGUGGGCCGUUAGGAAACCCUUAAACUUGCCCUGCGCCACCAGGGGGGGUGGUGGCGGUGGGCAAGCUUGUGGAGCCCUGGUGUCCCCCCUCUGGUAGUUCUUUCACCCAGUAUUUUUUAUAUAGUCCAGAAAAAAUCGACGUAACUUUUCAGGGCAUUUGGAGAUGUGCAGAAUAGUGGACUAGGAUUUGCUCCUUUUCUAGUCCAGAAUUCCAGCUGCCUGAAUUCUCCCUCUUCAAAUAAACCUUGCAAAAUAAGAGAUAAAAUGCAUAAAUAUGUUACCACAAGUAAUAUAACAGCCCAAAAAGCAAUAAAUAUCAACAUGAAAGCAUGAUGCAAAAUGGACGUAUCAACUCCCCCAAGUUUAGACCUCGCUUGUCCUUUAGCGAAAACCAAGUUCCAUAAACAUGUCCACAUGUUGAGGGACGAAGGUGUGGAUAAAACAUAAUACGGACAUGAGGGCAUCAUGAUCACACAUAAAACAACAAUACAUCAUAAAGAUUCUUAUGGGAAAGUAACAAUUCCUUCACAAAACAAAGCAUGAAGCAAAAAUCUUACCAAGAAGUAACCAACAAUAAUUCAUAGUCAUUGAAGCAAUUGCAAUUUAUCACAACAUCAGAAAGAGUCAAAUAAGAGCUUGUAAGGCAAACCCACAUACUCAAUCAUAUCUUUUGUUUUCCACAAUUGUUACAACUCACGUGGUACUCAUGGUGUCAAAGUUUCAGCUGGACAUAGAGGAAGAUAGGGGCUUGUAGUUUUGCCUCCCAACGGUUUACCUCAAGGGUAAAGUCAACAACAAUAAAGCAUAAGUACUCAACUCCAAGUUGAUAUAUGAAUAUAGAUCUUUCCCAAGCAUGUGACGGCAGCCAAGACAAAGGCAAAAAGGGAAUUUGUGAAGAUCACCAUGACUCUUACAAGUGCAAAAAGUAAAGGUACAAGAUAGGCCCUUCGCGGAGGGAAGCAGAGGUUGUCAUGCGCUUUUGAGGUUUGAAUGUGUGUCCUCUUAGUGCGGAGGAACGUCACUUUAUAUUGCCUCCUAUGAUAAAGAACUUUAUUAUGCAGUCUGUUGCUUUUAUGUCUUCCUCAUCACAGGUUCGUACAAAGCUUAUUUUCCACACACUAAUAGAUCAUACAUAUUACAGAGCAAUUUUUAUUGCUUGCACCGAUGACGACUUACUUGAAGGAUCUUAUUCAAUCCAUAGGUAGGUAUGGUGGACUCUCAUGGCAAAACUGGUUGGAGGUUUAUGGAUGCACAAGUAGUAUCUCUACUUCGUGCGGGAGUUUUGGCUAAUAUGAGGUGGAAGCAAUCGUCACAUGCUAAGGGAUCUCUAAUCAUAUAACAUUGUUUGGAACCAAGCAAACACAAUUCAUUAUGUUGUCUUCCUUGUCCAACAUCUACUCCUAGUCAUGUAAUAGUUUGGUGAGUGCUCACAAUUGUAAAAAGUGUCUAAGAUGAUAUAUUUAUAUGUGAACCUAUCUUUCCUUAUUACUUCUUAUUAAUUGCAACAAUGUCUGAGGUCUAUAUUGAUUUAUUCUCAACAAGUUUCAAUCAUCAUACGUGUCAUAAGUGAAGUUAUCACUUUCCAUAAGAUCGUCUCAUGAUCUUUCAUGCUAUCGUUCUUUUCAUACUUUUUGAUCAUGGCACAAAGCAAAGCCCUUGACUAAGACACUCUUUAUUAUAUAGCUCGUAAGCUCGAAUACACUGGGGGAGAGACAAAAGCAAAAGACUCAAACUAAAAACUAAAGACGUAUUCCUCUAAAACAAGAAAUAAAAACUGAAAAAGAAGGAACUAAAACAAAGGUAAAAGAAAAAGAUAUAGAGGUGAUACGAUACCAGAGCAUCUCCCCCAAGCUUGGCAGAAGCCAAGGGGAUUGCCCAUACCAAUGCUUAGUCGUCUUCCUUUGGUGGUGAUGGUGGUGUUGUUGUUGGAGUAGUCUGAUCCUCCGUCUUCCAAGGCAUAGGUGCUCCAUCAUGGCAGGAUGAAUGAGUCACUGGAAUCCUCAAAUCUGCAGCCAACCUUAUUGAUUUAAAUCUGUGCUCAUACUCACAGUUUUGAUUCUGCAGGUCAUAGAUCUGGCCCUGAAGUUGAUCAACCCUAUCGUAGAGCCUAGAGAGGUGUUUCCCAAUAUCAAUGGCAUCCAUCUUGUGAUUCCUAGUGAAUUCUGUGACCAUCGUGUGGUUGGCGUUGAGUCCAUGCUCCACCAUCCCUUGGCACUUGAAGACUUGCUGCCCCAUUGCUUCGAGCCUCGUCUCCAUGCUUCCGGUCUUCUUAGGCCCCUCAACAUCACGGAUGUGCAACAUCCCCUCCCUCAUCUUCAUAGAUUGAGGGUGCUUCAGCACUUUCGUGAGGUAGGGAUUGAUGACCUUCUUGAAGAUCUUGUCCUUAGGAGCGUUUGGGGAAGUCAUGAUGAUCUAGAUCUGUCACAGAAAUAGGCUCGAAACGAAAACAGAGGAAAACUGCGUGAUACGGAGAUCAAAACCUUCGAGCGACUAUAUAUUGAUUUUUCUGGACCAGAAGGAGUGCUCUGCAAGAAAACGGAGUCCGGGAGGCACACGAGGUGCCCACAAGCUUGCCCUCCGCCACCAGGGGGGUAGGGGACGGUGGCAGGGCUUGGGGCCGCCUCGUUCGCUCUCUGGACUACUUUUAUUUUUCUAAUUUUCCAAAAGUUCCAAAACGGAGGAAAUUUCCUAUUGGAAAAGCAUCGGAGUCCAAUUUCUUACCGAAACGGAGACAUCUUCGUUUUCAGGGUCUGAAACAGGCUGAUAAACAUCCCUUAUGUACUCCUAUGGAGUUAUGACAUUGAUGAUAUUGGUCUCAACAUUUAUGGGAGUACCAGAGAUGUAAUGCUUUAUUCUUUGCCCAUUUACCACUCUAGGAAAAUUUCCUUCCGUGUUAUUGAUUUUGAUGGCACUGGAAUAAUAUACUUCCUCGAUAACAUAGAGACGUUCCCAUUUAGAAAGAAGCUUGCCUGCAAAGAAUCUCAAACGAGAAUUGUAUAGCAGGACAUAAUCACCUACAUUGAACUUUUGUUUCUGUAUUCGUUUGUCGUGCCAUCUCUUAACGUUUUCCUUGAACAACUUGGCAUUCUCAUAUGCCUGGGUUCUCCAUUCAUCUAACGAGCUGAUAUCAAACAACCGCUUCUCACCGGCAAGUUUGAAAUCAAAGUUGAGCUCUUUGAUUGCCCAAUAAGCUUUGUGUUCCAGCUCAAGAAGUAAAUGACAGGCCUUACUGUAAACCAUUUUAUACGGUGACAUGCCCAUGGGAUUCUUAUAAGCAGUCCUAUAAGCCCAUAGUGCAUCGUCAAGUUUGCUAGACCAGUUCUUUCGAGAUCUAUUGAAGGUCUUUUGUAGGAUCAACUUGAUCUCCCUAUUACUCAACUCUACUUGACCACUAGACUGAGGAUGAUAAGGAUAUGCAACUCUAUGGUUGACAUCAUAUGUAGCUAGCAUCUUGCGGAAAACACCAUGAAUGAAGUGUGAACCGCUAUCAGUCAUCAAGUAUCCAGGGACUCCAAAUCUUGGGAAUAUGACUUCUUUAAGCAUCUUAAUAGAGGUGUGGUGAUCAACAUUUUUAGUGGGGAUAGCUUCUACCCACUUAGUAACGUAAUCCACAGUAACCAAGAUGUGAGGGUACCCAUUGGAACUCGGGAAGGGUCCCAUAUAAUCAAAGCCCCAGACAUCAAAUGGUUCAAUGACAAGUGAAUAGUUCAUAGGCAUCUCUUGACGCUUACUGAUGUUCCCUAUCCUUUGGCAUUCGUUACAAGACAAGACAAACUUACGGGCAUCGUUGAAGAGAGUGGGCCAAUAGAAACCUGAUUGCAAUACCUUAUAGGCAGUUCUAUCUCCAGCAUGGUGUCCUCCGUAGGCUUCGGAAUGACACUUCUGCAGGAUCUGUCCCUGUUCAUGUUCAGGCACACAACAUCUAAUAACACCAUCUACUCCUUCCUUAUAAAGGUGAGGAUCAUCCCAAAAGUAGUGUCUCAAAUCAAAGAAGAAUUUCUUUUUUUGUUGAUAGGUGAAAAUGGGUGGUAUGUAUUUGGCUACGAUAUAGUUUGCAUAAUCGGCAUACCACGGUGCACUAAGUGAAGUGCGGAUGACAUUUAAUUGCUCAUCAGGAAAGCUGUCAUCAAUAGGUAGUGGGUCAUCAAGGACAUUCUCUAGCCUAGACAAGUUAUGUGCUACAGGGUUAUUAGCACCCUUUCGGACAACGACGUGCAAAUCAAAUUCCUGUAGCAGGAGAACCCAUCUGAUCAGCCUAGGCUUAGCUUCCUUCUUCUCCAUGAGGUACUUAAUAGCAGCAUGGUCAGAGUGAAUAGUGACUUCGGAGUCAACUAUGUAAGAUCUGAACUUUUCACAUGCAAACACGACUGCUAAAAAUUCCUUUUCCGUAGUGGCAUAGUUUCUUUGGGCACUGUCUAGAGUUUUACUAGCGUAGUGAAUGACAUUCAACUUCUUGUCAAUUCUUUGUCCUAGAACAGCACCGACAGCAUAAUCACUAGCGUUGCACAUGAUUUCAAAGGGCAAGUUCUAGUCAGGUGGUUGAACAAUAGGUGCGGUUAUCAAAGCCUUCUUAAGUGUUUCAAAGUCUUCCUCACAAUCCUCAUCAAAAACAAAAGGAACAUCCUUCUGCAAGAGGUUGGUAAGAGGCCUAGAAAUCUUAGAGAAGUCUUUAAUGAACCUUUUAUAGAAACCAGCAUGACCUAGGAAACUUCGUAUACCUCUGAUAUCUGUGGGGCAAGGCAUUUUCUCAAUUGCAUCAAUCUUAGCCUUAUCAACUUCAAUGCCUCUUUCAGAGAUUUUGUGUCCUAAGACGAUACCUUCAUUAAGCAUAAAGUGGCACUUCUCCCAAUUCAAGACGAGGUUGGUUUCUUCGCAUCUCUGUAAGACUCGAUCAAGGUUGCUGAGGCAAUCAUCAAAGGAAGACCCGUAAACGGAGAAGUCAUCCAUGAAAACCUCGACAAUCUUUUCACAAAAGUCAGAGAAUAUAGCCAUCAUAUAUCUUUGGAAGGUGGCAGGUGCAUUACAUAAGGCAAGAGGUAUACGUCUAUAGGUAAAGGUACCAAAAGGGCAAGUGAAUGUGGUUUUCUCUUGAUCAGAUUGCGCAACAGGUAUUUGCGAGAAACCUGAAUAACCGUCUAGAAAGCAGAAGUGUGUGUGUUUUGAUAGCCUUUCUAGCAUUUGGUCGAUGAACGACAAAGGAUAAUGAUCUUUCCUGGUUGCCUUGUUCAGUUUCCGGAAUUCUAUCACCAUUCUAUAGCCGGUAAUAAUCCUUUGUGGGAUUAGUUCAUCCUUCUCAUUAGGAACGACGGUGAUACCUCCCUUCUUAGGUACGCAAUGCACUAGACUUACCCAAUCACUAUGAGCAACAGGAUAAAUGAUUCCUGCUUCCAGAAGCUUUAUAUUUCUUUUCUAACGGCCCCUUUCAUUUUAGGAUUUAAUUUCCUAUGAUGAUCAGCAACUGGAUUAAAGUCAAGAUCGGUUUUAAUCUUGUGCUGAUAUAGAGUAGGACUAAUACCCUUAAGAUCAUCAAGAGUAUAUCCAAUAGCAGCGCGGUGCUUCCUCAUAGUUUUUAGUAACUUCUUCUCUUCGCGCUCUGAGAGGAGAGCACUAAUAAUGACAGGAUAUAUCUCCUUUUCAUCAAGAUAGGCAUACUUAAGAGUAUCAGGCAACUGUUUAAGCUCGAACACAGGAUCACCCUUUGGUGGGGGAGGAUCCCCAAGCAGUUCAAUAGGCAGAUUAUUCUUGAGAAUAGGAUAUUGUUGUAAGACAAUUUUAUCUAUCUCAUAUCUCUCCUCCAUAUGCAUAUCAUUUUCAUGCUCAAGCAGAUAUUUCUCUAAAGGAUUCGUAGGAGGUACGGCAAUAGAGGCAAGAGCAAUGAUUUCAUCUCUACCAGACGACUCUCUUUCAUGGGUUUGUCUUCCAAACUUGGAGAAGUCAAAUUCAUGAGACACACCCUCGAAACUUACUGUGACAGUAUGCUUAAUGCAAUCAAUGUGAGCAUUGACACUGUUGAGAAAGGGUCUACCGAAUAUGAUGGGACAAGAGCUAUCUUGUGCAGUACCAAGGACGAGGAAAUCAGUAGGAUACUUCGUCUUACCACACAUGACUUCUACGUCUCUCACAAUUCCUAGAGGGCAGAUAGUGUCUCUAUUAGCUAGAGUAAUAGUGACAUCAAUGGGUUCUAACUCAGCAGGUGCAAUCUCAUCAUUGAUUUCAUCAUACAGAGAACGGGGUAUUGCACUAACACUAGCUCUCAUAUCACAUAAACCAUGGUAACAGUGAUCUCCUAUCUUAACAGAAACAACGGGCAGGCCAACUAUAGGUCCGUGUUUGUGUUUCGCGUGAGGUUUAGCAAUUCUAGCGGAGUCCUCACAGAAUUUGAUAACAUGCCCAUCUAUGUCUUCAGCUAAGAGAUCUUUGAUAAUAGCAACACUAGGUUCAACUCUAAUCUCCUCAGAAGGUGCAAGUGGUCUAAUGUAACCCCUACAUAUCACAGUUGGAGCUUUAGAAUAAUCCUUUAUCCUAGCAGGGUAUGGUGGUUUCUGAGUGUAAGCACAAGGAACAACAGGAUCACUAAAAGAAAUGACUUUAUCCUCAACUAGAUUGGUUUUGGCUAUGUUGUUUUCUAUAGGAGGAUGAUAUUUAAACCACUUCUCUUUGGGAAGAUCAACAUGAGCAGCAAAAGAUUCACAUAGAGAAGCUACUAUCUGAGAGUCAAGUCCAUACUUAGCGAUAAAAUCUCUAGAAGUGUUUGUCUCAACCAAAGAUUUAACGCAAUCAAACUGGAAAUUCAUACCUGACUCCUUACCUUCCUCCAGCUCCCAAUCUUCAGAGUUGCGUUUGACUCUCUCCAAUAAAUUCCACUUGUGAUCAAUAUCCUUCUUCAUAAAAGAACUGGCACAAGAAGUGUCAAGCAUGGUACGAUCUUCAUGAGAAAGCCAAGCAUACAAGUUUUGAUUGAUGAUUUCUAUCGAGAGCUCAUGAUUGGGGCAUGAAUAUAGCAUUGAUUUAAGCCUCCCCCAAGCUUGAGCUAUGCUUUCCCUAUCACGAGGCCAAAAGUUAUAAAUAAAGUUCCGAUCACGAUGUACUAAAUGCAUAGGAUAGAACUUUUGAUGAAAUUCCAAUUUCAACCGAUUGUAGCCCCAUGAUCCAGUAUCAUCACAUAGCCUAUACCAUGUCAACGCCUUAUCCUUCAAAGAUAAAGGAAAUAAUUUCUUAUUUACAUCAUCCUUGGGCAAACCUGCAAGCUUAAAUAAACCACAAACUUCAUCUACAUAGAUUAGAUACAAGUCUGGAUGUGAAGAUCCAUCUCGUGUGAAAGGAUUAGCCAGCAGAUUCUCAAGCAUACCCGAAGGAAUUUCAUAAAAGAUAUUUUCAGUAGGUACCUCAGGUUGAGGAGCAACUCCUCAUGCUUCCGUUCAUGGUGAAGAUACCCUGAACAAAUUUCUCAAAGGAACAGUUUCCAUAGUGACAAGUGACAAUAAAUUUCAGCACAGUAUAGAAAUGUUUCCUAACCAAUUUCCACUUCUCAAAGGCGCUUCACUCCCCGGCAACGGCGCCAGAAAAGAGUCUUGAUGACCCACAAGUAUAGGGGAUCAAUCGUAGUCCUUUUGAUAAGUAAGAGUGUCGAACCCAACGAGGAGCAGAAGGCUCUGAUAAACGGAUUUCAGCAAGGUAAUAACUGCAAGCACUGAAAGUAGCGGUAACAAGUGAUUGUGUAGCGAGGUGAAACGUAGCAAGCAAAGAGUAACAAGUAACAAGUAGUAGCAAUGGUGCAGCAAGUGGCCCAAUAACUUUUGUAACAAGGGACAAGCCUGAAGAAAGUCUUAUAGGAGGAAAAACGCUCCCAAGGACACACGGGAAUUUCUGUCAUGCUAGUUUCAUCAUGUUCAUAUGAUUCGCGUUCGUUACUUUAAUAGUUUGAUAUAUGGGUGGACCGGCGUUUGGGUACUGCCCUUACUUGGACAAGCAUCCCACUUAUGAUUAACCUCUCUCGCAAGCAUCCGCAACUACAAAAGAAGAAUUAAGACAAAGUCUAGCCAUAGCAUUAAACUAGUGGAUCCAAAUCAGCCCUUCACGAAGCAACGCAUAGACUGGGGUUUAAGCUUCUGUCACUCCAGCAACCCAUCAUCUACUUACUACUUCCCAAUGCCUUCCUCUAGGCCCAAAUAUGGUGAAGUGUUAUGUAGUCGACGUUCACAUAACACCACUAGAGGAAAAACAACAUACAACAUAUCAAAAUACCGAACGAAUAUCAAAUUCACAUGACUAUUAUCAGCAUGACUUAUCCCAUGUCCUCAGGAACAAAAGUAACUACUCACAUAGCAUAAUCAUAAUCAUGAUCAGAGGUGUAAUGAAUAACAUCCAGGAUCUGAACAUAAACUCUUCCACCAAGUAAUCCAACUAGCAUCAACUACAAAGAGUAAUCAACACUACUAGCAACCUUACAAAGUACCAAUCGGCGUUGCAAGACGAAGAUUGGUUACAAGAGAUGAACUAGGGAUUGGAGAGGAGAUGGUGCUGAUGAAGAUGUUGAUGAAGAUGCCUCCCCUCCAACGAGAGGAGUGUUGGUGAUGACGAUGGCGACGAUUUCCACCUCCGGGAGGGAAGUUCCCUCGGCAGGAUCGUCCUGUCGGAGCUCUAGAUUGGAUCUCCUCAAGUUCCGCCUCGUGGCGGCGGCGAAACCACGAAAAAGCUCCCGAUUGAUUUUUUCUGGACCAAGACGCUUCAUAUAGCAAAAGAGGGGGGCUAGUGGGCCGCCAGGCAGCCCACAAGCUUGCCCUGCGCCACCAGGGGGGUGGUGGCGGUGGGAAAGCUUGUGGAGCCCUGGUGGCCCCCCUCCGGUAGUUCUUUCGCCCAUUAUUUUUUUAUAUAAUCCAUAAAAAAUCCACGUAACUUUUCAGGGCAUUUGGAGAUGUGUAGAAUAGUGGACUAGGAUUUGCUCCUUUUCCAGUCCAGAAUUCCAGCUGCCUGAAUUCUCCCUCUUCAAAUAAACCUUGCAAAAUAAGAGAUAAAAUGCAUAAAUAUGUUACCACAAGUAAUAUAACAGCCCAAAAAGCAAUAAAUAUCAACAUGAAAGCAUGAUGCAAAAUGGACGUAUCAGUGGAAUGUACUUGAUUUUCUCCAUGAAGUUUUGCUUGAGAUUCGUGAAUCUGAAAAUUGUCAUGAAGUGGUUCACGAUGUUUCCUUGAACGAAAAGCAUGAUUGCAAUGAUAUUGUUAUAAAUUCGAUCAAUAUCAAUUGUGCUAAUGAUAUGCAAAACCACAAGCUUGGGGAUGCUAUGCUUGAUGAAGAUGAUAUUUCUUGUUUCCAAAGUUUUGGCGAUGACCCUUAUGCUAUAAUUGAUCAUGAAAGGAAUGCUUCGUGUGAUAGUUAUAUUGUAAGAUUCCUUCAUGAUGCUACUGAAAUUUAUUAUGAGGGAGGAACAUAUGCUUGUAGGAAUUGCAAUAUGAUACGUCUCAAACGUAUCUAUAAUUUUUGAUGGUUUCAUGCUGUUAUCUUGCCUUCUUUGUAUGUUUUAUGUACCAUUUUAUAUCUUUUUGGGACUAACUUAUUAAUUCAGUGCCAAGUGCCAGUUCAUGUUUUUUCCGUGUUUUUGACUCUUUUUAGAUCUGAUUUUGGAACGGAGUCCAAACGGAAGAAAAACCCCGAAAUGAUUUUUUCCCGAACGGAAGAAGUCGAGGGGGUUUUGGGCCAAGCCAGGUGGGCUCCAGGGAGCCCACAAGCCCCCACUCCACCACCAGGGGGAGGCGGCGGUGGGCAUGCUUGUGGCCUCCCUGGCCGCCCCCUGCCCUAGAUCUUUGGCCUAUAAAUUCCCAAAUAUUCUGCAAAAAAUCAGGGGAGCCUCGAAAAUACUUUUCCACCACUACAAGCUUCCAUUUCAGCGAGAUCUCAUCCGGAGACCCUUCCCGGCGCCCUGCCGGAGGGGACUUUGGAGUUGGAGGGCUUCUUCAUCAUCAUCAUGGCCCCUCCAAUGACUCGUGAGUAGUCCACUUCAAACCUACGAGUCCGUAGUUAGUAGCUAGAUGGCUUCUUCUCUCUCCUGGAUCUUCAAUACAAAGUUCUCCAUGAUCUUCAUGGAGAUCUAUCCGAUGUAAUCUUCUUUGGCGGUGUGUUUGUCGAGAUCCGAUGAAUUGUGGACUUGUGAUCAGAUUAUCUAUGCUAUAUAUUCGAGUCUUUGCUGAUUUCUUAUAUGCAUGAUUUGAUAUCCUUGUAAGUCUCUCCGAGUCUUGGGUUUUGUUUGGCCAACUAGAUCUAUGAUUCUUGCAAUGGGAGAAGUGCUUGGUUUUGGGUUCAUACCGUGCGGUGACCUUUCCUAGUGACAGAAGGGGCAGCAAGGCACGCGUCAAGUAGUUGCCAUCAAGGGUAACAAGAUGGGGUUUUUAUCAUUGGUUUGAGAUUAUCCCUCUACAUCAUGUCAUCUUGCUUAAGGCCUUACUCUGUUCUUACGCACUCAAUACACUAGAUGCAUGGUGGAUAGAGGUCGAAAUGUGGAGUAAUAGUAGUAGAUGCAGAAAGUAUCGGUCUACUUGUUUCGGGUGUGAUGCCUAUAGAAAUAAUCAUUGCAUAGAUAUCGUCACGACUCUGCACAGUUCUAUCAAUUGCUCGACAGUAAUUUGUUCACCCACCAUCUACUUGCUUUCAUGAGAGAAGCCACUAGUAAACACUACGGCCCCCGGGUCUAUUCACAUCCAUCGUUUACAACUCAGCUUUUACUUUGCUUUGUUACUUUGUUGCUUUCAGUUCUCACUUGGCAAACAAUCUAUAAGGGAUUUACAACCCCUUCAUAGCGUUGGGUGCAAUAUUUUAUGUUUGUGGGGGAUCUUGAGAAACUCCUCCGCCGGAUUGAUACCUUGGUUCUCAAACUGAGGGAAAUACUUACCUCCGCUGUGCUACAUCAUCCUCUCCGCUUCGAGGAAACACCAACGCAGAAGGAUUCCUGGUGUCGUCAACGUGCCCAUUUUUGGCGCCACUGGAAUGUAUUUUGUGCAGCAGCAUAACGGACAUCAGAAGCAUUCCGAAGUAUUUCUGGCACCGUUGUCGGGGAUCCCUUUUGAAACAUCAGAAGUAUUCUGGCGCCGUUGAUCGGGAGGAGAAAUCAAGAUCUAUCCAAGUAGGUCUCAUAAACUCUUCUCUUGCAUUUACUUUUGUUGCCAGUUGCCUCUCGUUUUCCUCUCCCCCACUUCACAUUUUACGUUUUCAUUUGCCUUUCUCCUUUGCCGUUUUCAUUUGCCUUUUUCUGUUCACCCUUCUUCCGCUUGCUUUCUGUCUGCUUGUGUUACCAUGUGCCUUCUUUUAGCUUGCAUCUUUGCUUGCUAAAAAUCUAUUGAUAUGGAUCCUCAUCCACUAGCUAGUCUCUUUAAGAGACCCACUAUUGUUGAACGAAUUGCUAGUAAGUUGAGGACAAUUGACUAUUUCUAUGGAGUUUUGCUUAAGAUGCGUGAAUCUGAAAAUUGUGAGGAAGAAAUUCAUGAAGUGAUUCACGAGGGCUCCUAGGAUGAAAAGCAUGAUUGCAAUGAUUUCACUAUAAAUCCUAUUAGUGACAAUCAUGCUAAAAAUAUGCAAAACCCUAAGCUUGGGGAUGCUAGUUUUGCUAUGUCCACUACUUGUUGCAAUAAUCAUGAUUGGGGUGAUGAUCUUUCUUAUGAUCUUGAAAAUUUGUUCAAACCUUAUGAUGAAUAUGAUAUUUGCAACAAUAUUGAAAGUGGGAUCGGAGAAGUCAUGACUUCAUUUGAUUAUAAUCCCACUAUUUUCGAAGAGNNNNNNNNNNNNNNNNNNNNNNNNNNAGAGCGUCAACUUUGCAUGCAUGUGGAUCAUGAAAAGAAUAUCCUAUGGGAUAGCUAUAUUGUUGAAUUUGAAUAUGAUCCCACAUGUAAUUGCUAUGAGAGAGGAAAAUAUUUUGGUAGAAACUUUCAUGUUACCAAAUUACCUCUCGUUAUGUUGAGAUUGCUAUUGUCUCUUUCUUAUUCUUUGCUUAUGGCAACUAUUGGUUGUCUUGACAAUCUACUUUCCUAUAAAAUGCCUAUGCAUAGGAAGUAUGUUAGACUUAGAUGUGGUUUUCACAUGCUUUAGGAUGCUCUCGUUGUGCUUCAAUUCUUGUCUUUUGUGACAGCAUCAUUGAAUGCCUAGAUAAGGGUAUUAAACAAAAGCGCUUGUUGGGAGGCAACCCAACGAAUCUAUCAUUUUUCUUUCUGUUUUGUGUUUUCCACACUUUCAUAAUUCUGUUAUGAUUGUGUUUUUGUGUUUCUUUUUGCGUUUGUGCCAAGGAAAACCGUUAUGAUUAGUCUUGAGGAUGAUUGUUUGGUCAUGCUGGGAAAGACAGAAACUUUCUACUCACGAAAAGAAUUUUCAUUGUUUUUCUGUAAGAGUUAUUGAGCUGAUUCUUUUUGCUGCUGAUUGCUACGCAAAUUCUUCAGUUGUCGUAAUUUGUCAGAAGUUUUGAAGUACCAGAGGUAUACGACACAUACUGAUUGCUACAGACUGGUCUGCUGUUAACAGAUUCUGUUUUUGUUGUGUUGGUUGCUUAUUUUGAUGAAACUAUGGAUAGUAUCGGGGGGUAUUAGCCAUGGAAGAUUGAAAAUACAGUAACCCAACAUCAGCACAAGUAGAAUUUAAGUUUGCUAUAGUACCUAAGGAAGUGGUGGUUUGCUUUCUUGUACUAAUGUUAUCACGAGUUUCUGUUUAAGUUUCGUGUUGUGAAGUUUUCAAGUUUUGGGUAAAGUUCUUAUGGACAAAGAGAUAAAGAGUUGCAAGAGCUCAAGCUUGGGGAUGCCCAAGGCACCCCAAGAGAUUAAAGGAUGCCGUAAAAGCGUAAGCUUGGGGAUGCCCCGGGAAGGCAUCCCCUCUCUCCUCUUCAAUCCAUCGGUAUCGUUACUUGGGGCUAUAUUUUUAUUCACCACAUGUUAUGUGUUUUUCCUUGGAGCGUCUUGUAUCGUAGGAGUCUUUUAUUUUUGUUGUGUUACAAUCAUCCUUGCUGCACACCUAGAGAGAGAGAGAGACAUGCACACACCGUGAUUUUGUCGAGCUUCACUUAUAUAUUUUGGUAGACAAUUCAGCUCACAUGUGCUUCACUUAUAUCUUUUGAGCUAGAUACUUUUGCUCUGUGUGCUUCAUUUAUAUAUUUUAGAGUACAGCGGUGCGUGUCUUUGUAGUUGAUCUAUGCUUUUAAAGUAGUCUCAAAAGGGGUAGUUAUCCAAAGGGAUACAAAAACUUCCACCUUCACGUGCAUUGAAUAGUUAGAGAAGUUUGAUUCAUCUCAAUUAGUUUUGAGUUGUGGUUAUGGUAAUAUUGAAGUCAUGCUAGUAAGGUGUUGUGGAUCUAGAAAUACUUGUGUUGAAGUUAGUGGUUCCCGUAGCAUGCACGUAUGGUGAACCGUUGUGUGAUGAAAUCUGAGCAUGAUUAGUAUAUUGAUUGUCAUCCUUUGCGCGGCGGUCGGGAUCGCGCGAUGGUUUAUACCUACCAACCCUUCCCCUAGGAGUAUGCGUUGAAUGCUUUGUUUCGAUUACUGAUAAAACUUUUGCAACAAGUAUAUGAGUUCUUCAUGACUAAUGUUCAGUCCAUAGUUUAGAUGCACUUUCACCUUCCACCAUCACUAUCUUCUUAGUGCCGUGCAAUUUUCGCCGGUGCACAAAACCCACCAUUAGCCUCCCUCAAAACAGCCACCAUACCUACCUACUAUGGCUUUUUCAAAAGUCAUUCCAAGAUAUAUUGCCUUGCAACUACUACCAUAACAUGUGCCACCACGUCUACAUUGCCUUUGCACGAUUGUAAGAUAGCUAGCAUGAUGUUUCCAUUGAUGUCUAUGCCAUGCUAGAUCAUUGCCACGGUACACUACCGAAUGCAUUCCAUAUAGAGUCAUAGUUGCUCUAAGUUUUGAGUUGAAAGUGUGAUGAUCAUCAUUAUUGGAGCAUUGUCCCAUGUGAGGAAAUAAAAGAGGCCAAAGAAGCCCAUAAAAAAAGAGGCCAAAGAGCCCACCAAAAUAAAAAUAAAAAUAAAGAGAGAAAAAGAGAGAAGGGACAAUGCUACCACUUUUUCCACACUUCUGCAUAUAAAGCACCAUGAUCUUCAUGAUUGGGAGUCUCUCGUUUUGUCACCACCAUAUAGCUAGUGGGAAAUUUACAUUAUAUAACUUGGCUUGUAUAUUCGAAUGAUAGGCUUCCUCAAAAUUGCCUUAGGUCUUCGUGAGCAAGCAAGUUGGAUGCACACCCACUAGUUUUCUUUAAGAGCUUUCCCAUACUCGUAGCUCUAGUGCAUCAUUUGUGUGGCAAUCCCUACUUAUUCACAUUGAUAUUUAUUGAUGAGCAUCUCCACAACUCAUUGAUAUGCCUAGUUAAUGUGAUUAUCUUCUCCUUUUUUGUCUUGCAACCUCCACUACAUUCCACACCAUCUAUAGUGCUAUAACCAUGGGUCACGCUCAUGUAUUGCGUGAGAGUCGAAAAUGUUUGAGAAAGUAAAGGUGUGAAACAAUUACUUGGCCAAUAAUGGGGUUGUGCAUGAUUUAAAUUUGUUGUGCAAUGAUGAUAGAGCAUAGCCAUACUAUAUGCUUUUGUAGGGAUAACUUUCUUUUGGCCUUGUUAUUUUGAAAGUUCAUGAUUACUUUUGCUAGUUUGCUUCAAUUACUAUUGUUUCCACGUCAAUAGCAAACUAUUGUUUUGAAUCUAAUGGAUCUGAACAUUCACGUCACAUAAGAGGAAUUACAAAAGACACCUAUGCUAGGUAGCAUGAAAGCAUCAAAAAUUCAUUCUUAUCACUUCCCUACUUGAGGACGAGCAGGAGUUAAGCUUGGGGAUGCUUGAUACGUCUCAAACGUACCUAUAAUUUUUGAUGGUUUCACGCUGUUAUCUUGCCUUCUUUGUAUGUUUUAUGUACCUUUUUAUAUCUUUUUGGGACUAACUUAUUAAUUCAGUGCCAAGUGCCAGUUCAUGUUUUUUCCGUGUUUUUGACUCUUUUUAGAUCUGAUUUUGGAACGGAGUCCAAACGGAAGAAAAACCCCGAAAUGAUUUUUUCCUGAACAGAAGAAGUCCAGGGGCUUUUGGGCCAAGCCAGGUGGGCUCCACGGAGCACAUAAGCCCCCACUCCGCCACCAGGGGGGAGGUGGCGGUGGGCAGGCUUGUGGCCUCUCUGGCCGCCCCCUGACCUAGAUCUUUGGCCUAUAAAUUCCCAAAUACUCAGCAAAAAAUCAGGGGAGCCUCGAAAAUACUUUUCCGCCGCCGCAAGCUUUCGUUUCCGCGAGAUCUCAUCUGGAGACCCUUCCCGGCGCCCUUCCGGAGGGGACUUUGGAGUUGGAGGGCUUCUUCAUCAUCAUCAUCGCCCCUCCAAUGACUCGUGAGUAGUUCACUUCAGACCUACGGGUCCAUAGUUAGUAGCUAGAUGGCUUCUUCUAUCUCUUGGAUCUUCAAUACAAAGUUCUCCAUGAUCUUCAUGGAGAUCUUUCCGAUGUAAUCUUCUUUGGCGGUGUGUUUGUCGAGAUUCGAUGAAUUGUGGACUUGUGAUCAGAUUAUCUAUGAUAUAUAUUUGAGUCUUUGCUGAUUUCUUAUAUGCAUGAUUUGAUAUCCUUGUAAGUCUCUCCGAGUCUUGGGUUUUGUGUGGCCAACUAGAUCUAUGAUUCUUGCAAUGGUAGAAGUUCUUGGUUUUGGGUUCUGCCAUGUGGUGACCUUUCCCAGUGGCAGUAGGGGCAGCAAGGCACACAUCAAGUAGUUGCCAUGAAGGGUAAAAAGAUGGGGCUUUUAUCAUUGGUUUGAGAUUAUCCCUCUACAUCAUGUCAUCUUUCUUAAGACGUUACUCUCUUCUUACGGACUUAAUACACUAGAUGCAUGCUGGAUUGCGGUCGAAGUGUGGAGUAAUAGUAGUAGAUGCAGAAAGUAUCAGUCUAAUUGUUUCGGACGUGAUGCCUAUAGAAAUAAUCAUUGCAUAGAUAUCGUCACGACUCUACACAAUUCUGUCAAUUGCUCGACUGUAAUUUGUUCACCCAUCGUCUACUUGCUUUCAUGAGAGAAGCCACUAGUAAACACUACGGCCCCCGGGUCUAUUCACAUCCAUCGUUUACAACUCAGCUUUUACUUUGCUUUGUUACUUUGUUGCUUUCAGUUCUCACUUGGCAAACAAUCUAUAAGGGAUUGACAACCCCUUCAUAGCGUUGGGUGCAAGCUUUUGUGUUUGUGCAGGAUCUUGAGAUACUCCUCCGCCGGAUUGAUACCUUGGUUCUCAAACUGAUGGAAAUACUUACCUCCGCUGUGCUACAUCAUCCUCUCUGCUUCGAGGAAACACCAACGCAGAAGGAUUCCUGGUGUCGUCAACGUGCCCAUUUCUGGCGCCACUGGAAGGUCUUUUGUGCAGCAGCAUAACAGACAUCAGAAGCAUUCCUGUGCUAUUGCGGGGGAUCCUUUUUGAAACAUCAAGAGCUUCUUGCUUUUUCAGUACCAUAUGCUAGUGGGAAUCUUCAUUAUAUAACUUGGCUUGUAUAUUCCAAUGAUGGGCUUCCUCAAAAUUGCCCUAGGUCUUUGUGAGCAAGCAAGUUGGAUGCACACCCACUAGUUUUCCUUUUGAGCUUUCACAUACUUAUAGCUCUAGUGCAUGUCUUGUAUGGCAAUCCCUACUCAUUCACAUUGAUAUCUAUUAAUGGGCAUCUCCAUAGCCUAUUGAUACACCGAGUCAAUGUGACCAUCUCCUCCUUUUUUGUCUCACAACCACCACCACACUCUAUUCCACCUAUAGUGCUAUAUCCAUGGCUCGCGCUCAUGUAUUGUGUGAUACUUAUAAAAAGUUUGAGAAAGUAAGAGUGCGAAAACAAUUAUUUGGCCAAUAUCGGGGUUGUGCAUGAUUUACAUUAGUUCUGUGAGGAUGAUGGAGCAUAGCCAGACUAUAUGAUUUUGUAGGAAUAAUUUUCAUUGGCCUUGUUACUUUGAAAGUUCAUGAUUACCUUGCUAGUUUGCUUGAAGUAUUAUUGUUUUCAUGUAAAUAGAAAACUAUUGUUUCGAAUCUUAUGGAUCUGAACAUUCAUGUCACGUGAAAGAAGUUGCAAAGGACAACUAUGCUAGGUAACAUUCCACAUCAAAAAGUCAUUCUUUAUCACUUCCCUACUCGAGGACUAGUAGGAGUUAAGCUUGGGGAUGCUUGAUACGUCUCCAACGUAUCUAUAAUUUUUAUGGUUUCAUGCUAUUAUCUUGUCAAACUUUGGAUGUUUUGCAUUGCAUGCCUUUUACAUAUUUUUUGGGACUAACUUAUUAACUCAGUGCCAAGUGCCAGUUCCUGUUUUUUCCAUGUUUUUGACCCCUUUCAGAGGAGAUUUUCAAAAGAGUCCAAACGGAAGAAAAUCCCCGAAAAGAUUUUUUUCGAAACGGAAGAAGAUCGGGAAGCUUGAGAGCCAAGGAAGGGGAGCCUCAGGGGCCCCAAAAGCCCCCACCCUGCGGCCAGGGGGAGGCCGCGGCCCACAGGCUCGUGGGCCCCCUGGGCGCCCUCUGACCUAGGGGUUGCGCCUAUAUAUUCCCUAAAAAUCCCAAAAAAAUCAGGGGAUCAUCAAAUUACUUUUUCGCCACCGCACACUUCUGUCUCCGCAAGAUCCCAUCUAGGGCCCUAUCAGAGGGGGGAUUCGGACACGGAGGGCUUCUUCAUCAACACCAUGACCUCUCGGAUGAUGCGUGAGUAGUUCACCAUAGACCUACAGGUCCAUAGCUAGUAACUAGAUGGCUUCUUCUCUCUCUUGGAUCUUCGAUACAAAGUUCUCCAUGAUCUUCAUGGAGAUCUAUCCGAUGUAAUCUUCUUUUGAGGUGUGUUGUCGAGAUCCGAUGAAUUGUGGAUUUAUGAUCAGAUUAUCUAUGAAUCUUAUUUGAGUUUCUUCUGAUAUCUCUUAUGCAUGAUUUCAUAUCCUUGUAAUUCUCUUCGAGUUGUGGGUUUUGUUUGGCCAACUAGAUCUAUGACUCUUGCAAUGGGAGAAGUGCUUGAUUUUGGGUUCAUACCGUGCGGUGACCUCACCCAGUGACAGAAGGGGUAGCGAGGCACACAUCAUGUUGUUGCCAUCAAGGGUAAAAAUAUGGGGUUUUCAUCAUUGGUUUGAGAUUAUCCCUCUACAUCAUGUCAUCUUGCUUAAGGCGUUACUCUGUUCGUCAUGAACUCAAUACACUAGAUGCAUGCUGGAUAGCGGUCGAUGUGUGGAGUAAUAGUAGUAGAUGCAGAAAGUAUCGGUCUACUUGUCACGGACAAGAUGCCUAUAUGUAUGAUCAUUGCCUUAGAUAUCGUCAUAACUUUGCGCGGUUCUACCAAUUGCUCGAUAGUAAUUUGUUCACCCACCGUGAUAUUUGCUAUUUUGAGAGAAUCCUCUAGUGAACACUAUGGCCCUCGGGUCUACUCCACACCAUAUUUUCAGCCUUACACUUUUUACUUCGUUGCACUUUCCGCCUUCAGAUCUCACUUUGCAAACAAUCUUGAAGGGAUUGACAACCCCUUUGAAGCGUUAGGUGCAAGCUUGUUUGUGUUUGCGCAGGUACUCUGGACUUCACGAGACAGUCCUACUGGAUCAAUACCUUGGUUCUCAAACUGAGGGAAAUACUUACUGCUCCUGUGCUGCAUCACCCUUUCCUCUUGAAAGGAAAAAACCGACGCAAAACAAGAGAAGUGACAAGAAGAAUUCCUAGCGUUGCUAGGGUAGGACUUUUGUUGCCGUAGCAGUGACCACGAUACCCCUUUAUGGGAUAGGGCUUUGUUGAUUACUCUGUUUGUAUUAGCAAAGAGCCCGCAUUACUAGUGGCGGGAGUGAUAUGGUCACUCUCGUCACGGGGUCGUGCCAGGUAGGGCGACUAUGCCGUUUUUACGUGUUCCGGGCACACCGUUGGUCCCUGUAUGGAUAAUACGUUCUAGAGUUGGUGCUCAUAAGAUGUACAUCAUGUGGGCUGGGUACCGAUCGAGUGGACACUUUGUCUAGUGUCGUUAGGGGAAAGGCAUUGGUCGAGUACUUACCUCGGGUAUGUUAUAUACCACGAGUCGCGAAUGACAUGGAAGUUUCCGGGAUCUCGUGGGUAUAGCGCGCAACCUCUGUGUCGGUGAAAAGAUCGACACCUAUGGGACCCUCAAAGGACCCUUUUUGCUGGUUUGGCGGGGAGGGGGGUCGCAGCAAGAGCACAACCAACAGUCAGGGCCAGGCAAGGUCUUUUUUAGCCAGGUUCGAGCCGCAUGGUGCAUAAAACCCUACUCCUGCAUGUGUUUAGUUAUUCGUUUUGGGUUACUGUAGAUUUGUCUCUUUUACAGCGUUUCGAAUUGUCAAAAAGCCAAAAGACCCUACUACUUUGCCUCGGGCCUCCUUUUAUAGGUGAAGGGGUCACCAUAGUGGCUCAGCAUGUGAACGGUGGGUUCACGAGUGGAACAGAACCGACCGACAUCCACAGUGUUACUAUGGUGCAUUAAUUGCUUCGACAAACUUCCCUGACCUCGUCUGGGGGGUUGGACACAUAACCACACGUGGCAACUUCGAGGUGUUGCACUGGCGUGCGGGGGGACGCGUGGUCCAUCCAUCGGUGGUGGCGUGUUUGUCGGUGGAGGCGUUCACAGGUCGCGAAGGCGCCCUAGUCCCGCGCCUAUCCUCGUGCCUUCUCUUCCUUCCGAGCAGGGUUAGCUUGACGGGGGCACUUCUUGUUCCUCUCGACAAGGAGGUGAUGGUCUACUGAGGCCUUGUCAAUCUUCCCGACAAGAAUGGCUUGCCGGGGCUCAGUCCUCCUUCCUUGGCGGGAGGGUCUCGCCGUGGCAUUGUCUAUCUCCCUGGCACGGAGCUCCUGCCGGGGUCUCUUCUUCAUUCCCAGCAAGCGAGUACUUGCCGGGGGCAUGCAAUAUGUACUUGGGCGGCUUCUGAGUCUUGCUUCCGCCCUAAGCUCCAGCGACGCGCCUUGCCGCUGCAGAGGGGCUGCCGGUGUCCGCUCACUAGUCUGGGGCACUUGAGACCCCAGUUUUUGGUGCACCGACAGGAGACCCCGGGCCUGGGCUACACACGCAUGCGAGGCGUUGUUGGGCCAGGCCCAAAGCGGUGCGCGGACUCGCGGGUGCCGGGCUUAUGGAAUCAAGCUGUUACAGGCUUUCUUUCUCCAUGUCGCACAUUGAACGCGCGAAGUGGGAGGGUGCAUGGCGUGCGCAUGAUGGCCUCUUUAUACCCUGAAAAGACUUCUGCCAUGUGUAGGGCAUGUGAAGUGGCAGUCGGCGAAGUGCCGAUCAUGCCCUCUAAAGCUGCGGGCGUGGAUGGACCCGCCCCUACACGCAUUGGCGCAUCAGGGCGGUUCCAUGUUCCGCUCGUAGCUUGAGGGCGAUUGGGCGAGAGGGGCGGUGGCUUAUGGAGCGAGGAGGGUGGCCUCCGAGCUUUGCCCUAUAAACUAGGGUCUUUGCGCGGAGGUUUUGCCCACCCAUCUAACUCUCGAAGCCUUCAACGCGUGUCUUCUCUUGUUUCUUUCAGCUUUGCUGGUGGCACCCGCCCCUAACCAUUGUUAGGGGAUGGGGCCGGCCUCCGUUGGCUGCCAGGGCGGCAAGGGGAUCCCGAUCGGAAUAGGCCACAGCUUCAGGGGCCGCAGCUAGUGGCAGCCCCUUCGACCUUGGUGCGAGAGGCUCGAGGGGCCGAGGACGCCGGGGACAUGGCCGAGGGAGGCAGAGUGCUACUCCAGCGUCUCUGCCUUCUCCUGGGCUUGUUCCGGGGGGAACUCACGUCGAAAGGACCCAAUUGGAGUUCCUUGUCCAAUGGCGUGGAUGCAUCAGGACACGGCUAGAUCUCCCCCAUGCCUUCGCCAAGGCGAUCGAGGUGGAGAAGCACCCGAUGCUAUGGCUACGGGUACACGACUGCGGCAAUGGUGCCGUUCCGGUGGCCGUAGAGCAUCCGGGGCCCCGGCUCCUAUUCCUUGGCCUGUGUGGAAGAGCUUCGCUCGUGCCCACAAUCUCUGGGAUCGGCACGUUCUCCGCUUAAAGAUGACGGCGGACAACCUGCUCUCCGUAAAGCAAUAUGGCAGCUCAGGUGUGCGUGUCGACUGUUGCGAAGAGAGCUCCAGCGGGACUGACAGCCCUUCCUCGUGUGGGGGUGAUGAGGAAGGGUCGGAUAGCAGCGACAGCGGGGACGGGUCACAUCCUCGUCGGUUUAAGCCUGCAUAUGAGGAUCUGACCUUGGACUGACCGCCGGUCGCACCAUCACCAUCAGCCCGCGACCCACCUCAGCAAAACAGACUCGCAUGCUGAAAGAACCUACGUUGCCUUGUCUUCUCGGCAGCUUCCGGAGUUCGGCUCUGUCUUCUCUCCUGGCCCCGUUCUCCUCUGCACAAUGCUGGUCAAGGAGGAACCAGCCUGGGUUGCGUAGCGGGCCCUGCCAUUUUUUCUCUUCUUGAACUUCACUCCUCCGCAUAGGUCGUUCCUCGUGAAAAGACAGAGUCUUUAGGAUAGGACAACAAUGCUUUGUAAGUGGUAUCAAAUGUAUCCAGACAAAUGAAUGAAUAUAUGCAUCCUUUAUUCGACUCACAUUUUGUGUGAUCAUUCCUUUGCACUUUUCGUAUGCUUGCCGACUUGACUUAUCCUGCCGUGAGUACAUAGAGGAGCGGAUCCUCAGAAAACUCAAUAGAGGAGGUCGUCACCGGGAAGACUCCUUGCCACACUUAGUGCAACCAUGUAAAUCAUCGAGCCUGGCUCGAGGCUAAAUAAGGUGCUACGUAUCCGUCUGAAACAUUGAACGAGUUCGAAACGAGAUGAGGACGCUCUUUGUCCGCUCAAGUCGUUGAACAGGCUCGAAACGAAAUCGGAGUGCACUAAUCUUAGCAAGGUCCAUCUGCGCGCGAGAUUAUCAUAAAAAAGUCGAUGCUUCAAAAGGAUACAACUAAUCUCCCAAGAAUCUGGCAAGAAGUUUGCCUGUGUACUUAUCUCGCGCGUCGUGGCAUUCCUAGCCGCAACAUCUGAAGGUGCUGCCGGGGAGGAAUAUCCCUACCCCCGGCAAGCUGGUGUUGCCUCCAGCGGCCUCCUUGUCGACGAGGUUUUCGCCGGUGGCCUUUGUACACUCUGAAGGAAAGAGGCACCUCGGGGCGUAAUAUUUUCUCAUAUUUUUUGCAAGAGAUUUGCUGGUGGAGCCCCCGAGCGCAUCUUUCUCGCGUCACAACCCUCCAAGGAGAAAUGCGAGGAGGAGGGCGCGUACGCGUCCUCGACGACCAUGGAGCACUCCGGACAUGUGCUACGGUCGGAGUAAGCGUCGGAGGCCUUUGCGGAGGCCCCUGUCACGCCCUUGACAGCAGCGGGAGCAUUCCAAUGAGGUGUGUCGGUCGGGCGAUGCAGAGCUCGGGGCUUAUGCUCCUUCCACCCGUGCUCGCAUAGCACCUAUGGAUGCGCUAUGAGCUCUCGCGCGAGUAGUGCAUCCACUGCCUCCUCCCACCGAGGGAAGAUGUUGCGGCGGACUGGGAUUCAUGGAGCCGUUGAACGACUCGUCGGAUCGGGGCGGCGCCGACGCCGCCCUGCUUCCAGCGAUCCCCUACACUAUUGGAAAACAGUUUUUUGCCAUCUGCCUAGUCUUUGCCGUCUGCUAGCUAAUGGCAAAGUGUGUCUUUGCCGUCAGCCUCUGCAAAACAGACGACAAAGCACAUGCUAAUGGCAUAAAGUGUUUUUGCCAUCUGCCUAGUCUUUGCCGUCUGCUAGCGGACGACAAAGAUAUAGAUGGGCCCACCUGACCGCGGGGUGGCUACGUCAAAGUGGAGUCGAACCUUUGCCGUCUGCUAGCGGACGACAAAGAGUCCGUAGGCAGACGGCAACGCGCUAACUCCGUUAACGGCUCCGGCCUUCCCCCCCCCCCCGCCGCUCUCUCUCUGNNNNNNNNNNNNNNNNNNNNNNNNNNNNNNNNNNNNNNNNNNNNNNNNNNNNNNNNNNNNNNNNNNNNNNNNNNNNNNNNNNNNNNNNNNNNNNNNNNNNNNNNNNNNNNNNNNNNNNNNNNNNNNNNNNNNNNNNNNNNNNNNNNNNNNNNNNNNNNNNNNNNNNNNNNNNNNNNNNNNNNNNNNNNNNNNNNNNNNNNNNNNNNNNNNNNNNNNNNNNNNNNNNNNNNNNNNNNNNNNNNNNNNNNNNNNNNNNNNNNNNNNNNNNNNNNNNNNNNNNNNNNNNCCACCCCCCACCCCCAACCCGCAUUUCUUUUUAGUAGUUUUAGUAGUUUUAGUAGUUGUUAUUGUUAGUAGUUUUAGUGGUAGAUUUAGUUAGGUUAGUAGUUUUAGUUAGGUUAGUUAGCUAGCUUGGUUAGUUAGGUGGAGGAGGAGAAGAGGCGAAGAGGAGGAGGAGGAGGACGAGAAGAGGAGAAGAAGAAGAGGAGUAGGAGGAGGAGGAGGAGAAGAAGAAAAAGAAGAAGAAGAAGAAGAAGAAGAAGAAGAGGAGAAGAAAAAAUAAGAAGGAGAAGAAGAAGAAGAAGAAUAAGAGAAGAAAAAAAUAAGAAGGAGAAGAAGUAAAGAAGAAGAGAAGAAGAAGAGAAUAAGAAAAAAGAAAGAGGGAGAAGAAGAGAAAAAAAGAAGAAGUUGAUUUUUUAUUGUUUGGUAUUUAGUGGUAGCUAUUCUUUUUUAGUUACUUAGUGGUAGAUUCUGUUUUUGUUAUAGUGGUAGAUUGUGUUUUUGUUAUUUUGUUGUUGUUUAGUGCUAUCUAGGUUUAGCGGUAGGUUUUGUUAGCUUCGUUAGUUAGGUUAGUUAGUUAGUUAGCUUAAUAGAAAGAAUAGGAAGAAGAAGAAGAAGAGGAGGAGGAGAAGAGGAGAAGAGGAGGAGAAGAAGAAGAAGAAGAAGAGGAGGAGGAGGAUAAGACACAAAUAAGAAGGAGAAGAAGAAAAGAAGAAGAGAAGAAGAGAAUAAGAAUACCUUCUCCUCCUCCUUCUUCUCCUCCUCCUCCUUCUCCUUCUUGAUUUCUUCUUCUUCUCCUGCUCCUCCUCUUUCUUCUCCUCUAUCUUAUUCUCCUCACCUUAUUUUCGCCAACAAUGAGAUAAUUAGCCCAUUUAGAUACAAAAUGGCAUAAAAACCUUGGUUAGCUCAUGAAUAUUAUAUUCUUAACUUGUUUUCCUCUAAGAUGACAUAAUUAGAAUAUUUGUGUUGAUCGGGUGGAUUUACAUGUGAUAGUUGUGUCGUCGCUGUGAGGUUUGCUGUGUGAAGACCUGCCCGUGUGUUGUAUGAGCUCCGCCCCUGCAUUCGUGGGUCAGUAGAAAUUUCAUCUCCUCCCCGCCCCUUCAUUUACCGUGUCUCGGUUUCCGGAUGAAACUUUCCAGAUUUAGGUAAUUAAAUUAAUUUAUUUGUAUGCGUGACCAAUAUGUGUCUCCCGUUUGAAAGGGCGACAUCUAUAAAUAUGCAUGUCUUUGCAUAUUUCUAACCGCCAUCCUUUCGAAUUGUCCAACAUUAUCCAUUGACAGCCCGAGUAUGUGUAGAUUGGGUUCGUUUUCCCGUAUGCUGUGCUCUGGAUCCGAUGCGGAAUUUCGUCAGUGCCUCCCUGUUGUUCUCCGGAUGCACAUCCUCUCUGUUUAUUGCGGAGACGUGUAUCAGGAGAACAGCGGGGAGGUGAUGCCGAAAUUUUGCGUUGGAUCCGAAGCAGAGCAUGGGAAAACGAACCCAAUCUACACAUACUCGGGUGGGAUUAGGACCUAUCUUUACCUAUGAGCGUG
RNAcentral lists this long non-coding RNA (89734 nucleotides) under Hordeum vulgare. RNAcentral's name for it is "long non-coding RNA (HVUL_LNC012105)". Lineage: Eukaryota; Viridiplantae; Streptophyta; Magnoliopsida; Poales; Poaceae. The record is from RNAcentral.